This 136289-nucleotide long non-coding RNA is filed under the name Durio zibethinus. RNAcentral describes it as "long non-coding RNA (DZIB_LNC001059)". Lineage: Eukaryota; Viridiplantae; Streptophyta; Magnoliopsida; Malvales; Malvaceae. The record is from RNAcentral.
CACGCUAUUUCCUAAUCGAAUGCUUCCCACGGACUGACUAAAGCACCACCAUCGGCAACUUUUUGAUGAAACAAGAAAAAUAAGAGCCGUCCCAUCGGUUAUUCCUUCAACGGCGAAUUCAAUACCAGCUUCACCACGACUCGAGCUAACAGCAGUGGCUUGUAUGCGCGGCCCAAGAGCUGCAACUGAAGCAUUCGUGAAUUGACUAAGCUAACCAUUUGUUCAGAGUCGAGAAGAGUUCAAAUCUGAUCUUUCAAAGACAGCAGGCUGGUCGUAGAUCAGGGAUUCGUUCAAAUAGAAGAGCGGAUUCUCUACUUUACUUCAAGCUUAGACUAUGCCUUUUAUUCAACUAUAGGCAUUCUUCUUUGAAUAAAAGCUUCACCCAUUCCUACAUAUGCUACAGACUUGGCUUCCAAGCUAAAAGCAGCCUUUCUAAACUAUACGAGACUGCCGAACCAAAGGCUGUUUAAGAAGCCAGGGUAAUCACAGCAUUCCUCCUAUCGGGUGACUUCACUCGCUUAAGCCGAAUCGCUUUCCUUAUGGCAUCUGCUUUCAAUGUCAGUUGGAUUGCCUAGUUGAUUGUUAGUUCAAUUUUAACUAGUUUCAAAGGCUUUCUGCCCCGGCUUGGGACUCACUCUUCCUUCUCACCUCAUCGCGAAUUGCAAGAGAGAAUCUAGAGUUACCAAGACAGAUAUUCUUACCACAGCUUCACGCUCUACUUACUGCUUUCCCUAAGGCAAGGAAGGUAAGAAAAGCAAGGUAAGUGCAAGCUAACUAAUGGCAAGGGCCGGAGAUAGAGAGGGAUGAAGGGGGAAUUGCAGUCAUUUUUCUCUAAUGAAGAAAGACAGAAUUCCUAGAUUCAUAUAUAGAUUAUAGAUACCACUUCUUCUGUGAUCAAUGAAUGCAUCAAAAUAAGGGAUUGAUCUAAUAGAUAUUCAAAGCUUGACUUCCAGUGCUCUUCAUUAAAGAAAAAAUAGUGGAAAGUUAUUCUAUCCAUUUGAAUAAUUUGAUUGAUUUGAUGAGAAUCUAGGUCGUUUUGGGUCAUCCUAGGAGCGAAAGACUAAUUGAAGAAGAAGAGAAGACGCAAAGAUGGUAGAUUUGGGCACUGCUCUGAACCGAAAGAUUCUUCAUGACAUCGCCUUUCAUUCAAAGUAGCUCUCUAAUUGAGUUCUUCUUAAAAAGCCACUUGAGUUCAUGUGUCCCAUGCUCAGUGAUGAUGUUCUCGGCAUCUAUCUCCUUUUGUUCCAAGUGCUUUUCAUCAUUGGUCCGAUGUUUUGGCUUCACCAAAGGAAAGAAGAUGAACAGAAGCUAAGCCUUUCUCAAUGGCUGGUUGAGUUCUUAAAGAACUGGCUUUGGUCUUUGGCGCUCGUCCUACGAAUCAACCUACCUAGACUCUAAAAAAGAGCCUUUGGGUACCAGAUCAGCUUCAAAAGGUAGUGCAUUAGGAUCUAGUUCCCUCCCUAGUUUAAGAUAUUGGAGUCGAAGCAAAUCUCAAUGCUACUUGCCUUUUCUUUUAGUAAAUCGUGGAGGUAAGCCUCUAGCUUAUUACGUAAUUAGUUCAACCUUUAUCCGGUUAAGCCUGACCCGAAUAGGAAGAGAUUUUAUCACAAAUUCACUUAUAUAUAGGCUAGGCCGAAUCGAAUAAGCAUAAGCGAAUGCGGCUAUUUCAUCCGCAUCUAUUGUUGUUGAAGGAAUAUGGGCAACAAGAAUAACUAUUUUCGCUCUUGGAGAAAGACUAUUUUGAAUGUACGAGCAGAGGUUGUUUCGGAAUAAUCGAUGUUAGCAAGAAGGGGAAGUCAAGGCAUUGACAUAGUUGAUGCAGAGAAUCCAUGGUUGUUGUUCCAGGUUGAGAGUCAGGGGUAGCAUAGCUUCUUCCACCACAAUUCUAUUUGCUGCCACCUUAUGCAGUAGAUUGUAGCUGCCAGAACGCUUUUCGGCUCGAUCCAAUCUUUAAUAAGAAGUAGCUUCAAAUCCAAUUCGUGAGACCAGAAGAAAGGUAAGUGUAAAAAAGCGUGGUCAGUGAUAGUCUUCCCCCGAGCGUAUGAUGGCUACGCAAUCUUCCUUCUUAUAUUAAAAGUUUCGUUCCUAAUGAAACUACUUGUCACGCCCCGAAUUGAGGCAUAACACGGUCGUAUUACCUUGAAGUAAAACCCUAAAGCAAUACGAAGCUUAAUCCAUAACCAUUGAACAACUCUCAAAUAUAAAAGAUUCUCAUUAAGUAACAUAGCUAGAUAACAAGUCUUCAAAGAUUCAAAGUAAAGUAUUACAACUAAAAUAAACAAUACUUCAUAAAAUCUUAUAUUUCUAAGUAGUUCUCCAAUGCUCGAUUCUUCUAGCUUUUCUCAAGCUAAUCAUACUUAUCAUUCAUAACAUCUGUAAAAGAAAAGAAAAUUGGGAAUGAGCAAACCACAGCUCAGUAAAUAAAGGCUCACACACCUUACCGGAUCAAACAUCAUUUUCAUACAUGUCAUAUAGAUCAUUCAAAACAUUUAUCAAAUCAUAAUGUCAAAACAUCUCAAUAUCAUCGUUCUGUCAAACAUUUCAUAAAUUCAUAAAUCAUUGUAAAAUAUGUUAUCAUUCAAAUAUCAUAGGCAAACCAAAUCAUGGAUCAAUCAUUAAAAAUCAUCGUAAAUCAUCAUCAUCAUUCAAAUCGUUAGCUACGAUCACUGCUAUAACCCGUGACAUUGGCCGCAUCGAUAAUUUUAUUCUUAUGAUCAUUGCUAACUAUUACAACCCGUUAGCCAGGGCUUACGCUAACUACUAUUACCCGUUAGCCAGGGUCGUAUGACAUGUCUUUGCUAACUAUUAUUACCCGUUAGCCAGGGUCGUAGAACUAGUUCUGGUGUCGAUGAUCUCACUUCCUAGGAAUAUAAAAACGUAGCUAUCAUAAAAUCAUUCUUUAAACAUAAAGCAUUUUCUCAUUUCAUUCAUAAGCAUGAUUCAUCAUUUUUAUAGAGAAACGCAAAAUAAAAAUAUGUUUGAUCCUAUUUUCAUACAUCGAAAAUAAUGAAAUAAAAUAUUCAUUCAUUUAGAAACAUACAUAUAUAUAUGGAUUCGAAAACAAGCAAAGUGUGUGAGAUUAUACUUACCUUCCUCUGAUUUCACCACCUAAUUUUUCUGCCUCAAAAUUUAGUGGCCUAUUCAAGAUAAUUCCAACAUAACAAUAAUCAAUCAACCCAUUUAAGGUCACUUAUACCAAAACAAUUAAGUUAAACAAGUAAUAACUCGAGUAAUUAAUUCUGGUAGUCUAUGCUACUUUCACUAAAACGACUAUAACACAAGAUAUCCAAUUCAGAAUUAAAAUCUUAUUAAUGUGUUAGAAACUAGACUUGACAAGCUUUCUAACCAUAUAUGGCUCAUCUCGUGAUUCUUUGUAAAUUAAUUAUAACAAUUUUUGUAAUCCACGUCAUAUGCUGCUGCCAGACAGGCUGCAUACCUUUUCAUAAAAAUUACGUAUUUAUUCAUAGGUAACUCCAAAUUCAAUUUCGUUUAUUUCAUUGGAAAGUAGACUCGAUAAGUUUUCCAAAGAUAUAUGGCUUAAACUGUAAAUCCUUAUAUAAAAAUUUAGGAAAAUUUCGUAAUUCCUCUUUACUGCUACUACUAGGCAGCCUGCACAUCCUUAGGUAAAAAUUAGAUAACUCUUCAUAGAGAACUCGAAUUCGACUCUCGUUUGUUUCAUUAGAAAGUAGAUUCAACAUGCUUUCCAACCAUAUAUAGUAAUCAUAGUAGUAUUUAACCUUUUAAUACAGAAUAUAACCUUAAUUCAUCACUACAAACACAUGAUUCAUAUCAGGAUUUAUACGAAACAAAGAUUUGCCUUUCUAUUCCCAUCAAAUUUCUGUUUCAGCAAUAAAUUCACAUUACCAACUUUCUUAACACUUAAUUUGACUCUAAUUAAAGUCUAAAUCAUCUGCCCAAAGAGCGAUAAUGGAAACCCUAAAAUUUUAGGGUUUCUCGAUUAUAAAUUACACCUUAAGACUUAACCAUCAAUACUCCAAAAUUGAAAAAGAUUAUUUACUCACCUCUAACAGAUAAUUUCUCCUUGUAGAUUUGUUCUUCCCUUCACUUGGAAUCCUUCAAUUGAUCUUUUCUGUAUAAGAAACAUAUGAGAAAUAAGUUUCUAUUUUUAUUACGGCUAAUCGUCGACUGAAAACUGAAAAGUUAACUCUAUUAAUAAAAAAAAUUAGGUUAUUUAUCAAUAAGUCCUCUGCACUUCUCAUUCUUUAUUAAAGAGUUCCUUCACUUAUAAAAAUACUUAAAAUAGUCCCUUUUUUUUGGGUAUUACAAUCCCCUCAACUUAUAAAAUAUUUCAUCCUCGAAACUUGAUUUACCUUCAUUUUCGAAUAACUGAGGAUGUCGUUUCUUCAUAUCAUCUUCCAUUUCCCAAGUAGCUUCUCUUGAUGUAUGAUUGCUCCAUUGGACUUUUAUAAAGGAAAUAGUUCUAUGCCUUAAGACUUGCUUUUUUCGAUCAAUUAUUCGAAUAGGAUAUUCCAAGUAUGUUAAAUCUUCUUGAACUUUUAAAGGUUCAUACUUUAUCACGUGGCUUGGGUUAGAGACAUACUUUCUCAACAUGGACACAUGAAAACAUUGUGCACACUAGAUAGCUGAGGUGGCAAGGCUAUCCUAUAUGCAACUUCUCCCACUUUAUCAAGAAUUUCAAAUGGACCUAUAUAACGUGGGCUUAGCUUUCCUUGCUUCCCAAACCGCAUAACACAUUUUGUGGGUGACACCUUUAAAAAAAUAAAAUUCCCUUGUUGAAAUUCUAUCUCCCUUUUCUUUUUAUCUGCCCAACUUUUCUGACGAUCUUGUGCUGCUUUAAGUCUCUCCUUAAUCACCUUGAUCUUUUCUACAGUCAAUUGUACCAUUUUUGGCCCUAGGAGUUUUUUUUCCCCAACAUCAUCCCAACAUAAAGGGGAUCUACACUUUUUACCAUACAAGGCCUCAAAAGGAGCCAUCCCAAUACUAGAUUGGUAACUGUUAUUAUAAGCGAACUCCGUUAAAGGUAAGUAAUCAUCCCAACUACCUUUUAGAUCAAUCACACAUGCUCGAAGCAUAUCUUCUAAAAUUUGAUUUGUUCUCUCUGUUUGCCCAUCUGUCUGAGGUUGGAAAGCUGUAAUCAAUUUCAAAUUUACCCCCAUAGCUCGCUGUAAGCUUACCCAAAACUUAGAAACAAAUCUAGAAUCUCUAUCUGACACAAUACUCAUUGGAACUCCAUGCAAUCGGAUAAUUUCACCCAUGUACAAUUGCGCUAGUCUAUCAAGUGGAGUAGUCGACUUGAUAGGUAGAAAAUGAGCUGAUUUAGUGAGUCUAUCAACAAUUACCCACACUACAUUAUUCCCUUUAGAUGACCUAGGCAACCCCAUCACGAAAUCCAUAGAGAUGUGCUCCCACUUCCAUUCCGGUAUCUCCAAAGGUUGUAACAACCCUGAUGGUCUUUGGUGUUCAGCCUUAACUUGCUGACACACUAGACAUUGGGACACAAACUGAGCUAUGUCAUGUUUCAUAUUAUUUCACUAAAAACUUCCUUUCAAAUAUUUAUACAUCUUAGUACCUCCAUGAUGUAUAGUGAAUCGAGACCCAUGUGCUUCCUCCAAGAUCUCUCGUUUUAGAUCAAGAUCAUUUGGGGCACAAUCUAUUUUUAAAACGUAAUGUGCCAUCCUCAUGAAGAUUAAACUCUGACCGUAAACCAUUAUGCACUUUUGUCUUAAUUCUGUCUAACUCACUAUCUUCUUCUUGUGUAAAUUUUAUCUUUUCGAUCAAAGUUGGUUGAACCAUCAAACUAGCCAUAACAACACAUUUUCCCUGUAUAAUCACCUCGAUUGCUGCGUAUCAAGUUCCUCCAACAAUUUUGGUUGCAAAGUAAGCAAAGCAGCUAUACUUCUAAUGAACUUUCUACUAAAAGCAUCAGUAACUACAUUAGCUUUGCCCGGAUGAUAAUUGACGGUCAAAUCAUAAUCUUUGAUUAAUUCCAACCAUCUUCUCUGUCUCAUGUUCAACUAUUUUUGUGUAAACAGAUACUUUAAACUCUUUGAUCCGUAUAAAUUGCACAAGGCUCUCCAUACAAAUAAUGUCUCCAUAUUUUCAAAGCAAACACAAUGGCAGCUAACUCUAAGUCAUGAGUCGGAUAAUUCUGCUCGUAGGUUUUUAAUUACCUAGAAGCAUAAGCAAUUAUCUUAUCAUUCUGCAUUAACACACAACCCAACCCCUUCUUGGAAGCAUCACUAUAAAUGGUAAAACUACCAAUAUCAGAAGGUAAAGUAAGGAUAGGUGCUAACACCAAUCGUUGCUUUAGCUCUUGAAAACUCUAUUCACAUUCUUUAGUCCAUUCAAAUUUUGCUCGCUUUUGAGUUAAACAAGUCAAUGGCACAGCAAUUUGAGAAAACCCCUCAACAAAUCUUCUAUAAUAACCUGCCAAGCCUACAAAACUUCUUAUUUCUGUCACAUUUGUCGGGCAAGGCCAAUUCACCACUGCCUCAAUCUUUUUCGAAUCAACUGAAAUCCCAUCUUCAGAAAUAACAUGACCAAGAAAACUAAUACUUGUCAACCAAAAUUCACAUUUGCUAAACUUUACGAAGAGUUGUUUAUCUCGCAAGAUCUGAAAUACAAUCUUCAAAUGUUUCUCAUGUUUCCCAUCACUCUUAGAAUAAAUAAGAAUGUCAUCAAUAAAAAUAACAACAAAUUGAUCCAAAUACUGUUUAAAAAUUCUAUUCAUCAAGUUCAUGAAUGUAACAGGUGCAUUUGUUAAUCCAAAAGGCAUAACCAAAAAUUCAUAAUGGCCAUACCUAGUUCGAAAAGCAGUCUUGGAUAUAUCACCUGCCUUAAUCUUCAACUGAUGAUAUCCAGACCGUAAAUCAAUCUUUGAAAAGACCUUUGCUCCUUAUAACUGAUCAAACAAGUCAUCAAUUCGAGGAAGAGGAUAUUUAUUCUUCAUAGUCACUUUAUUUAACUCCCUCUAAUCAAUGCAUAAGCGCAAACUCCCAUCUUUCUUUUUAACAAACAAUACAGAAGCUUCUCAAGGUGACACACUAGGACGAAUAAACUUUUUCUCUAAUAGUUCUUGGAGUUGCACAUUUAAUUCACGUAACUCAGAUGGAGCCAUGCGAUGAGGAGACUUAGAUAUUGAUCCAGUUUCAGGGAUAAGAUCGAUUUCAAAUUCAAUUUCUCGAUUAAGAGGUAAGCCAGGCAAAUCCUCAGAAAAAAUAUUAAAAAAAUCUCUAACAAUCGAAAUAUCUUAUAAUCGUGAGCCUACAUUCAUUUGAGUGUCUUUCAUAUAGGCGAGGUAGCCUAGACACCCUUUCUUUAGAGAUUGCAUGGCACUUGAGAUUGACACAAUCUGACACGAAAUGCUUAAAUGAUGACCUUCAUAUACAAGUUCUUAUUGUCCUGGACACUGAAACACUACUCUCUUUCUGUAGCAAUCAAUAACUGCAUGAUGUAUAGAUAACCAAUUCAUCACUUCUCCUGUCAAUUCUUUUCCUUCGACCCACAAGGUCUGCCAAUGUCUCAUUUUUACCACUCAUUCUUACCUAAUUUAAUACCAAUAAAAAAAUCGUAAGCGAUCAAAAUAAAAUAAUUGAAUCUUAUCAGUGUAAAUGCUAAGAAUACUUAAGUUUUACACUAACUAUAACUCAAUUUUUUCAUUUCUUGGAUCUUAAAUCUUCGCUCUGAUACCAAUUUUGUCACGUCCCGAAUCGAGGCAUAAUACGAUCGUAUUACCUUGAAGUAAAACCCUAAAGCAAUACGAAGCCUAAUCCAUAACCAUUGAACAACUCUAAAAUAUAAAAGGUUCUCAUUAAGUAACAUAGCUAGAUAACAAGUCUCCAAAGAUUCAAAGUAGAGUAUUACAACUAAAAUAAAUAAUACUUCAUAAAAUCUUAUAUUUCUAAGUAGUUCUCCAAUGCUCGAUUCUUCUAGCUUUUCUCAAGCUAAUCAUACUUAUCAUUCGAUCAGAAGAAGGUAAGUAUAAUCUCACACACUUUGCUUGUUUUCGAAUCCAUAUAUAUAUAUAUAUGUAUGUUUCUAAAUGAAUGAAUAUUUUAUUUCAUUAUUUUUGAUGUAUGAAAAUAGGAUCAAGCAUAUGAUUAUUUUACGUUUCUCUAUAGAAAUGAUGGAUCAUGCUUAUGAAUGAAAUGAGAAAAUGAUUUAUGUUUAAAGAAUGAUUUUAUGAUAGCUACGUUUUUAUAUUCCUGGAAAGUGAGAUCAUCGACACCAGAACUAGUUCUACGACCCUGGCUAACAGAUAAUAGUAGUUAGCAAAGACAUGAUCAUACGACCCUGGCUAACGGGUAAUAGUAGUUAGCGUAAGCCCUGACUAACGGGUUAUAAUAGUUAGCAAUGAUUAUGAGAAUGAAAUUAUCGAUACGACCAAUGUCACGGGUUAUAGUAGUGACCGUAGCUAACGAUUUGAAUGAUGAUGAUGAUUUACGAUGAUUUUUAAUGAUUGAUCCAUGAUUUGGUUUGCCUAUGAUAUUUGAAUGAUAACAUAUUUUACAAUGAUUUAUGAAUUUAUGAAAUGUUUGACAAAAUGAUGAUAUUGAGAUGUUUUGACAUUAUGAUUUGAUAAAUGUUUUGAAUGAUCUAUAUGACAUGUAUGUAAAUAAUGUUUGAUCCGAUAAGGUGUGUGAGCCUUUACUUACUGAGCUGUGAUUUGUUCAUUCCCUAUUUACUUUUCUUUUACAGAUGUUAUGAAUGAUAAGUAUGAUUAGCUUGAGAAAAGCUAGAAGAAUCGAGCAUUGGAGAACUACUUAGAAAUAUAAGAUUUUAUGAAGUAUUAUUUAUUUUAGUUGUAAUACUCUACUUUGAAUCUUUGGAGACUUGUUAUCUAGCUAUGUUACUUAAUGAGAACCUUUUAUAUUUUAGAGUUGUUCAAUGGUUAUGGAUUAGGCUUCGUAUUGCUUUAGGGUUUUACUUCAAGAUAAUACGGUCGUGUUAUGCCUUGAUUCGGGGCGUGACACUACUCUAACUAAGAAUUUAGUUCCAUCCGUAUAGGUUUUGCAUAAUUAUCAUCUAAGCAUGGGCAAGGGCAUUAUUGGGUACAGUGAGCAUCCAAGUGAGAUUUCCACCAUUUAAUUGAUACUGUAGCUAUUGAAUCAAUAGUGAAGGAGAAGAAAGAAGAAUCUAAGGCUGAUUUACUAGUUUUUUAUUAAAAAAGGCUCUCUCUUAAACAAGAGAUACAAGAAUAAAGUACCCCCAGACCUACGAUGCAAGAGUUUAAUCACAAGGAUUCAACCACCUGGUCGACCCAGAAAGAAAGGAACAUUGAUUACCGACUUUGGCACCUUAACUAUCUGUAGAUUGACAUCUCUCCUUGUGGGGCAUACAUCAGAAAAAGAACAAAUUUAGAAAAGAGAUAGAUCCCAACCCACUGAGCGAAGUAAAUUGUCUCACUUGUAUGUCGAUUAAGCUUUUUAUGGCAGGAUUGAAAGAUCUUCCACCACCCUGUUUCGCUUAGCCUCAUAGGAUUUUUUUGAUAAUUUCGUUCACUUUCUCUUUCCAUUAGAUUGUUAGGCUUUUUAAAUCCUUAAUGAACCAUUGGAUUUAAACGAAGAGAAAGGUCGUCUUAGUGAAAGAGCUAGCUCUAACUACAAAUAUCUUUGUAUUCAUAGUCUCCUAUCUUGGUCUCCUUCAAAAAGCUAAUAAACUUCAUGCACAAAUCCAAUACCUGGCUAAGGUAGGAUCAUGUUUGCUUUACGCAAUUCAAGUAUUAUUAUAUUGGUUAAAAUAAAACAAUCGGGGCAGAGCCUGGUAACUGCUUUCUUCUUUAAAGGACAUCCAAUGCCCACAUCCAUUGAAUAGGUCCUUCACAAUUUGAAUUUUGCUUUCUGUUAUUGCUCAUAUCGAAGUUGUUUAAUCAUUUAUGCAGUAUCAAUAAGAUGCAUAGCUCGUUUCAAUAAUUGACCAAAAGACAUGUAUGUAGAAUGUUAGCUACAAGAAGCUGUUGGUGGGAUCCACUAAGAUCAGAUUAGCUGAACAAAUAAAUGGGGUAGAAGCUAUUCAAAAAGUCUCAUGUAAGGACGUGAUAGAUCCGUUAUAUCCGUCAGAGCAUAUGCACAAGAAGUGUUAAGGCGAUGAUUGGCCCAAAAGUCAAAUAAAGUUUUGAUAAGAAUUAGUAAGACCUGCCUUACGAAUUGUCUCACCUGAGGCGAGAACUUGAAUCUAGUAGGAUGGGUACUUUCUUUUAUACUAAUCGGCUCAUGACGAGUUACUUUCGAGUUAUCCAUCUAUUUAUUACAACGAUUAGAUGACAAUCUUCCCUUCCUCUUUUUAAGGAGGCAAAAAACCUCUCAACCUCACUCCUAGAAUGAAGUAGUAAGAACCGGGGGCGAAAGAUGAAAGUUUGAUAAACCAAGAAUACUAUGACGGUGAAGAGCCUGAAUUAUAUAUAUCACUUCCUUCUUCUGAAAAAAGAAUUGCUCAAAAGCUUGAUGAAGAAACAAAAAGAGUGUUUUUUCUUAACCGCAUAAGCAAAAUGGAAACAAAAAUGCCUAUAAAACAAACUAACCUCUGGUCGAGACUAAGUCUUCGAUAGAAAAGCUCUGUUACACACCAACCCCUUAUCUUUACCUUUAUCGUCUUUUACCUCCUACCUCAGUCCUUUGCUGGCAUGGCUUGAAUGAGAGAAAAUGGAUGGCCAACGAUGUCUAUUACAGGAAUUCAAUUCUUCCAAAGAAACUAAAACCAAUACUUUCUCUAAUCCAACAGAGAAAAAAAAAAAAAAGAGUUGUGCUGCUGCAUCAUUCUUCAAUUGAUCGAUGGCAUUUCCCAAAGGAGAGGAUGGAGUGCUAUAUACAAAAGGACAGGUGCCCUUAUUGAUGUUCCCAAUAGUGGUGGACACUCUUUUUGCAUAGAAGCUUUGAAACCUCACGAUGGCUAUCAAGAAGGUCAGGUGAUGCGGUAAUGAGGUUGACUAGAUAGGGGAGGCUUGCGUCUAAAUAAGGCUCGACAGAGACCUAUUCUUAUUCUUAUUAUUCUAUAUUAUACUAGAAUAAAAUAAAGUGAGCUCAAUCAGAGUAGUAUUUUUGUCAUGGCCCAAGAUCAAGACGUAACACGGCCAUAUUACUUUGAAGAAAAUCUCAAAGUAAUACGAAGCCUUCUUUCUUAAACAUUCUAAAAUUCUUCAAUAAAAUAAUCUACUAAGUAAAAUUCAUAUCUUUAAUCCAACUGAUGAUAUAUCUUUAUAUAUCCAAAUACAAAUCAUAUAAAAUAUAAAACUGCCUCUUAAAAUCUUAUUGACCAACAUAUUCUUCGAAGAUUAAGUAAUCGUACCCAAUUCAUCUUCUAGCUUUACAUAAGACUAAUCAAACUUAUCACUUAGUCAUCUGUAAAAAAAAAAGUAAAAGGAAAUGAGCAAACCACAGCUCAGUAAGUAUAGGCUCACACACUUUACCAGAUCAAGCAUCAUUUUCUUACACAUCAUAUAGAUCAUUCAAAAUAUUCAUCAAAUCAUAAUAUCAAAACAUUUCAAGAUUAUCGUUUUGUCAAAUAUUUCAUAAAUUCAUAAAUCAAUAUCAAAAUAUGUCACUUCAUAAAUCAUUGUAAAAUAUGAUAUCAUUCAAAUAUCAUAAUCAAACCAAAUCAUGGAUUAAUAAUUAAAAUCAUCAUAAAUCAUUAUUAUCAUUCAAAUCAUUAGCUACGGUUACUGUUAUAACCCGUGACAUUGACCGUAUCGACAAUUUCAUUCUCAUGAUCAUUGCUAACUAUUAUAACCCGUUAACCAGGGCUUACGUUAACUACUAUUACCCGUUAGCCAGGGUCGUAUGAUCAUGUCUUUGCUAACUACUAUUACCCGUUAGCCAGGGUCAUAGAACUAAUUCUGGUGUCGGUGAUCCCACUUCCCAGAGAUAUAAAAACGUAGCUAUCAUAAAAUCAUUCUUUAAACAUAAAUCAUUUUUUCAUUUCAUUCAUAAGCAUGAUCCAUCAUUUAUAUAGAGAAAUACAAAAUAAUCAUAUGCUUGAUCUUAUUUUCAUACACUGAAAAUAAUGAAAUAAAACAUUCUUUCAUUUAGAAACAUAUAUAUAUAUACAUAGAUUCGAAAACAAACAAAGUGUGUGAGAUCUACUUACCUCCAUUUGAUUCCACCACUUAGUUUUUCCCCUAAAAUAAUUAAUGGCCUAUCCAAGAUCAUUUCAACAGAUCAGAAUUUAAUCAACCCUUUUUUAGACCAUUUAUACAAAAAUCAACUAAGUUACACAAGAGUUAACUUAACUAAUUAAUACUGACAGCCUGACCUCUUUUCAUUAAAAUAGUCAUGUCUCAACAUAUCCAAAUCGAAAUUAUGAUCUCUUUAAUACGUUAGAAACUAGACUUGAUAAGCUUUCUAAUCAUAUAUGGCACACAUCGUAAUUUUUUGUAGAUUAAUUAUAACAAAUUUUGAAAUUCACGUCAUAUACUGUUGCCAAAUAGCCUGUAUACCUUUUAAUAAAAACUAUAUAUUUAUUUACAGGAAACUCCAAAUUCAAUUCCGCUUAUUUCAUUGGAAAGUAGACUCAAUAAGCUUUCCAAAAAUAUAUGGCUUAAUAUGUAAAUCUUUGUAUACAAAUUAAAAAGAAUUUCGUAAUUCAACCCUGAUGCUAUUGUCUUACAGCUUGCAUAUCUUUAAGUUAAAAUUAGACAACUUUUCAUAGAAAACUCGGAUUUAACUUUCAUAUGUUUCAUUAGAAACUAGAUUCAACAUGCUUUCCAAUGAUAUAUAAUAAUCACAGCAAUAAUCUAUCCAUUAAUGUAAAAUUCUAUUUUAAUUCAUUAUUACAGAUCACAACAUCUCAUCUAAAAAUAAAAUUUCUCCUUUAAUCUUUAAAAACUCAAAUUUUUACUUUCAGCCUUCAAACUCCAUUCAAUAAUCAUCAAUAAAUCUUAAGAACAUGAAAUAAACAAAGCUCAGUAAUUUAUCCAAAUAGAUCAUCAAAAUUAAUGAAGGAUUUUAUGAUUUUUUUUUGUUUUUCUUUCAAAACUUCAACUCCAAAUAAUAGCAAUCAAUUUGAUAUUUCUUCUUAAAUAAAAAUAGGGCAUGUCCUUACCUUUAAGGGAUUAACUUGAUUGUAGCCUCUGAUUGCGAAUCUCAAACUUGAUUUUUCAUAUUCUCUAACCUUAAGGAAGAUGAGAAAGAAGAACUCUAUUUUCUUUCUGUUUUAUAAUUAGAUUUUUUUUCAUCUAAUAUUUUAUUUUAUUUUUUUACUAAAUAAUGUUUUAAUAAAUUUAUGAACUUUAACAUUAAUUUAAUCUAAUUAUUAUUUGAGUUUGAAGUAUUACAAUUAUUUUUCAUUAUCUACUAAGCAAUCCGAGUACUAUUUGCUUUCCAAAACUGUACUAACUCAUAAGUGCAAACACCCACGAGGCUAUCUUUCUAGGGCGGCCCCCUUUUCGAUCCCUGUUCUCGCUAGAGGAGGAGCAGCAGGCCCUAAGCUGUGUGACGGGGUCAUGAAAAAGAAAAGAAUAUGCUUAGGCAGGCGCAUAAACGUAGAAUGCAGACACUGAAUCAAGAGACGCAAAUAAAGAAAAUCAAUUUAUUUUUAUUUAUCCUAUCUGCUCACUCAGGUCAUCGAUAAGGCAUCCAAACCAACGAGUUCGUGCACCAGCCGCCAAUGUGUUUUGAUGUUAUUCCUCAUUGCAAGUCAAAGGAAAGCGAUCGAGGAGAGGAUUCUUAGCUUGAAUGCGCCACGAGUGACGGAUGGUUGAAUCGCACCUACUACGAAAGUAGCCAUGGAUGUGAUGAGUGGAGGAAUGGCUAAACCGACCAACCAUUUAUAUAAAGAAUAUACUCUAAUUUACAAAUCAAAUAAGGGAUAUAGAAUUCUUCUCUAUCGUCUUUCAACCUUUGCUCUUGCCUUGGCUUCGCCUUCCACCUUAUUAAGCUUUGGACUUCCACCUUCAGUUAAGCACCUAACCCGUGGGACGGGACCUUUGGUCUAGCCUUUUUUCGGGUAUGGGAUCGACCUUCUCUUUUUCCCUGUCUCUCGCGCCGAUAUUGGUGGCUGAACCAUCUCCCCCCCCCCCCCCGUCAGAUUGGUUCUCUCUCUCCAAUUAGGAAAGGCUGAUAAGAAAUCGUAUCAAAUACUAUUCCCCGCUUAUCCAUCGGAGAGAGGAACUGUCCUAGCUGAGCUUUAACUCCUCGAUUCAAGAAGAGCUCGGGGAUAGGAGGAGAAUAAGAGGUUAGCAAAGUACGAACGUUUUCCAAGCGAGCCAUAGGAGUCUAGGUUUUGCGAGCUAGUCCGAAAAAGAGGCAAGCCUAUUUAAAUUAAAGGUUUAGGUCCAAUCAUUCUCCCCAUGUGCUAUCGGGCGUGGGGAUUAGGGCAUAACUACCGUUGUUUAAGGGUAUGAGGAAUGGGGUGGUUAAGAAAAAAAAGGUUAGCCGAGGUCUUACUAAGAAAAUGUCCUAUUAUUGACUUAUUGACUUAAAGCUUUGUCCUAUACCGAUAAGAUAGCGAGGUUAAUCGUUAAUAUCCACGUAGGUAGGAGAUUGCCCGUAUAUGCUCUUCGAGAAGUAGCGACUAUAUUAAUAAGCUGAGAAUGCUACCUUAACUUGUGUUCAUGCAAGCGCUACUCCGAAGGUUGUCAUCAUAGGAUUGAAGAGUUCAGCCAAUUGUCCGGUUUGGUUCAUUUGUCUUCCUAGUAUAUCUCAUACCGCCAUCCAUCCUUGGCCUAGUCCCAGAGCACUACUAAUAGCCACCACAUGAACUCGAGACGAUGGAGGGCUCGGGUGUCCUAAAAACGAGGGAUUUGAAAGAAAAAAGUCAGCUCUUAUCGGUUAGAGAACGAAUUAUUUGUUUGAAGCAUGUGACUUUGAGUGACUUGUAUCAGACGAGUUAGCCUUCCUUCAGAUAAACGAUUAGGCAGGAUGAAGCCCCGAGCUUUUACCAUGUCUUCUGAACACGAACUCUUAACUUAGAAAUUGCGAAAAGAAGGACAUAUAAUGGUGAGUCGAAUCAUGUGCAGUAGACUUUCCGUCAGACUUGACGUGCUUCACAAAUUCCUUUCGGUUGGUUCUUUCCGGGUGUAGAGACAGACAAUCCCAUGUGUUUGUGUACCAAGAAUUCUCAAAGCUUUUUCUAAGACAUGUUUUGGACAUCACUAGGACCAGAAGUCUUAAUUUUUGCUUGAGACGAAGGUAGGAAAGGGCUCAGGGUGCAGAAUAGGUAUUUGGCUUGGCUUGUUGUAGGGCAGUUUGGAAAGAAAAGACGGAGAAGCUACAGAAGGAGAAAAAGAAGCUAGGUUCGUUCGAACAGUAGUAGAAAGAGAAAGAAUACAACCAUAAGAGUUACAUCUCGCUCAUGUGGGAAAGCCGCUUAUUCCAUAAUUCAGUGGAGGAGUCCUUAGCUGCAUUCACCAUCCCCUUCGGACUCUCUCCCCUUUCGUCAUAAGGCGUGGUUCAGUCAUUGCCGUUCCAGGCUCCCGAUUAGGAUAAGCCCUUAUGCAUGGGGCAGGUGGUAGCAGUGCAACACUAUACAACUCUGAUCAUUUAUUAAGUUCAAUGAAUAAUAAAUAGUGCUUGCACAGCCAAUUCCUAAUCCUGCAGAGUCCGUUCGAGAACCAGUACCCGCGUAUCCAUGUAUUCUAAGCUAAGCUCUUUGCCCUGACAACAUAAGAUUGCUUUCGUGAAGCUCCAGCAACUUUCCACUCAAAUAAUCAGAGGAUUCGGUGACAAUGAGUUUUCCCAGUCCAGUCCGAAUCUCAUUCUCUUUGUUUUGUCUCUGUGGCUGCUAGAAAGAUAAGUGAAGCUUCUUUUUCGACAUUGACAUGAAGACCCCCAACUAAGCUAAGCGGCAAGCUUAUAAAGCAAGAUUCUCCGCAUCCUGAAUACUUGUUUUGUUUGAAGCCUAGUUUCCUUCUCUCGAGGGAAGAAACUGCGCCAUCCCCAUCUCCUACUGAAAGCGAAGGGGAGAAAAAAAAAGAAAAGCUUACUACUAGGUUGACUCUACGAAUGGGAAGAAAAAAUAGAAUAAGCUUAGAACUAGGAUUCCUCUCUCUAGGCAUUCUAGAACACCCCUCUUCGGGAUAACUUAUAGACUAUUAGUAACACAAGGAAUGUUUACAGACAGAAGAUCCAGUAACUGAUAGGAAAUCUAUAUAGGUUUUGCCAUAUACAGAAAGAAAGCAAACAAAGAAAGACAAGCUUGACUUCUGAUAUCACAAGCUUACGAAGCUGACUAUUUCAAUCAUUUAAUAUUUAUCUAAAGACAGACCAAUGACACCCAAGCUUACGGUUACUCUUUUAUUGUAAUCUUUUAUUGUAAAGUAAAGGCUUCUUGGCCGCUACACUAGGCUGCUUACUGUUCUCAUUAGUAUUCAUCCUAUAAUCGUGGGUCAAACCUUCCAGUUGAGCUUCUUCCUCUAGGUUACCCCUUCCAGAAUGUAAGGAUCAGUGGCAUCUUACUAUUUCAAGAAAAGACCAGCGACAUCCGAAGCUGGCUAUUCAGAUAGAAAGAAAGGGUAGAAAAACUCUUUUCUUUUCCGUUAAAAGAUAGGCUUCUCUCUAGGCUUAAGGGCCUUAAUCUUCUGGUUUUCACUAUUUUCAUUACUAUUCUUCCAGCUAGGUUGACCCUUCAGGUCUAGGAACGGGCGGCAAAGCCCCCAAAGAAAGGAACUCAAACCCAGUUUCCCCCGCCUUUCCUCUUAUGGAGGUAAUCUUCUAGCUACAAAAAGGAAGAAGCUUUUCUAAAACAGAAAGGGUUUUAAGGGAAGCUUUGGAGCUCAGUUUCCUCUCCCAGUAGUUUUAGGUAAGGCCCUCAAACAAAGACAAUAAAGAAAGACAAGGGAACAUCCAUACUGACUAGAAAUCUCUUGCGAAUCAUCCCCUUCAGGAUAGUGUCCCCGGGGUGCAUUCGUAAUCAAAGUCUCAAAAAAAGUUAGAUGUUAUAUUCCCUUUAGGCCUCCCAUUCUACGUUCCACUAGAAGUCUUAUAGCUAUCCCAGAACGGUAAAAUUUAAAGGCAAGCAAGAAAAAAAGGACUAAUUUCAGCUCUCACUGACUAUUCUACUCUAGGCUUCUUAAAAGGCUUAAUCUCAUCGUCAAUAGAGUUUCAAGUUGGUCAACAGGCCUCAACCGACAGAAUCUCUAGUUUAAAUUGGGCCCUCGUUUCUUUUAAAAGGCCUUUUUCGAAGUGAACGCCGGAGAAGGCAAAUCAAAAAAAAGAAAAAUUCCUCUCGAUUUCUUGCCUUGUUCAAGUUUCCCCAAAAGGAUGUACGCCAGUAAAUCGGCUCCCCAAAAGUAAAAUGUCAACGCUUCCAAAUGAAAUCAGCCUGAAAAAAAGAAGCGAAGUCUUCAACUAAACCGGUGGUGCCAUCUCUGCGCUUACUUCCGUUCCGAUUCGAGAGGCUUCUUCCGACUAUUCUAUUUUUGGGCGGCUUGCCGCUUACUCUCAGAGUGUAGAGUGACUCUUCUCCGGAAGCUUCUAGCCAGUCUGGUCUGACUAUUUAUUCUAAAUAGAUAGGGGUCAAACAAAUACCGGAACAGCGGGCAAAGCAGUCCUUUCUUCAACCACUAUUGUGGUAGGAACACAUUCUUCGAGCGGGAGAACAUUCUGACUUGAAAUAAAGUCUAGGCUAGCUGCAGUGCCAUCUUAAUCUUAUAGUUGUUUUCACUUUUCUAGUUGGAGUUGAUUCCUACUCUCGAACGGAAAGCAAGUAAGCCUUUAAAGCUUUGAAUAUUCGACUCGAAAUCUUGCUUCUAGCUUUGGGCACGUAAACAGAAAUAGCACAUAUAAAGGAAUUCAGGUACCUCAUACCUGUUUCACUAGUCGGUUAGACUAAAAUUCUCACCAAUUAAUAAGUACACUGAGGUAUCAUAGCUCCGUAACAUAACGUAUGUAGCAAUUGUUUAUCAAUUUCAUUUGCCUAUUCCCAUCAGAAGCUAAAACCAAUGGCAUGGGUCAUCUUCCUACGCAUCGAUCAAUCAGGCAUCACUACUAGUUUUGAGCUCCACGGAGACGGAGCGCGGUAAUCAUUCGAUUUCGUCCCGAGUUUUUUUUUUGCCUACUGUGUAGAUUCAGGUACGUAUUGUCUUGGUCUUUUUCUCCUCUUUAUCUUUUGACUGACUGGAUACUUUAAGUGUGGGGCGAUAGCAAGACAGAGGUGAUGGCUAUUCACAAGAUUAGCAAUUGAAAUAGGACUGAGGUCCACAAAAACAAAAAAGCCUCUCACUCGGAACCGCUUAGCAAACUCGGCUGAGCGGAGAUCAACGACUUUUGGGUCGAGAUCGUGACCCCCAAAUCUUGUAAAGCUAGCUUAUAGACUUUAGCUACAGACUCAUCAGCUAUGAGUAUAUCAUCACCGAGUACUGCAUACCUAAUAAAGUACCUGGGUACACCUAUUUGGCCAACCACCGCACCACAUAAUGGUGAGUGAGGGCAAAGACAGGCCACGAUGCAUAAUAACCGAAAAUGCCCGCUCCUUCGUCGUUGGGAUUUUCUAUUUUUUUUGUUGGAAAAAAGAAGCAGCCAUAAGCCAGGCUCAGAACUAAGAAGAAAAGCAAAUACAAAGAAGUCUCAUUAGACCUUUUAAAAACGAAGAAAUAUGCCAUUUGAAGUGAUCGAAAACCUUAUUUACUUCUAUAAUAAUUCGAAUUCUCGUCUUCAAAGGUUAAGGUCCAGUCGUCCGUCCAGUUUCAGCAAUGUAAGGUCCCAUGAACCUUCAGCCACAAGCCUUCUUUCGUCAAAUAGAACGAAUCGUUGGGUUCCACCCGGAGACGAAAGCCUACUUUUUGUCUUGUCCUGUAGUGGUCUAGCCCUGCUUCUUGUUCCGCCCCUGCGGAUAUAUACCUAUUUUUAUCAGAUUCGUCUUACGCUUUAAACAUUGGAGCACUUUCUAAAGCCAAAACUUGGUUUGUCACACUCGCUUCGGUGGGUGUAAACUCACCACUGUAGCAUCAAAACCAAAAGCUCCUGUUCCCCCCUAAUCUUAAGUUAAGAAUCCGAAGCUUAAGCCAAAUCUGAAGCUAGAAAAGAGGGGAAUAAAUGAUUCCAGUAGCCAAGCCAAUAUGGGGUCUAUAACCACAAUAAGAAUACCCGUGAUCCGGGGCAUUCCGCAGUUAAAGUUGAUGAUUUGUUUUCAAAUUUUUCGUCCGUCUGUGUGAAAAGGGGAAAAGUAUGUAAGAUCCGAUCCACCUUAAGUUACGUGGCCUGAGCCUGUUCCUAAAGCAUAGGCUAUAGUACCAAAUCCAAGGUAUAAAGAAGCCUAAGCCGACGCCGAAUCUGCACCUGCAGAAUAAAAAUAAUCUUCAAAAUCAGAAAAUGAAUAGUACGUAAAGAAAGGGCUUUUUGAUCCCCGAUCUGAGUCUCGUCUUUCGAAGGGUCUCGUUCCGUUCAUAUGCCGCUCAUUUGUAGCAGGGUUUUUGUAUGUUUUAGAUAAGUAAGACAAGCGCUUCAUUACGCGUGAUUCUAAUUCUAGCAUAUGCUCAGCUGCUCCUACCAAACAUUAAAGGCAAAAGGAUGCUUAUCUGGAUCUGGAUCAGCCUACUUCUUCUAUGUUACGUCCGUCCCCUUGUAUUCAGUAGGUCAGGGAGGUACCCGCCCGCGCUUUUUCUUACCCGGAAACACGUCGCUAGCCUAAGGCAGGCUUCGCUAUCCUCCCGAAGCUGUCAUUUUCCAAUGUAAUGGUUUUUCACUUAUAUGGGUACAAGGGGCUUUACUAUAUUUUACUUUAUGUAAUUAAGUUUAGCUGUAGUUAGAGUGGGUCGAUCUAGCCGCCUUAAUUGACCCGGUUGAAGAUCACAUUACUAAAUCCGAAUGAUGAUUUCAUAAUCAAUCAUAGAGGUGUGAAAUGGCAUCUUUUCAGAAGUCAGAUAGACCGUUGGAAGGUUAGCGCACAUCAUUUUUCUAUUUAGCUCCGAAGGCAACCCGUCGCGCCCUCGUCGCGGCGUUAGCAGCCAUUGACGAUGUAUUGAAGACUAAGCGAGCCGGCCUAGAACGGAGCACAUGCUACUUCUUCGAAAUCGCGAACACCUUACCUUUCUUCUUUUCUUAGUCUGAUCCGGACACUCCAGACCUCGGUUCUUGGCUUUGAUCCAAUUCCGAAGCUCGUUUGCUCACUAGCCGAUGUUAUUUUCAAUUUUAUUAGUUAGAAAAAAAAGUAUUGAGAUACCGUACCGCCUUAAACAAGCGCCAGGAAAAUAGAGCUUACCGCGCUGAGUUACGUCGUAGGCGAAGCUUUCGAUUCGACAAAUGGUUGAUGCUCUUAUGCAUUUAAAUUGUUGAGCUCAUGUUUUUAGGAUCAGUAGGUCGGGUGUCAUGGGCUAAGCUUUCUCUUAAUAAGUGAUAGAUCAUAUGGACGCUCCCACUUAAGUCAGCCAACAAUAACUCGAUAUCUGAACAAGUAACCAUAAGUCACAGUUAAUCUCAAGCAUACACAAGAAGACAUAUUUAUAUCAAGAGAAAAAAAAAUACAUCAAGACAACACUCGAGACUUUCGAAUAAAAGAUGUAUUUUAUUAUUAUCGAAAAUAAUACAUCGAAACUUCACACCAUCGUCGGGGCCAGGGGGUAGCCCUUGACGAGUGGCCUACUUUUGUACCUUAACCAAUGAGACAGCCCAAUAGUAUGUUGACUGCUCAACUCCCUAAAGAGCAACUGAGAUUUUAUAGCUAUGUUACCACUAACCAUUACAAUGUUUGAAAUGGGUAUACUUUUUCUAGCCUAAGGGGUUUAUCCUUCCCUUUGGCACCUCUACCUGGUCAUGGCCCUAUACAUGAGUGGCACAUGAUUACCUAAACCCGAUCAUGGCCCUAUAUAAAAGCGUUGUCUCAUGACAUCCUCCCCCACCUAUUCUAUCGAUGACUGCAUCGAUUUGUUAGCUUGAAAUUCUUCAAUCUUCCUCUUGAAUACCCGAAGGUCGUGCUCUAUCUCUCAGCUAGUUUCUUCUGAUCCUAAGCCCUCCCAUUUCACUUAAUAUUUGUGAACUAAUCUUUUUGAUACUCUGGAUACUCUGUCGGCUAGGAUCUCUUCAACGUGGUGCUCUGAUGGUGGCUUCAUGGUGAUGGCAACCCUGGUUGACUCCUUGUGACUUGCAUCUCUUGGAUUUGCAUAGAAAGGUUUCAAGUUGCUCACAUGGAAUACUGGGUGUACUUUCAUCCAUUUUGGUGGGUUUAUUUUGUAGGCAGCAUUUCCCACCUUGAUAAUGAUCUUCACUAGGCCCUCAUACUUUCACACCAAUCUACAGUCUUGCUUUUUCAGGAACCUAGUUUGUUCGGGCACUAAUCUGACUACAACGAGAUCACCAACUUGGAAUUGUUGUGCUCUCCGACCUUUGUCUGCCCACUUCUUCAUGCACUAGGAUGCCUUUUCUAGGUAAGCUCGUACAAUCUCUGUGUUCUGUUUCUAUUCUUUACUGAGGUUGAAGGCUUGAGGAUUCUUUCUUCCAUAUUGCUUAAAAGAGGUAUAGGGUAGUCUUGGUAGUUGUUCUGUGACCACCUCGAACGGACUUUUGUUGGUGGAAGAGUUCUUAUUGGAAUUGAAACAGAGUUGGGUAAUGUCUAGUAACGAAGGCUAGUUCUUCUGAUUGGCUUGAACAAAGUGCCUUAAGAACUCUUCCAAUAGCCCAUUGAACCGUUCAGUUUGUCCAUCUGUUUGAGGGUGAUAGCUUGAAGAAAUAUUGAGUUAAGAUCCCAAAAUCUUGAAAAGUUCUUUCCAAAAUGAUCCCGUGAAUCUUGGAUCCGUGUCACUGACAAUGUUUUGAGGAAGGCCCCAAUACUUGAUCACAUGUUUAAACAUUAGUUGAGCUGUAUCUUUCGCAAUACAAAACUUAAGGACGUGAAUGAAUGUAGCAUACUUCGAGAAACGGUCAAUAACCACCAAGAUCGACCCAAGAUCACCCACUUUAGGAAAAUUUGAUAUGAAAUCAAGAGAGAUGGUUUUCCAUGAUUGGGUGGGCACUGGUAAUGGUUCGAGCAAGCUUGCUAGUUUAUUCUUUUCAACUUUAUCAUGUUGGUAAAUAAGACACAUCUUGUUGUAGUCCAUCACAUAUUGUCACAUGCGAGGCCAAUAGUAGCCUUGUUUUAAUAGAGUAAAAGUACGUUGCCAACCUGAGUGACCUGCCCAUGGUGUGUUGUGGCAUUCCUUCAUCAGCAUUUGUCUCAAACCUCCUGCUUUUGGCACAAACAAUCAAGGGCCCUUUGUCCAUAAGACCAUAAGUACUUCGACUUCCUUUCUUCAACUAAUUUUAGAAUGGCACCGACCUGUGGGUCCUUUCCCAAAUUCUUUUCAAUUAACUUACGAAUGUUUGUUGUAACUUUGCUAGCUGUCAUUGGGGUAAUUUUUCUCAGGGUCACUAAUUCUACUCGUCGGCUCAAUGCAUCAACCACUUGAUUGGUUGUUCCCGCAAUGUGUUCUCAAAGCAAAAAUCAAACUCAGCUAAAAAUUCUUGCCAUUGAGUUUGCUUCGCUGUGAGCCUUGGUUGGGUGAGAAAGUGACUAACUGUCGCAUUGUCUGUCUUUACUACAAAGUGUGAGCCCAACAAAUAAUGUCACCAAGUUCUCAAACAGUGAAUUACUGCUAGGAGUUCUUUCUCUUGGGCUGUAUAUUUUCUCUCAACUUCACUUAGCUUUCUACUUUCAAAUACUAUUGAGUACCGCGCUUGUAGGAGAACUCCCCCAAUAGCAAAGUCAGAAGCAUCUAUUUGGACUUCAAAGGGUUAUCGAUGUCGGGGAGGACCAAGAUAGGAUCUUUCAUAAUGGCUUCCUUCAGUCCUUCAAAUACCUCUUGACAUUCGCUCGUCCAACACCAUUUAUGCUCUUUUUUUAAUAGUUCUGUGAGGGCUGUAGUUCUAUGGGAGUACCCUUCUAUAAAUCUUCUGCAAUAGUUGGCCAAUCCCAAAAACGAGCGAAGCUCACUAACAUUCUUAGGUGUUAUCCACUCAUUGAUGGCUCUAACCUUUUCCAUAUCCAUUCGAAUGUGGCCUUGUUCGACAAUGUGACUUAGAAAAUGGAUUUACGUCUGAACAAAAGCACAUUUCUCUCUUUUCACAUACAACUGGUGGUCUUGUAAUCUUUGAAGCACUAGGCAUAAGUGUUCUUGGUGUUCUUCCAAAAUAGAGCUAUAUACCACUAUGUCAUCCAAAUAAAUCACCACGAAUUUGUCAAGGUAAUCGUGGAACACCUGAUUCUUUAAGAUACAAAAUGUGAUGGGAGCAUUGGUUAGUCCAAAAGGCAUAACAAGAAAUUCAAAUGCACCAUAUCGGUUACACAGGUAGUUUUUGGUUCAUCUCCUUUCGUAAUUCUGACUUGAUGAUAGCCAGACCUCAAGUCCAAUUUGAAAAAGUAUUUGGCCUGACUCAGUUGAUCAAAUAAAAUAACAAUAAGGGAAAUCGGGUACUUGUUUCUCAUGAUGACCUUAUUUAGGGCUUUGUAUUCGACACAUAAUCGUAGGCUUCCAUCAUGCUUCUUUUGAAAUAACACAGGUGCUCUAAAGGGUGCUUUUAACGGCCUAAUGAACUCGACCUGUAAGAGUUCAUCCAAUUGUUUCCUUAGUUCAACCAAUUCUGGUGGAGCCAUGCGAUAUGGGGCAUUAGCAAGGGGUUUAACCCCUAGGAGAAGUUUAAUUUCAUGGUCAACCAAUCUUCAAAAAGGUAAGACCUUAGACAAUUGUUCUGGCAUCAUAUUUUUAAACUUUUCUAACACCUUUGUCACCCCAUCGGGUAUUGGAUCUAACUCUAUCCCAUCCUUGUAGAUCGGUAUCACCACAUAAGAGAGCUCUCCUUUUUUUAUCCCUUUCUUGAAUUAUAGUGCUAAGAUCAUCUUCUUUUCAUUUUUCAACAAGAUUGUGGUUAGCACCACACAGGGUUACUCCCCUAAGAACAACAGAUAACUAGCGAUGGGGAUUGGUAUCACCUGAGCCAACAUCAUGAAGUCUAAUCCGAAGACAACAUCAAAGUCAUUUAUGAGGGAAAAAGUGAAGUCUACCUUUCCUUCCCAUGGCCCUAACUUGGUCACACAUUCUUGGAGCUUCACUGAUUGUGAAGGCUGGUGAGUGGAUCGCUUUCAUUUGUCCGUAGUCCUUGUUCACCUUAAGACCACACCUUUUUGCUUUCUCAGGUGUAAUGAAGGUAUCAAUUGCACCCAUAUCAACCAUAGCCCUUGUGGUUUUCUUAUUGAGUACUAGGUCCACAUACAUCAAGCUUCUACUCAGUUCUUUCUUUACCAUGUUAAGUUGGGUACGAGGGUAUUUAAAAACGUAUGGAGCCCAUCCUGGUCGGUUCUUUUUCAAUCUAUUCGAUUGUCUAUGGUGCUUUUAUGAAAUCUUGGAACGAGGCUCUUAAGGCAUUAAGGGCCCCUCUAUGAGGGCACUCAGCCAUUCAAUGCAGCCCCUUGCAUAGGAAACAAGCUAACGGUUGCCUAGGCCUGAAACUUGUUGCAUGGUUUGCUCUGGGUUGGGUGUUGUCUCGACCAAAGGGCCUUUUAUCUGAUCCCCCACUUAAGGUUUAGUCCACUCUGGCCAUCUUUCCCCCACUCCCAAAGAUGGAGUUACUACCACCUAAUGGAAGAUUUUUUCAUUUUGAAAAGCUAUCAUUGUAAUCAUGAAGGCAUUCGGCUGCAGCCAUGGUCAUGGCUACAUCUUGCACCUUUUGCCUUUAUAGUUCUGUCUUGGCCCAAGGUUUAAGGCCAUCAAGAAAAUAAAAAUUUUAUCUUUUUUGAAAAUGUCUCUAAUGUCCAAUAUUAGGGUAGAAAAGCUCCUUACAAACUCUCGCACUAUUCUCGUUUGUACCAACUCUCGAAGUUUCCUUUAGGCUAUAUACUCUACGUUCUCAUAAAAGAACUGGUUUUUCAAUUCCUGCUUCAGGUCCAUCUAAGUUUUGAUAGGGCAUUCAUUAUUUACAAAUUUUGAACGCCACCAAAGCUUGACAUCCCCCGUAAGGUACAUUGAUGCCAUUGCCACCUUGUCUUCCUCUGAUUUCGUACAUACGGCUCGAAAGUCUUGCUCUAUGUCAAACAGAAAGUUCUCAAGCUCUUUGGCAUCUCUUGCCCCCCUCAUAGCGUCGAAGAUUUGGCCUUUUGGCCUUUUGUCCCUUUUUCCCCGAGCUAGAACUCGACCUAGCCACCGCCACUUAUAAGACACCUACUUCGGCCCUAAGCUCCUCAAACUUUUUUUGGAGGACAUUCAAAGCAUCUUUAGCCUAUUCACUCAAGCUAUGUAAAGUAUCGGACGACUCCCGCUAGGUCAUCUCAAUCUCCUUCAAACGAUCGGUUGUAAGCAUAUGAGCUUUCAAAGUGACCACCGCGGCUUCAAGCUCCUCAAUUCUCUGUUGAUAGUUAAAUCCACCAUUCAUGGCCAUUUUUUCAAUUCUCUAGCACUUCACACUGUGCUUUGAUACCACGUGUCAUAGGCUAAGCUUUCUCUCAACAAACGAUAGACCGUGCAGCACUUGAAUGGACACUCCCACCUAAGUCAGCCAACAAUAGCUUGAUAUCUGAAUAAGCAACCAUAAGUCAUAGUUAAUCUCAAGCAUACAUAAGAAGACAUAUUCAUAUUGAGAGAAAGAAAAGCACAUCGAGGUAACACUCGGGACUUUCGAAUAAAAGAUGUAUUUUAUUAUUAUCGAGAAUAGUACAUCGAGACUUCACACCAUCGUUGAGGCCAGGGGAUAACCCUUGACGGGUGGCUUAUAUUCGUACUUUAACCAGUGAGACGGCCUAAUAAUAUGCUAACUGCUCACUCCCCUUAAAGAACAAAUGAGAUUUUAUAGUCAUGCUACCACUAACUGUUAUAAUAUUUGAAAUGGGGAUAUUUUUCCUAGCCUAAAGAUCUUAUCCUUCGAUUUGGCACUUCUACCUGAUCAUGGCCCUAUAUAUGGGUGGCACAUGACUACUUAAACCUGAUCAUGAUCCUAUACAAAAGCGUUGGCUCAUGACAUCGGGCCUACCGUUCUAAUGAUUCCGUAGAUACAGAAAGAGUCAGUCUCGGCUUUAUAUUAAAAAAUAAAAAAAUAGAUAUUAGAACGUCAACUUUAGGCUUUGUGAAUUAAGGAGGACUCAUAUGAUUCUCCUUCCUCGACUUCGGUUCUGUCUCCUGAAAUAACCCAGAAACUUGCUUAGUCAGGUCUUCCUUUUAUGUGAAUUCGUAGAGUAGGCAGAGACCCUUAUAUACGAUCGGAGUUUAAACACUUAAACCAUGGGUCCCCCGAAUAUCCAUCCAACCCCCUUUCCUGGCUUUUGUUCUACUAGCAGUAAGCUCUGCUCCCUCCAGUUCUAUUAAUUCCGGAUUUUCAUUUUUUUACCUGACGACCAUCCAAGGUUUCAUGAGUGCUCCUAUUCUGUUAGUUAUGACUUUUCGUUUGGCAUUUUAGUGGCAUUUUAGCUGAGUCCGCUUGGGCCUGCGUCAAGCCUGAAGCUUUUGUUUAUUCAGGUGUCUAUGCCGAUUUUUUUGGGGGUAGAUUGUGGCUUUGAGACAACCUUCUUCGGUAAAUGCUAUCCCGGGAAAAUGGAUCCGUUGUUGGUUCCAGAGAAGCGGCAGGAUAUCCUUUUUAAACAAAAACCGGGUUGGUAGAACCAGGGCCCGUUGUUUCAGACGAGACCUCCUUCAGGGCGGAUGAAGCAGCCCUUGCUUUAUGACCUGUUUCAUACCUGGAAGAGUUGAAAGAUCAAGGCCAUUACUUCCACGAUACAGCCCCCCCUGCUGAAUCUUAAGCUUUCUCAAUAGCGUAGCCUCUUUAACCCCACCGCAUCAGCUAUACACCGAGGACCGGUACCGAGACCCAUACCCCCCUAGCUACAUGGUGGUACUUUGCGGCUCCUCACAAGUAGUUUUGGUCGGACAUAAUAUCUACCGAAGUGGGACAAAGGGCCUUAUAAAGAGAAGCGAGGCGGGGGACUAGAAGCAAGCUAGUUUUCGCAAGACGGCUUACUUCACCAACGAACGGGGUGUGGGCCAAGACGACGAAAGUUUUGAUUCAACAACUGAUAACCCCGAAAGGCAAACAAAGUCAAACUGAAUAAAAGUUGACUUACGAUAAAAAAAUAAAGGAAUGUCUCUUUUACUUUUAAAAUGUGAGAUAGCUUUACUUUUGGUCCCGUUUGGAUGGUUUCAACUAUCUCCUAGAAAGCCAGGAGACGAGACAGAAGAUGUAGAGAAUACUAUGAGAGUGUAUCCUAUGUGACGGAGUAGAGAAGGGAGCACCUUCAACCGACAAAGCACUUAUUCCUGCUCGGUCAAGAUGUUUAAACGGACCUUCUUCAAAAAUGUCUCUAAAGGUGGCUAAUGGGACUACUGGUCUGCUGCUUUGACUUUUUUCAAUUACUGUGAAAGUAAAGAAACUCAGCUUCUUACAGGUCUUAAUAAGCAAUAAGCGGGCAACUAAGGUCUACUCGUCAAGUAAAGCUUCACUUUUUCGAUGACAGCUAAAGCCGAUUUAAUCAAUGCGACUCUGGCCCACCGAAAGGAAUAUUCUGAGGCGGGCAGGUAAAGAAGGGCCAAGAUAUAAUCUUCUCAUUCAGAAAAUGCCCUCUUAUGCGCUAUCCGAUCUCGUGAAGCCAAUGGGUUAGCAAUGAUCCUAUCAAUUGACAGUUUCGGGACUUCUCCUGAAGAAUGACCAAGGGAACCGACCGUAUCAAAGUAGUGUGAUCUCUUGGCAUAGCUGAAACUCGAUGUCAGAAAGCACGUUCCUCGCUAUGAAGCCCGAAGACGAAGGUCUGAUUCAGCGAACGGGUUAGCUUUCCCACUCUCCUUGCUUUCAAUCUGUCUUGUGCCACUCCUCAAGCCAUUCUUUGAACUUUGAACUUACUUAAUAGGGGCGACCUUCACUAUUGUUGGUGGAAGUCCCCCUUUCCGAUUAUAGAUCUAAGAGUUUGUUUUUUCCCUCCUAAUCUAGUUGAAAGAACUGAUAGUUUUUAUUGAUUCAAGGAAACUGACCAAUCUAAGAAAUUUAGAAUAGAAUCGUUGAAAUUGUUCAUAAUUGUUCUAUCUAUCUUCAAGGUUUUUCAAGUCUUUUAGGGCUCCGGGGAUCGACUUCGCAGGACCAUUUCGGUCCACUCUUGGUUAGGCUCUAUCGGGCGGAGCUUUCUCAAUCAACUAUCAAGCGAUAAUGAAGAAAGAAAGUUUUAUGAAACUUUUACUUCUUUCAAAUGUCAACUUCUUCUCUUAUGAUAUUGAAUUUCGAAUUACCUAUUCUACUUCACAUUGGCCAAUUUCACACCUUCUAAAUGUGUCAUUUGACCGAAUGUGACAACUAAUCAAAAGACACCAAUUCAUUUUUAGGAACAAAAGAAAUGAUGGGGUAGGGUCUUUUAGCUAAAGAUCAAUCUAGAAAGCAGAGUCCAAGGUACAUGUGUUAAGCAUAUUCUUUCCUUUACCCGGGAAAAGUAGAUCCUUAAUAGCCUCAAUUUAGAGUUUAGCAUUAAAAGCAAAAGGCAUACAGCCUCAAUUUAGAGUUUAGCAUUAAAAGUAAAAGGCAUGCAUAGCGUAUAGAUUGCUCGAAGAUCCAAGUCAAAACCUACUGCGUCGACACCUUCACAUUUUAAGUAAGCCUCUAGCAAAUGAGAAGGUGUCACGGACUAGGCUUUCUCUCAACAAGCAAUAGAUCGUGCGGUAUUUGAAUGGACACUCCCACCCAAGUCAGCCCUCAAUAGUUCGAUAUCUGAACAAAUAACUAUAAGCCACAGUUAGUCCCAAGCAUACGUAAUAAGACACAUUUAUAUCGAGAUCAAUCUCAAGCACACACAAGAAGGCACAUUCACAUCGACAAAAAAAAAAACACAUCAAGGUAAUAUUCGGGACAUUCGAAUCAGAGGUGAAUUUUAUUAUAAUUGAAGAUAGUACAUCGAGACUUCCCACCAUCACCAAGGCCAAAAGACAGCUCUUGACGGAUGGCCUAGACCCAUAUUACGACCGAUGAGACAACCCAACAAUACGUUACCCGUUCACUCCCCUAAAGAGCCUUAGAGAUUUUAGAGCUAUACUAUCACUAACCAUUAUAAUGUUUGAAAUGGGGACACUUUUCCUAGCACAAGAGAUCUACCCGGUCAUGGCCCUAUACAUGGAUGGCUCAUGAUAACCUAAGCCCCGAUCAUGGCCCUAUACAAGGUUGGCUUAUAGCAUCCUCCUUCACCUAUGCUAUCGACGUCCUCGUCGACUUGUUGGCUUGAAAUUCUUCAAUCUUCCUCUUGAAUCUCCGGAGGUUGUGUUCCCUUUCCCAGCUAGUUUCUUUUAGUCCUAAUCCCUCCCAUUUCACUAAGUAUUCACGAACUAGUCUUCGAGAUACUUUAAUUUUUCUGUCGGCUAAGAUCUCUUCGACGCGACACUCUGAGGGUGGUUUCAUGGUGAUGAUGGCACUGGUUGGCUCCUUUCGGCUAGCAUUUAUAGGAUCUGCAUGAAAAGGUUUCAAAUUACUCACAUGAAAUACUGGGUGCACCUUCAUCCAUUUUGGUGGGUCAAUUUUGUAUGAAGCAUUCUCCACAUUGGAAAAGAUCUUCACUAGACCCUCAUAUUUGUGCACUAAUCUGCAAUCUCUCUUUUUCAAGAACCUGGUUUGUUCAGGGACUAGUCGAACAAGAACCAAAUCACCAACUUGGAAUUGUUACGCCUUGUGACCUUUGUCUGCCCAUUUCUUCAUUCGCUUCGAUGCUUUUUUCAGGUAAGCUUGUGCAAUCUCAGUGUUUUGUUUCCACUUUUUGUCGAGGUUGAAGGCUCUCGAAUUUUUCCCUCUAUAUUGCUCUAAGAAAGUAUGAGGUAGCCUUGGUAAUUAUUCGGUGACCACUUCAAACGGGUUCUUAUUAGUGGAAGAGCUUUUGUUAGAAUUAAAGUAAAACUGAGCAACAUCCAAUAACGAAUGCCAGUUCUUCUAAUUAGCUUGAACAAAGUGCCUUAAGUAUUCCUUUAGUAAUCCAUUGAACCAUUCCGUUUGACCGUCGGUUUGAAGGUGGUAGCUUGAGGAGUUGUUAAGUUGAGACCCCAAUAUCUUAAAAAGUUCUCUCUAAAAAGAUUCCGUGAAUCUCGGAUCUUUAUCGCUUAUAAUGUUUUGAGGAAGGCUCUAGUAUUUGACCACAUAUUUAAAUAGUAAUCUAGCUGUGUCUUUCGCAAUACAAUACUUAUGAGUAGGGAUGAAUGUAGCGUACUUAGAAAAACGGUCAAUCACCACCAAAAUAGCUCCAAAAUCACCAACAUUGGGAAGGUCUGAAAUGAAAUCUAGAAAAAUGCUUUCCAAUGGUCUAGUGGGCACCGGUAAUGGUUUAAGCACACAUGCAAGUUUCUUCUUUUCAACUUUGUCUUGUUAGCAAAUGAGACAAGUCUUUGUAUAAUCCAUCACGUCUUAUCACAUAUGAGGCCAAUAAUAUCCACGUUUCAAUAAAGCCAAAGUGCGUUGUCAGCCCGAAUGUUCAGCCCAUGGUGUGUCAUGACAUUCCCUUAUCAACAUUUGUCUUAGAUCUCCUGUUUUUAGCAUAAACAAUCAGGGCCCCUUGGUCCAUAAGAUCUCAUUUUCUUACCAGAAGUACUUAGACUUCCCUUCUUCAACUAGCUUCAGGAUGGUACUAGCCUACAGGUCCUUCCCUAAAUGAUCUUCAAUUAACUUACGAAUGUCUGUCGUGACUCUGCUAGCCACCAUUGGGGUAAUUCUUCUAAGGGCUACUAACUCUAUUCAUCUGCUCAAUGCAUUGGCCACUUGAUUGGUCUUUCCAACGGUGUGCUCAAAAUAAAAGUUUAACUCUGCUAAAAAUUCUUACCAUUUAGCUUGUUUCGCUGUAAGUCUUGGUUGGGUGAGAAAAUGGCUAACGACCGCAUUGUCUGUCUUCACGAUAAAGUGUGAACCUAACAAAUAAUGUCGCCAAGCCCUCAAGCAGUGAACUACAGCCAAGAGCUCUUUUUUUUGGGCCGUAUAUUUUCUCUUAGCUUCACUUAGCUUCCUACUUUCAAAUGCUAUUAGGUGACGUUGUUGUAAAAGCACUCCUCAAAUAAUGAAAUCAGAUGCAUCCGUCUGAACUUUGAAAAGCUUUUCAAUAUCAGAGAGAGCUAAGAUAGGAUCUUUCAUAAUAGCAUCUUUCAAUCCCUCAAAGGUCUCUUGGCACUCACUUGUCCAACACCAUUUAUACUCCUUUUUUAAUAGCUUUGUAAGGGCCAUGGUCUUACAAGAGUACCCUUCUACAAACCUUCUAUAAUAGUUGGCUAGUCCCAAAAAUAAACGAAGUUCACUAACAUUCUUUGGUGUUGUCCACUCCUUGAUGACCAUAACAUUUUUCAUGUCUAUUCGAAUGUGGUCAUGUUUGACAAUGUGAUCGAAAAAAUGGAUUUGGGUCUGAACAAAUAUACAUUUCUUCCUUUUCACAUAUAACUGGUAGUCUUGUAAUCUUCAAAGUACCUGACACAAGUGUUCUUGAUAUUCUUCCAGAGUAGAGCUAUAUACCACUAUGUCAUCUAAAUAGAUUACUACAAAUUUGUUUAGAUAGUCAUAGAACACCUGAUUCAUCAAUGUAUAAAAUGUGACAGGAGCAUUGAUCAGUUUAAAGGGCAUAACAAGAAAUUCAAAUGCACUAUACCAUGUUACACAAGUGAUCUUUGGCUCAUCUCCCUCAGCGAUUCUGACCUGAUGGUAGCCAGAUCUCAAGUCCAAUUUGGAAAAGUACUUAGCCCGACUUAGUUGAUCAAACAAAUUUGCUAUAAGAGGGAUGGGAUAUUUAUUUCUCACGGUGACUUUGUUCAGGGCCUUGUAGUCAACACAUAAUCGUAAACUUCUAUCGUGCUUUUUUUAAAAUAGCACUAGCGUUUCAAAAGGAGCCUUUGAUGGUCUAAUGAACCCGACCUGUAAAAGCUUAUCUAAUUGUUUCCUUAGUUUGGCCAACUCUGACGGGGCCAUGCGGUAAAAGGCUCUAGCAGAGGGUUUAACUCCUAAGAGGAGCUCAAUUUCAUGGUCCACGGCUCUUCGAGGAGAUAGAACCUUAGGCAACAUCCCUGGCAUCACCUUUUCUAAUUUUUUAACACUUUUUCCAUGCCAUCAGGUAUCGGUUCCACUCUCAACCCUUCUUUGUAAAUUGAUAUGGCCACAAAGAAGGGUUCCCCUCUCUUUACCCUUUUCUUGAACUGUAAACCUGAGAUCAUUUUCUUCUCAUUCUUUGACAAGAUAGUGGCCGACACCACACAUAGAUGUUCCUCUAAGAACAACAGGCAACUAGCAACGGAGAUAGGUAUCACCUGAGCCAAUAUCAUGAAGUCCAAUCUGAAGAUGACAUCAAAGUCAUCCAUAAGGGGAAACUGUAAAGUCUACCUUCCCUUCCUAUGGUCUCAAUUUGGUCAUCGCACUCUUGAAGCUUCCACUGAUCUUAAAAGCUGGCAAAUUAACUGUCUUUAUUCAUCCACAGUCUUUGCUAACCUGAAGACCACACUUUUUUGCUUCUUCUGAUAUGAUAAAGGUAUCAAUUGCACCCAUGUCUACCAUGACCCUGAUGGCCUUCUCAUUGAUCAUUAAGUUCACAUACAUCAGGCCUCUACCCUACUCUUUCUUUAUUGUAUUCAGUUGGGUGUGAAGGGCAUUGAAAAACCUUAUUGAACCCAUCCUGGCUGGCUCCUCUUCAACUUCUUCAAUGAUCUCUGGUGCUUUUGUGGACUCUUGAGAUGAGGCACUUAAGGCAUUAAGGGCUCCUCUGUUGGGCAUUCAGCCACUCGAUGCGACCCCUUACAUAGAAAGUAAGCUAGUGAUUCCCUAGGCUUGAAAAUCACUGCAUUGUUUGUCUUGGGUCGGGUGCUAUCUCGACCAAAAGACCUCCUAUCUGAUCCUCCACUGAAGGGCCAGUCCAAUCUAGUCAUCUUUUUUCCAUUCUCAAAGUUGAAGUUAUUGCCAACUGAUGGAGGAUUUUUUCAUUUUGAGGAGCCAUCAUUAUAAUCAUAGAGACGUUCAGCUGCAGCCAUGGCCGUGGCCACGUCUUGCACUUUUUAUCUUUGUAGUUCUGUCCCGGCCCAAGGCUUGAGGCCCUUAAGGAAAUAAAACAUCUUGUCUUUUUCGGACAUAUCUCGAAUAUCUAGCAUCAGGGUAGAAAAACUCCUCACAAACUUUCGUAUUGUUUCUGUUUGCACUAAUUCUCGAAGUUUUCUUCGAGCCAUAUACUCCACAUUUUCAGGGAAGAACUGAUUUUUUAGUUUUUGUUUCAAGUCCGUCCAAGUCUUAAUUAGACACUUGUCAUUGACAAACUUGAAGCGCCACCAUAGCUUGGUAUCCCCUGUGAGGUACAUCGACGUCAUUACUACCUUAUCUUCCUCUAAAUCCGUGUAUACAGCUCGAAAGUAUUGUUUCAUGUCAAACAGAAAGUUUUCAAGCUCAUUGACAUCUCUUGCCCCCUCAUAGCAUCGAGGCUCCGACACCUUGGCCUUUUUUUCCCUUUCUGUCGAGCUCGAACUCGAUCUGGCCACAGCCAUUUGUAUGAUGCUCACUUGUGCUCUGAGCUCCUCAAACUCCUUUUGGAGAACAUCCAAGGCAUCUCUAGGCUCCUCGCUCACAUUGUGGAGAGUAUCGGAUAAUUCCCGCUAGGUUGUCUCGAUCUCCCUUAAUCGAUCUUUAGUCACCAUGUGAGUUUUCACUGCGGCCACCGCGGCCUCAAGUUCCUUAAGUCUCUGUUGAUAAUUGGGUCCACCACUUGUGGCCAUCUCUUCCAUUUUCUAGCACUUCUCAACUUAGCUCUGAUACCACGUGUCACGGACUAGGCUUUCUUUCAACAAGUAAUAGACCGUGUGGCACUUAAAUGGACGCUCCCACCCAAGUCAGCCCUCAAUAAUUUGAUAUUUGAACAAAUAACCAUAAGCCACUGUUAGUCCCAAGUGUACGCAAUAAGACACAUUCAUAUUGAGAUCAAUCUCAAGCACACACAAGAAGGCACAUUCACAUCGAUAAAAAGAAAAACACAUCAAGGCAACAUUCGGGACAUUCGAAUCGAAGGUGAAUUUUAUUAUAAUCGAUGAUAGUACAUCGGGACUUCCCACCAUCGCCAGAGCCAAGGGGACAGCCUUUGGUAAAUGGCCUAGGCCCAUAUCACGACCGGUGAGACAACCCAACAAUACGUUGCCCGCUCACCCCCUAAAGAGCCUUAGAGAUUUUAGAGCUAUGCUACCACUAAUUAUUACAAUGUUUGAAAUGGAUAUAUUUUUUCAAACACAAGAAAUCUACCUGGUCAUGGCCUUAUAUGAGUGGCUCAUGAGAGCCUAAACCCUGAUCAUGGCCCUAUACAAGGUUGGCUCAUGAUAGAAGGCCUGUGGACAAAUCAAGUAAUGGAGCGAGGUGAGUUUGGUUUCCAAUAGCCAUUGCUGCCGGUUCUUAUUGGAAUAGGCUUCGGGCUAACCGGCUAGCAGAACAGACCGAUCAAUCGUAUUCGUUAGCUUAAGUGCUAUCCUCGUCUACUCUUUGCGAAGUUGAUUAUUUUUAAAAUAAAUGAAUUCCAGAUCAGCGACAUCUGUUUUAGGAGUUUGCUUUGUGUUGAAGACUAAUAGGCUUUCAAGCUUGGAGUUUAAAACUCGGUCAAUACAUCAGGAGCUAAAGGAGAAUAGUGAAAACUAGAAGGUAGAAGACUAAGGCCUAGAGACUAGAGAAAAGAAAAGGGUGUUAUAGGAAAAGAUGGCGCCUUUCAUCCCUUCCCCGGGGUUUUCAGGCUUGUUCAAAAGAAAAAAAACGUGGGUGGCAUUAUGCUUUUUAAUGCUGAGGGGAUCAAAGGUGUCAGUUAUAAAGGUUCUUACAAUGUUCGUUCAAUCCAAGCAGCAUUCUUGUUGUUCUUAACUUAAGGAGAGGGAGGAGGGACUUCUAAAGAAGGGCUGGCUUGGAACCUAUGAGCGGAACAACACAACAAACAUGAAGAAAUGAAAAAGAAUGAACGGGAGGCGUCGGAGGAAGGACUGACGAACUACUUACUUGUUUACUUGUGUUUUUACUGACUUGGGGUUCUUUCUCGUAAGUGGUACACCUACACCCUGCACGCACACUCAUCUAUAUACAUUGAUAGCCUUUCGCAAAAAGCCCCUCUCUCUACUAAAUACAGUUGUUUCAGGUAUUAGUAAUUAGUAGGCCCGGAUCCAGCUGAAAAACGGAAUGGAAUACUCUAAGAUGCUUCAUAGCUUCAACAAUCCCCUUUAUUAGAUUAGUAAGAUAGGGGUUCAAAACCUGCGCUCCAGCGAAGAAAACUACAGGGCGAUCGUAAGAUGGUUGGCUCUUUAUUCAGGUGCUCUUCUGUCUUCAGGUGCCUACCGCUUAGUUAGCUCUUGUUUUAGGUGUACUCUUUUCGACUUCUUUCUUCUUGUAGCUAUUGCCUUAUUCCCUACUGCACAGCUUUGUGUUGUCCUUGUGCUAAGGAAGUGCCUCCCCCUAUUCCACCCAAAGCUGGUUCCGUGGCCAAAUCAGAUCUUUCUUUAUUAAUCUUCCUCUCCUUAAGCUUAAGUUAAAAAGGUUGAGCCAGUUUUCACUUCCUCCAGCCCUUAGACUUGUUACGUUUAACGACUUCACUCGAAAGAAAGCGCUUACGUAUACGAAUGCUUAAAGAGUUCGGACUUUGGGGAUACCGGAGUGGGGACAUUGGUACAUGGGGAGUUUACUGUAUUCAGGAAUCUCAUGUAUAGAAUCAAUCUCUCGAACCCUCGGGUGAAAUACGAGAGGGACUAAGUGCGGAAUGAAGGCACCGAAAGUUAUAAUCCUAUUCAUUCAAAUGCCAGUGAUUCAAAAAAGACCUUACUUCGACUAACAAAAAAGGUCUACUUCCCUACUCAUGUUCUGAGUAGGGCUAGGGCGCGACGCUAAGGCUAAGGCUUUCGAAAAGACAGAUGAAUGCCGUCGAGCAACUCCUUCGUUGAGAUAGAGUGAGUGUGCGUGAAGGACAUAAAAUGCUAAUCUCCUUCAUUGCUUCAUGGAAAAGGCCGAGUGAAAACGUUUUUUCAACUUCUUAUAAUGAGGAUUUUUACAAUGCUCAUUUCCUCAUGGGUGAUCACUCGCUCUUUAUCUAAAAAUCCUCUAUGAAAUGACUUGACUAAUUGAUAGCCUGCAUGGACUCGACACCUCCUCUCCACGGGUCGCUUUGACUAAUCAACUCGGGUCAAGCUAUCAAUCCCGCCCCCCGGAGCAUACUACCAAGGAACCAGGCCGCCUCUGUCUUUUAGCCCAACCUCUCUGUUAAAGAGCCUAUCUAGUCGAUGGGAAUCCCCAUAUUUUAUAUUGUUUUCUACCCAAGUGGAAGGGAAAAAGUCAACUCACAUACAACUAUCUGAAAUCAGUGAUUGAAUUGAAGUGGGAGAGUGGGCUUGGAGUUUGGCCAAUUGCUCUCAAAGACCAGCUAGGCGAGAUUCAGCUUUUGUUGCUGCCUCUGUGACUUCUUUAGCUGCUGCUGCUUUCUCUCCAGCUAUAUUGAGUAGCUGGUCCAACUCCGGUGGUUUAAGUUUGCUGCAAUAUCCUUGGAGCAGAGCAUGAGCCUUGGGAGCAGUUGUACAAGCCUUCUGUCAUCUUCACAAAGUCCCGGUACAACUGACAGCUCUACAACGAGAUGAGAAAGCUCAUGUGGCAUGUCACUUAGAAGCAAAAAAAAGAAUCCAAGGCAUCAUUGCAGCUUUAAUCUCUUCAGCAUUCCUGGUUACCCAGUGUCCACUUCCUGAGGUUCCGUCGCCUUCGCCUUCAUUUGCUACCAAUGCUUAAUAAUAUAACCUCAUCGCCAGGUUUGAAAAUAUCUGGUUCGAAAGAGCCAGGAAACUAGCAAGCCUUGAGGAAGGAUAAGUUAUUUGCGCCGAAUAUGUGCUUCGUGGUCAUUGCUCCGGAGAUGCAUUGUUCAUUGGCAACCGAAGAAGGAGGAAGCUAAAAAAUGAAAAAAAUGGGUCUUUCUUUGCUCGAGUGUGGGGAGUUCGUUAACUUCAGUAUUAACAGCACUCAAAAGAGAGGUUUUUUUUAAGCUUUCCAGCGGGUAUUUCAAUUACACCAAUGCCAGCGGAGUUUUCAUUUCAGCCAUUCCCUUUUGUUUUGUAUAGAGGAGUCCGUGUAAGCUAAUGCUAAGGUAUUCUGUAAGAGAAAAGAAAGCGGUAAUACAGGCAGUCUAUCUUAUGAUUCUUCUUAUCAUUAGGAAGAAGCUCUUUAGUAGUUUACUGAAAGCUAUAGUAUUCUAUAUAGAAUACUUUCGUUUGAAUACAAUUCAAUCCAUGAGAUCUUGAAGCGGUGUUGGUGAAAGCAGUUUUUUGUCCUAUUUCAUCAGUUGAAGACACAUAUCUAUUUGCUAAACCUAUUUCCCUGAUAGCCUGUAGCCUGUAGAUUGAUCAAUUGAAACUUUCCCUUAUCCAAAACCAGCUCACUAGCUAAAAAGAAAACGAAAAUGGCUUAUUGAAUCCUUUCCUUAUGUUUUUUGUCUGUCUUUAUCUAGAAGCGGGGGAGUUGGGAACUAGACUUCGCUUCUCUUAAUAGGAAAUGGAUUUUCUCUUUCCUGCUCGGCGAAUAAGCCAGUACGCGAGGAAAGCUUAUCAUCCUUGCCUUUCAUCCUACUCGAAUCGUAUGAGUCCUGGCCUAAUCCUUUCAUUGUUGGUUAUCAACCAGUCAGUCAGUAGACUUUUCUUAUGAUCCUAGUUUCGAUUUCAUUGGCUAUGGGUCACGAACGUUCUAACAUAGGAAUUAGGGUGCUGCUCCUCUCUUCUCUUGCUUUCUUUCUUUUGCCUCAAAAACAGGUUUUUUUUCAUCCAAUGUGGACUUUAGUGCUUUCGAGUAGCAAAUGGAAUGAGUCUACUUAACUUAUACGGACAGAAUUUCCUAACCAUAGAUAAAAAGUUGGGGGGAGAUAGUCACGUUACACUUUCACCAAGGUUAGCGCACACAGUACUUUAUCAGCUUGCUGGCUCGAGCGAGAGCAGUACUCUUACUUUCCUUUCUUUUCUUUCAGAGAGGCUAAGGAGAUAGAAUAAAACUCAUGUACUACAGUAAGGGACUCUAUAAAAACGAAGAAUAGAGCAUAAGUCGACUCUACUCUAGUAGUAGCAGUAAGCGCUUACUUCCUGCAGUAGGGGUGAUAUAAAAUAGAAUAAGAGAGAAGCAAGUCUACUCUAGCUGCUGCCAUUGCUUUUUUCAGCUUUUUCGUUAGUGCGGAUUUCUCAAUUUCUUACUUUCGGCGCAGAAAGAGAAAACAGGGCAUAAAACAAGAGUACUUUAUAGUGAGACUACAGUGAAGUAUACCCUUCCUUCUGAAAUUUUUUAGUGGUGGCUGACUUUCACAGCUUUCUUAUAGCCCACUCGUAACUCUAACUCAAUAAAGCACCAUUUCCCCUCAGUGUCCCACCCUUUCUUUGAACAUUGUCAAUGAUCGAAGAUAUGAAAUGAGUGUCAUUUGAUGAGUAACUGAGAACAGGGGUUCAUCUUCGAGAUCAACAACUUCAUUAUCAGGGUAAGAAGUUCAUAAUUGCAUCAAAGGAGUCUUCAACCUUCUCAAUCAAUAGAGGCUAGAUCGGACUAAGGUAAGAAGAGAGACGAUUAAAUGCGAAAGCGAAAGCGGAAAUAUAGGCUUAGUUAAAUGCCCAAUGAGAAUACGUACAUGAGUAAGGAAAAAUCCGAAUGACUAGUGGCCAUAACUCAUUAACCUUUUUUCGCUUAGCCUUUCCUCUCUCUACCGUUACGAGGAAGCUGCAGUAUCCUCUUACGUCUUUGCACGGCUUUCGACCGGGAAGAGGUUCCUCAUUGCAUCUUUCUACACAGCAUUGGUUCCGUCCCUUAUCGCCCGUUGGAAUAAGCAUGAAGAAAACUUUGCAUUAGAUCCUUAUCUAUCGUAUUUUUUUGCCACAACAAAAAGCCCAGAGCAAGGGCUGGUGGAAGAGAAAGCAUUUCCGGAGUCUCAAUGUUGCCCCACCAAAAGACAAUAACCCAAUGGCAAUCGCGGAUCUUUUAGUGGACAGAGCAGCUGGGCAAUAAAUUCUGUCAUUCAUGGACGUGGGGUAUAACCAUUUUUGAAUCUCAAGAGAGGACGAGGCAAAAAUUGCAUUCCGUUGUCCUGGUGCUGUUGGACAGACAGACAUUCUGCUGGCAGGUGAUUCCCCUCGGUAUGAAUAAGGCUAGAGUUACAUAGCUGUGAGCAAUGAACCUCAUCUUCCAUUACUUUCUUUAUUGUAAACAUCGUGGAAGUGGUGUAUAUUGAUGAUGUUUUAAGUCUUUCCCUGUCUUUUGUCUGAUCUCAAGACAGUGUUUGAGUGCGAGAGCGCGGAUUGAAAAGAAACCCGUAUUUGGCGUAAUAGCAGGAAACUUCCUGAAGUUUUUAGUGCACAACAUUUAUUGUUGUAUUUUUUGAAAUUGAGAAGAAUAAAUCUAGGGUAAUCAAGGAAGCACCUCCCUCGAGAAGGAAAAAGUGCGGCAGCUUUAUCAGCUUGUAGAACAUUGGCUGAAGAGCUCACUGAAAUGCGGUUUCUAGCUCCUAGGAUCCUUGCAUUCAAUCAAAGAGGGUCAAGCUCGAUAUUUUCUUUCUCGGUUGAUACCAGCACACAAAGAUCCUCCCUAUGAACAGAACUGGAGGCAAGAUUUCGGCAGCUCCGAACUUUGACCACGAAAGAAAGAACAAGCAGCUUUCUUCACUUUGAGAUCCUAGUGUGAGUGGAUGCGUAGUUUGAAAGUAUUGCCAACUGAACCAGGGCUUCCACGCCUUUUGAUGGCUGACGUUCCUUUGUAAGCCCUGGACUUAGAAUGAGGAAGUAAAGCAUGGAAUUCCAUGUGUUCAGCAUUGAUUUCAAGAUGAGGAAUAGCACAAAAGAGGAAGCGUCUGGCAUUAGAGAUGGCUUCAGACUCGACCUUGAAGGUGCCAGUUACAUCUAUUGGACCAGACGGAAAUACAAGCUUUGUUGUAGCAUGGAUGGGUUCGAAAACUGUAUACUUUUUUUAAUUCGACUAGAUCCCUUCCCGCCUAGUAGUUCUCACUGGUAGGCUAUCGGGGAAAUUCGGUUGAGCCGCUGGUAGUUCUUUGUCUUUUUGGCCCUUUGUUGACAUCAUAUUCAACCUCUUCUCUUUAUCCAUUUCACAUUUCAUUUUCUAUAAACUCCUUAUAAACACCUUAUUCUGUGUCUCGCACUUUUCAACUUGAAUUCAAUUCCCGUAAUUCUUUUAAAAAACUACAUACCUUACAUUAAUAUUAAUAUAGUAUAAUAAUAAAAGAUAAUAUAGAGACUUACUAAUUAGUGGCCUUUCAGGGACUUUUGGGUGAGACUGGAAAGCUAGUAGAGUAUCGGUAAUAGCGUUUCGGGAAAGCAAGAAGGAUUAUACCUUUCCCUCCAUGCCCCUCACCCGAGGUCCAAGAACCUACUUCCUCUCCCUUUGAUUUGAAGACGCAUCUUAUCUCUUUUCGGGAAGUUAACAAAUAAAGCUUUUGGCCCCCUUGCCUCUGUAUGAGCCUUUUCGCUAAUAUGCUUGGAAAGUAGCGGUUCCUUGCUUGUGGAGUUACUUCUUGGAUCAAGGGAGUACAGAACCAAGCUCCUCUGCCUUUUUGGACGUAUGAUCCACCGUCUUAUUUUGAAAAGAAGAGGGUCCUUGUCUCUUUUUCUUUUUUUGUGUGUUUUGGUCUUCUGGUCUUCUGGGGCUGUUAAGCCGGGCGUUCGAAACGGGAAUGAGUUUAGCCUUGUGGGCUUUUGCCUUUCUUCCAACUUACUGGUUCUCUCUAUACCCUUACCUUAAAAAGCUUCAACAGCUUCCGACGGGAAAGGAAUAGACCUAAAAUUGGACUUCCACUGAGGAACAAGCCAGGUGUUCUCUCCCAUUAAGCAAUUUAUAGAAAUUCAUUCAAGGCUUGCUUUUAGAGCAACGAAGCUGAAAGGUGAAUUGAGAAGAUCCAGAGCGAACUAAUGAGUUUGAGUUCACGAGGUUUCAUGCGUAAGAGUCAGACUACUACUAUAUGAUAUAUAUGAUAAAAGAAGUGAAGUAAGAAUCUAGAGACUCUUUCGGCAGAUCUAGUUCUUAUAAGAAAUAGAUGGGCCUCUCGCCGUAGUAAAUAAACAGUCUUAUGAAAUCGGUAUUGAGAGAGGGAAUCUUUGCAUUGGUUAUCCCAAUAAAUAGUAAUACGCUACGCUCCUUAGACAGCUCUUUAUUAGAGUGCUUUCAGAGUUCAAUUUGAUACUUCUCUAGUCCGGAUCGAGAUGCUAUGCCUAAAAGCUCCUAGUCAACGGAAUACUUGACUGGACUUUACCGAAUCUCCUGGGAGGGGAUAAUGAAGGGCUAUGUCUUCAAUGUCGACGUAACAACUGUUUUUGUCGUCCUUCCGAGAGCGUAGCGUUCCAACUGACUCGAGCUACCUCCUGACCUUUACAGUAAAGGUUUCGGGAAGCAUCUUUCCGGUUAACACGCCUUUAAAACACACUCUUAUUUAUUUAAGACGAUUACGCGCAUCUGAAAUGAGAAGGAUAGAAAGAUCUUUCACAUGCGGAAUCGAAAACAUAGCCUUUCCGCCUGGUUAUUGAACAAGAUUCCCACCCAUAUUGAAUCUCAAAUCUAUCUAAUAUAAGUAACCGCUUCGAACCUUCACUGCCUUCUUUCUUCGCUACACGAAAAGAAAAAGAAGCAUCAACUGUGUGCGGAAGGAGAAGUGUUAUAAGCCUGUCAAUAGGUUCUGUUCUUAUUCCUUGCCGCCAGGUCCCAUUUCCACUGUUAGAGAAUGAAUGGUCAAUCCAGCCUAGAGGCUUUCUUACUAAGCUUUCAGGUUCGUAGCGGAAGUCGCUAGACUGCUGGUCUAUUGCUAGUGGACUGACAGAGCGAGCUGUAGUGGAAUCCCAAUAAGUGUGUUUGGAAAAGGCGUGGUGUCACGGUCCGCGCGUUCCUCCUACUGAAAUUACGCUACCGUGCGGCCCUAAGAUUAUUCUUAGUCAAGAUCAACCUUCAUCAUGUUCAUUUUUUUUCAUGGACGGAUCAAUUUCAGUCCUUCGAGCCUCAUGCCCACGAGCCUUUUCUGGCUUUUGGUCCCGUAGGGUUGCUCAUUCCGAAUUCUAUGGGGAGGAACCCAUUCCCAUCAUACAUCGGUCCACAAUCCUCAACUUAGCCCCCGAGCACCCAGCUCUACCCGCAGGGCCUUGGGAUCUUGAGCCCCGAUCCUCGUCUACUCAUAGGGAUGCACAGUCCCGGUUCUCAUGGCCUUGAGGCCUCUUGACAUGGUGAGAGCUCAAUACCAUGCCCGCCCGUAUGAUACGCAAGCUCCCGUAUCAAGUUUACGCAAGCACCCCAAUUAAGCUGGUCAGCAGCCAGCUCGGAGCCUUUAGGCUCAUCUCGUCCCACGGGACUCGGUUCUUAGGGCUCAGGCCCUUAGCAUCAUUAUCGGCCGCCCGCACGCAUGAUUGAAACCCCACAUCAUGCUAGUCCCGCAAGGGGACUUGGGUGUACUGCCCCAGCAGCAGUACGCCAGCCCGACUGGCCACACGGGUCUAGCAGCGUGCCUGCCUGCUAGCCCGCACAUCCCUCUGGCUCGAUGGCAUCCCUCUUACGCAACACCAUCACAUGAUCCUUCCGGCUCGAGGAGGAGAAACCGAGGGGCCUAGCGAUCUCUACCGCCAAACCUCAUGGCUCAACGCAAAGGCGCGAUACGAGGCCCGCCGGCCCCAACCGUCCCCGAGUUUACCUUACCCGAGAAAACAUCGCGCCACGCUCGUGACCCUAUGAUGCCCGCCCACCUAGACACCACGAGUGCCUAGGAGUAGCUCACUUCAGACUAGCCAGGCCCCCGCCUGCCCGCUAGCCAAGGGGGUGGUGGACAGCUGACACCAGAUCAUCCCCUUAUAAAGAGCGUUAGAGAUUUUCCCACUAUGCUACCAGUGACCGUAAGAAUGUCUGAAACGGGGACACUUUUCUGCCCAGCCAUCCCAGGGCCUUUCUCCGGCUAACUCAGGGCCCCGUAACAUUCCUCUUGGUCACCAUUGCUCCUUGAUUCUGCUCAUUACUCCACCAACCCACUCGAAGGUACCCGCACAUGGCUUCGAUCGACAGCACCCGUUUGGCUAGCUGGUUCCAGGGCACCGACGUAAUGCCUCAUACUUACCUGCUUAACUCGGGGUCUAGGACAUGGACCGUCCACACACAAUGUCCUCAACAUAUUCCCCUGCUCAGAACGCCCGCACACUGCUUCCACUGCUGGCACCCGUCAGGCUACUUGGCUUGAGGGUGUCCGACCACUGUCCCGAACUUCCCUGCGUAUCUCGCGGCCCGGGGCUCCUAUUGCCCCCACAACAUGUUAACAUCAUGUUCCAAAGCUCGGAAUGCACGCUCACAUCUCGUAGAACCACUUUUCCGUCAGCUCGGUCUCGACCGUUGCUCGGUUCAGGGUCAGUCGUGGUAGGACCAAGGCCUGACCAUGACACUCUCCCCCACUUACUAUGUCGAUGCCCUCAUCGACGCCAAGACCACACCCAACUAUCUUGUUGCACACAGCUGACAUUUCCUCAUAUGUCUCUCACUUGUGCCCUCAAGGAUUGGGUCGAGGUCCCGUCACAUGAGGCACCACCCACAGUACUCGUCCGUUAUUGAUGUAGAUUGGUCCCGUUGCCGCACUCAUGCCGCUCAGCUUAGUUCUUGCUCGACCCGUCUAACCUAUCUUGGUUGUACUCAUAUGGGCCAUACCAUGGCUUCAUCCCUUGAUCCUUGUUAGGUUGCGACCUCGAGGUGCCCUCAUUGAUCGAUGACCCUCAGUAGAAUGAAUAACCACAGCUUUGCCACUCAUUUGGUGCGUCCCACCGGACGUGACCCCUCACACCAACUGUACGCUUGCAGCAUCAACUCACUGAUGCGCCCCUCUGGACAUGAUGCUUAGGUCAACCGCACUCAUACGGCACUCUACAUGAUGACCCUAGCACAGUGGCAUUCAAGCACUUUGGUCAUCUCCCAACUUGGGUCCUCUCGGCCCCUCCAAGGUCACCUCUCUAGGUGUGGCCCUCCGGCCAACCGCCCCCAAGACGGCACCUUAAAACGUGCUAACUCGGUCUUUACCUCCGGCUUGAACACUAUGCUCCAUCGCCCAAGCUCCUUUAUCUUGGCUCAGUCUCGUGGGGAAUUGACAGGUCUCCCCCACUUUUACUCGAAACUCGGCACAGCAUUAUGCGCAACCCUGUCUCCUCGAUGGUUCUAUUGCUCGAUAGUUUUGACUCCAGCCCAGUUCCUAGGGCAUCCUAAAAUCCGCUUAUACUCGGAGACCCACUGAUUUGCUUGACUCGGGGAUUCACCAGCUCGAUCCUCAAGGUCCACUGACCUACACGUCUGAGGCCUUGUCAACUGGCCGUUUCCCUUUUCUUGUUCCACUGGAAUACAUCCUGUCGUGGCCCACUGAUCACCACUACUCGUGAAGCCUUCCCUUUCGACCAAUACAAGUUCGAUAUCCUGGUUCACACACACACUCUCGUGAUCCUCUGACCACAAGAACUCACGGUCCACUGACCAACGCCGCUCAUGGUCCACUGACCACCUCGCUUGUGGCUUCAAUCUUUAGCCACUUCAUACUCUUCUGUGUAGUAGUCUCAUGCUCGGACCCGAAUACUUCGGCUUGCACCCCCGCUGGGGCACCUGCACCAUACAGCAAGUGCACACAUUAGUAAUUAAUCUUGCAACUCGACACCUCCUGCCCCUCAGGACAAGGUUCACUCGGCCCACGUGGCCUUACACAACACCAUUUCAUGGUGUAAGCCCCUUUUCGCAUCUCGGUCUCACUACGGUUCCUUUCACCGUAAAAGCAUCACAUGCCACAACAUAUGCCAACACCUUUUUCUAGGUGAGGCUAGACUCUGAUGCCCUUUUGCUAGGCGUCCAAGAGUCUACUGGAGAGCCAUUUUACAUAGGCCCAAUACUUCUCGCAGCACGCAUCAUUGGCUCUUUCCCGAGCCCCCAUAGGCACAAAACCCGCAUUUGCGUCUCGAUAGCUCCUUUUGAGCUUGACACCACCUCGAUUUCACAUCACUAGACCCACUCAUGGGGCCAUGCAACUCUCGCCACUGAGCCAACCUAGGCUCUGAUAUCAAGUGUCACGAUCCGCACGUUUCUCCUACUGAAACUACGCUACCGUGCGGCCCCAAGACUACUCUUAGUCAAGGUCAGCCUUCAUCAUGUCCAUUUUUUUCCAUGGACGACCAAUUUCAGUCCUUCGAGCCUCAUGCCCACGAGCCUUUUCUGGCUUUUGGCCCCGUAGGGUUGCUCAUUUCGAACUCUAUGGGGAGGAACCCACUCCCAUCAUACAUCGGUCCAUAAUCCUCAACUUAGCCCCCGAGCACCCAGCUCUACCCGCAGGGCCUUGGGAUCUUGAGCCCCGAUCCUCGUCUACUCAUAGGGAUGCACAGUCCCGGUUCUCAUGGCCUUGAGGCCUCUUGACAUGGUGAGAGCCCAAUACCAUGCCCGUCCGUAUGAUACGCAAGCUCCCGUAUCAAGUUUACGCAAGCACCCCAAUUAAGCUGGUCAGCAGCCAGCUCGGAGCCUUUAGGCUCAUCUCAUCCCACGGGACUCGGUUCUUAGGGCUCAGGCCCUUAGCAUCAUUAUCGGCUGCCCGCACGCAUGAUUGAAACCCCACAUCAUGCUAGUCCCGCAAGGGGACUUGGGUGUACUGCCCCAGCAGCAGUACGCCAGCCCGACUGGCCACACGAGUCUAGCAGGGUGCCUGCCUGCUAGCCCGCACAUCCCUCUGGCUCGAUGGCAUCCCUCUUACGCAACACCAUCACAUGAUCCUUCCGACUCGAGGAGGAAAAAUCGAGGGGCCUAGCGAUCUCUACCGCCAAACCUUAUGGCUCAACGCAAAGGCGCGAUACGAGGCCCGUCGGCCCAAAUCGUCUCCGGGUUUACCUUCCCCGAGAAAACAUCGUGCCAUGCUCGUGACCCUACGAUGCCCGCCCACCUAGACACCACGAGUGCCUAGAAGUAGCUCACUUCAGACUAGCCAGGCCCCCGCCUGCCCGCUAGCCAAAGGGGUGGUGGAGAGCUGACACCAGAUCAUCCCCCUAUAAAGAGCGUUAGAGAUUUUCCCACUAUGCUACCAGUGACCGUAAGAAUGUCUGAAACGGGGACACUUUUCUGCCCAGCCAUCCCAGGGCCUUUCUCCGGCUAACUCAGGGCCCCGUAACCUUCCUCUUGGUCACCAUUGCUCCUUGAUUCUUCUCAUUACUCCACCAACCCACUCGAAGGUACCCGCACAUGGCUUCGACCGACAGCACCCGUUUGGCUAGCUGGUUCCAGGGCACCGACGUAAUGCCUCAUACUUACCUGCUUAACUCGGGAUCUAGGACAUGGACCGUCCACACACAAUGUCCUCAACAUAUUCUCCUGCUCAGAAUGCCCGCACACUGCUUCCACUGCUGGCACCCGCCAGGCUACUUGGCUUGAGGGUAUCCGACCACUGUCUCGAAUUUCCCCGCGUAUCUCGCGACCCGGGGCUCCCAUUGCCCCCACAACAUGUUAACAUCAUGUUCCAAAGCUCGGAAUGCACGCCCACAUCUCGUAAAACCACUUUUCCGCCAGCUCGGUCUCGACCGCUGCUCGGUUCAGGGUCAGUCGUGGUAGGACCAAGGCCUGACCAUGACAUAUGGCCUGUUAAUUCAGAGACUCGUUAAGAGCCUCGCCAAGGCACGUAGUCUUGCUCUUUUCUGUAAGAGCUAGUAGAUUCAAGCAAGACAGGAAUGAGAGUCUCAUCACACUAGUCUUUACAUAGUCAUAUGAAAAUAGCCGACGGAUCUAAUUUCUCUCUCGGGCUGAACUCACUCCUUAUAACAAAAAGAGGGGCUUUAUUACCUGUAGAGAUCUGCACCCAACUUGCGAGGUAUUGUCCGCUUUGACCCGAAGGUCUCACGGUUUUGUCUCACAAAAGACGCCUCUCAAGUUUGGGAUUAAGUCUCUUCAUAUAUAUCAUUUUUUAUCCACACAUCCUUCUGAUGUGGGAUUGGAGGCGUUACAAUCUCUCCACCUUUAAUGCUUGAUGUCCCUGUCAAGCCGAGUCCAUCCACAGGACCAAGAUCACACUAGACCAUCGUGUAGCACUUAGUGACUCCCACGGCUGCACCGUGUAGCACUUAGUGACUCCCCACGACUGCGGACCGGUGACCGCUCUGAUACCAUUUGUAGAGACCCGCACCCAACCUGCGAGGUAUUAUCCGCUUUGACCCGAAGGUCUCACGAUUUUGUCCCACAAAAGGCGCCUCUCAAGUUUGAGAUUAAGUCUCUUCAUAUAUAUCAUUUUUUAUCCACACAUCCUCUUAAUGUGGGAUUGGGGACGUUACAUUACCUGUUUCAUUUCUAAGACUGUUUGGAAAUGUAAUUUGAGUAGCUAUUGCCGAGAUCCCUUUUCUUUUGCUUUUAUGAUAUACUGCUCACAGGUCAGUCCAUCUCUAGAAUAAGGGCAGAAUGAAAGACGGGGAUAGAAGUUCAGUGCUCGAUGGCCCAGGGUGAGGAUUGCCUAUCUUGACUGAAGAAGGAGUGCUCUCUUAAGUAUAGGAUAUGCCAGGUUAUAAACAAAGGCUCUUCCGUUCUCUUAGAGAUCCAGAUCGGCGAUUACAGAAGCCUUAAUUUUAUGUGAUCGACGCCCCAGUGCAGUACAACGUACUCUUGGAAAGCGUAUGGAUACACAGGAAGAUGUGUGUGCCAUCGAGCCUCGACCAGUGCAUCAUGCUAUGGCAUAACAAUUACGUUAAAGUUUUCCCCGCCUCUGAGAAUGAAGACUGACUAGGGGAUUGGCCACAGUAUAAGUAUGUACGAUCUGCCAUGUGAGAAUUGCAACAAAAAAUCUCGAGAAAACGCAAAAUGUCACGAUAGAACAAAAACUUAGGAAGGAAAUCCCAAUAGCAACUCAAAAUACGGGGAAAGCGCAAAAGAAAAAUCAAUUACUUUUUCUUAGGAUUGAAAUCGGAUAAUAGGAAGCGAGUAUAAAAAAAGACCUCUGUAUUAGGUUAGGAGAGCCAUCAUGCAAAGAGUCUUUUAUGAACGAAAAUAAGAAAUCUUCUUUCUUUCGCACAGUCACUCAAGCACAAGACACAAGCAAGAGAAAGAAGUCAAGUGAUUCAGUCUUGGGUCGAAGCUGUCCCCCUCAAUUUGAUAGCAAUCCGCGGGCGCUAACAAAGAGGCAGCAGUGUAACCAUCUCCUCACUCUAGGCGCAAAGCAGUGAAGCCCAUGAAAGAUUUGCAUAUUAAUCAAGCAAGUUAAAGUUUGUGUCCUCCCCCUACAUGUUCAAUAUUGUUUUAGCGGUUUAACUAGAUUGAUUGCUUUCCCGAUGGUUAGUGUCAGUAGCGACUGUGUGAUCAGAUAGUUUUUUUAUAUGAUGUUUAGACCAAGAUUAAAACUUUUUAAACCAAUUUGUUUUAUAAAUCUCAUCUGAUUUGAUAAGUUGUAAUUCUUUUAUUUUAUCAUCAGAGAUAAAAUAAGUUUUUCUCGUAAUAUUUUUUAGUUUAACCAUACUUUCUUCAUUGGUAGUUGUUGUACCUGUAGAAGAGGUUACUGAAAGAUUAUCUUGGUUAGAUUCAGUAUUCAGUAUAAAAAUAAAAUCCGAUUCAUCUUCAGAAGAACUAUUAUCAGUUUCUGAAAAAACUUCAUAAUAAAUUUUUUCGUCAGAUAAUUUAUCAGCAAAAUAAAUUUAAAGAAAAGCUUCAUCAAGUUUUUUGAUCAUUUUCUUCGCACUUUUUUCUUUGUUAGGACAAGCAUUUGCAUAGUGACAUUCUUGAUCACAAAGAAAACAUUUACAAUUGUUUUUAGAAGAUUUUUUCUUUUUUUUAACAACAAAUUUACCUUUUUUAGGUUUAAAAGUUAUGGGUUUCCAUUUUUUCCAAAAAUAUUUUCGUUUUUUCUUAAAACGAUGUUUCUUUGAAAAAGAUUGUUUAUUACAACCAAAUUCAAAUUCAUUUUUCAAAAUCUUUGUACAUUAUUUAUACGAAAGUUUAGAUUUUACCUGCUUUGCAGCUUUUUGUUUGAGGUAGUAUUCUGUUACCUGAUUUUGAACGUAGUGUAUUCACAUCCAAGAGUAUCAUAAAGUUUGAUACUGGGAUUUGCAACGUGAACAGUUUUGAGUUUUAACUCAAGGUAAACAGGGUAAUUUUGUGAACAUAAUUCAUCUCAUGGUGAGGGAAGUUUAAGAAAAUAUUGUUGUAACCAAAAUUUUGAAUGUUUUUCAUCUAAUUUUUUAUAUUCAAAAAGAUAUUUUUUAGAAAAAUCAUCUAAAUAUUUAAUAUCACAUAAUUUUUAUUUUGAUAAAAUAAAUUGAGCUUCUUGAGUAGGAUUCAGGGAUUCUGUAUUACCGUAAAACUCAUUUUUCAAGAUUUGGGUUAAAUCUUUCAAAAGUUAAGAUAUAUUGCCUGUAGCUAACAAAGAGGAUUUAUGUUGUUCUCCGAGGGUUGUCUUUUCUCAUUUUUUGAGAAAUUGAAAGACAUCACCUUGUCAUAUACCACAAAAGUAGUUGAGGAAUCUUUCUUUGCUCCAAGUCUCUUUUGUAACUUGUGACAACAAUAGACAUAGAUUGUGCCCAAUCAUCUAUGAUUUUUCCACAGUGUUGAAGAGGGACUUUGGUUAAGUCUAAAUAAGUACCACCUUAAGAAACCGUUCAUUUGUUUAACGAAUCGAUAACAGGGGUUUCGUUCUGAACCUGACUUGUUUGGCCAAAAUCAGAAGUUUGUAAAAUCUCAUCCUUGUUUAGGUGAGAAUAUUUUUCCUUUAAAUGAGGAAGAUGUUGUAAAUUUGGAAAAUGUCUCAGAUCAUCAAUAUCUGGGUUAGAUAUUGCUUCUGCUUUUCUCUUCCCACGCGUCUCUAUUUAAGGGGUUGGAAUUUCCUUUGGUUUUGGAUCUAUUUGAUCAUCAGAACUAUCUUCGUCAUCAGAUGUGGUUGCAUUUGAUGAAGGUGGUUCAUCCUUGACUACUGGGUUAGUAGCAAGAAUUUCAAAAUUAUCUAUUACUAUAUCAUCAUUUGCUUCUUCAUCACAGACAUUGGUUGUGUCAUAGUUAAGCAUAUAAUGAUAUUUAUAUUUAAUAAAGAGUUCUUUAUGUUCUUCAUAAAGAGUAUCUAUAGCCUGAAAAUAAUCAAUCUGUUGUUUCAAAUCAUUAGUUUUUUUCAUUUUAUCUUUAAAAUUCUCAAUAAUAUAUUUAUAAGAGUCGAAAUUAAGUUGUUAUUAUUUCUCCUUUACUAAGGUAGAAGAUGAGAGUGUGUCAUCGUUCAUCAUAAUAUUGUCAUAAUAAAGUAGUGCAAAAUCAGUUAAUGUAUUUGAGGGAACAUACUUUUAGUCUAUCUUUUUUAUAAAUAUAUCUACUUUAUCUUUAAUAUUAUCAAUAUUUACAAAUUUAUGAAAAAAAAAAUUAAAUCUAUUAAACCAUUUAUAAUUUUACUUAUGUUAAUAUUGCUAAUACUCUAAUUAACUUGUUAAAAAUACGUUAUAUUUUAUUUUUAUCAAUAUUUUUUAUGAUAUUAAAAUAAUAUUAUUUUAAAUUAACGAAAAAACUAAUUAAAACAAGAUAAUUGUUAAAUAUAAACUAAAUUAUAAUAAUAAUAAAAUAAAAGUUAAAACCUUUUAAUUCUAAAUUUAAAACUAUUCAUAGCUAGCUCUAGCUAAGAAGUAAGAGUCUAAUCGGAUUGAUAAUAAUUCCAUUAAUAGGAUGUAAUCCUCCCAGUCAUAAUAGUUCUUCCAGGCGAGUAUAAGAGUGAAAACGGGCAUAACGUGUUCACGGCCUAUGGCCCUAUUCUUUAUCUAUUGCCUUCCAAAAAAACGAGCUACAGCGGGAUUAUAGGUCAAGCCUGAAAGCGAGUGCAGUAAGCUAGCUUUACCAGCCCUAAAAGUCAUUAUUUUGACUUCCUCUGAUGAGUCCCUCUUAGCUAGUAGGUGAUAGCUUCUCAAAAGAUUAAGGGACUUUCACAUCAUAUACGAGUACACCUUACCCAGUAAAAAAGAGAAGAUAAACGCUAUCGUCAAUAACUACUUUAAGCUAAGCCUUAAAUGUAAACUCAGAAAAAAUAAGAGUCAUUUCGCCUGCCAGGGAACCUUUACUAAUGCACUUUUCAACUCAAGCUCUUUUCCUUUAUUAUUCAAUUUUGAUUCAAAAAUACUCUUUAUUAAAAACUUGCUUUAUAAUACCCCUGCUCUCUCACCAGUUGGUUAGCUUGACCUUUUUACGCCCCCCGCUGGCGCUGGAUUCACUGACUUGGAUGAUCAUUCUAAAAAGAUCUCCCACGCGUAUUGAAAUAAGGUCUCUCUCACUCAAAUCGUAAGCUCUGCUCACUUUACUAAUAUGGACGGAGAGUUCAUUUACUUGAAAAAGACUCAUUUGACUUCCUGCUUGCCUUAAAAGAGUAUAAUGGCUUUGCUUGCUCACAUGAAAAGGAAAAACAGUUACUACUAACUCACAGGAUGUAACACAGAAUCGGGAUUGGCUUACCGCUAGAGAGAAACUCAGACCUAUCAUGAAAAGAGAAAACCUCACAAGUAAAAAAAAAAAAUAUGAGAGCUGUUCCAGGUAUCCAGUUCGACCCCCGAGGUACAGAUAUCCAUCCAUGUUAGCCACCCUUUCCAUUACCGAUCUAGUCGCUCUUGCUGGCUAACCCGCCACUUUCUAAAAACUGUCAUUGGCUUCUAAAAGGCUCCAUUUUAGGUUUGCCCAUUACUAAGGGAUUGCCAUUGCCUACUGAAUUUUGCCCUAUAAGCCACUUGCCUAGUUGGCUUGAAUUGUAUUCUACCUCCAUAUGCAAUCUUUAUCUUUAUUUGAACAGCCAUUUAGAACGUACAUAAGACCAACCCAACCCUUAGAGUUUCCACGGGAUAGAAAAGAUAAAAGAUUCAAAAAGCACUCUAUUAUAAAAAGAUGUGUUCUUAGGAUUAGUGUCACGGACUAAGCUUUCUCUCAACAAGCAUUAGGUCGUGCGGUACUUAAAUGGACGUUUCUAUCCAAGUCAACCUUCAAUAGAUCGAUAUUUGAACAAAUAACCAUAAAUCAUGGUUAGUCCCAAGCAUUCACAAUAAGACACAAUAUAUCGAGGUCAAUCUCAAGCAUACACACACAACAAGACACAUCCACAUCAAGAAAGAAAGAAACGCAUCGAGCCAACGAUCGGGCAUUUAAUCGAGGUGAAUUUUAUUAUAAACGAAAAUCAUACAUCGAGAUCUUCCACCAUCACCAGGGCCAGGGGGCAGCCCUUGAUGGGUGGCCUAAGCUCGCAUAGCACCCGAUGAGACAGUCCAACACUACGUUGCCGGCUCACCCCCUUUAAAGAGCCUUAGAGAUUUUAGAGCUAUGCUACCAGUAACCGUUACAAUGUUUGAAAUGGAGACACUUUUCCUAGCACAACGGAUCUACCCGGCCAUGGCCCUAUACAUGGGUGGCUCAUGGUAACCUAAGUCCCGGUAAUGGCCCUAUACAAGGUUGGCUCAUGACAUCCUCCCCCACCUAUUCUAUCGACGUCCUCGUCGACUUGCUGGCUUGAAAUUCUUCAAUCUUCUUUUGAAAUCUCUAGAGGUCGUGUUCUCUCUCCCAGCUGGUUUCUUCUAGUCUUAAGCCCUCCCACUUCACUAAGUAUUCCCAAACUAGUCUUCGAGAUAUCUUGGUUUCCCUGUCGGCUAAGAUCUCUUCGACUCGACACUCUGAGGGUGGCUUCAUGGUGAUGGCGGCUCUGGUUGGCUCCCUUCGGCUAACAUCUAUAGGAUUUGCAUGGAAAGGCUUCAGGUUGCUUACAUGGAAUACUGGGUGCACAUUCAUCCACUUCGGUGGGUCAAUUUUGUAAGAAGCGUUCUCCAUCUUGGAAAUGACUCUUAGUGGACCUUUAUAUUUGUGCACCAGUCUGCGAUCUCUCUUUCUUAAAAACUUGGUUUGUUCAGGAACUAGUCGGACCAGAACCAAAUCACCAACUUGGAAUUGCUGAGCUCUGCGAUUCUUGUCUACCCAUUUUUUCAUCCGUUUUGAUGCCUUCUCCAGGUAGGCUUGUGCAAUCUCUGUGUUUUGUUUCCACUCCUUGCUGAGGUUGAAAGCUCUCGGAUUCUUUCCUCCAUAUUGUUUUAAGGAAGUAUGGGGUAACCUUGGUAAUUGUCUGGUGACCACCUCAAAUGGGCUCUUGUUAGUGGAAGAGCUUUUGUUGGAAUUAAAGCAAAGUUGAGCAACAUCCAACAAUGAAGGCCAGUCCUUCUAGUUGGCUUGGACAAAGUACCUCAAAUAUUCCUCCAACAAUCCAUUGAAACGUUUCGUUUGGCCAUCGGUCUGAGGAUGGUAGCUUGAAGAGAUGUUGAGUUGGGACCUCAAAAUCUUGAAAAGUUCUCUCCAGAAGGACCCCGUGAAUCUCGGAUCUCUAUCGCUAACAAUGUUUUGAGGGAGGCCCCAAUAUUUGACCACAUGUUUGAACAAUAAUCGAGCUGCGUCUUUCGCUGUACAAUACUUGUGAGCGGGAAUGAAUGUGACAUACUUGGAGAACCGAUCAAUUACCACCAAGAUAGUUUCAAUAUCACCAACCUUGGGUAGGCUCGAAAUGAAAUCGAGAGAGAUGCUUUCCCAUGGUUUGGUGGGUACCGGUAAUGGAUCAAGCAUGCCCGUAGGUUUUCUCUUUUCGACUUUGUCUUGUUAGCAAAUGAGGUAAGUCUUCGUAUAGUCCAUCACAUCUUGUCGCAUGUGAGGCCAAUAGUAUCCCUAUUUUAAUAACGCUAAAGUGCAUUGCCAGCCCGGGUGUCUCGCCCAUGGGGUGUCAUGGCAUUCCCUCAUCAGCAUCUGUCUCAAUCCUCCUGCUCUCGGUACAAACACUCGAGGCCCCUUGGUUCACAAGACCCCAUUUUUUUGCCAGAAGUAUUUGGACUUCCCUUCUUCCACUAGCUUCAAGAUGGCACAAGCUUGUGGGUCCUUCCCUAAAUGAUCUCCAAUCAACUUAUGAAUGUCUGUAGUGGCUCUACUAGUUGCCAUUGGGGCCAUUCUUCUGAGGGCCGCUAACUCUGGUCGCCUACUCAAUGCAUCCGCCACUUGAUUGGUCUUUCCAGCGGUAUGCUCAAAAUGAAAGUCAAACUCUGCUAAAAAUUCUUGCCACCUAGCUUGUUUCACCGUAAGCCUUGCUUGAGUGAGAAAAUGGCUAACGGCUGCAUUGUCCGUCUUCACGACAAAGUGUGAACCCAACAAGUAAUGUCGCCAAACCCUUAAACAAUGAACCACCGCCAGGAGCUCUUUUUCCUGGGCCGUAUAUUUUCUCUCCGCUUUGCUCAGCUUCCUACUUUCAAAUGCUAUCGGGUGAUGUUGUUGUAAAAGCACACCUCCAAUAGCAAAAUUAGAUGCAUCCGUCUGAACUUCAAAAGGCUUUUUAAUAUCGAAAAGAGCUAAGAUGGGAUCCUUCAUAAUAGCAUCUUUCAAUCUCUCAAAGGCUUCUUGGCACUCAUUGGUCCAACACCAUUUAUGCUCCUUCUUCAAUAGCUCCGUGAGGGCCAUGGUCUUGUGAGAGUACCCUUCCAUAAACCUUUUAUAAUAGUUGGUUAGUCCCAAAAAUGAACGGAGCUCAUUAACAUUCUUUGGUGUUGUCCACUCCUUGAUGGCUCUAACUUUUUUCAUGUCCAUUCUAAUGUGGCCACGUUCAACAAUAUGACUGAGAAAAUGGAUUUGAGUCUGAGUAAAUGUGCAUUUCUCCCUUUUUACAUAUAACCGAUGGUCCUGCAGCUUUUAAACACCCGACAUAGGUGUUCUUGAUGUUUUUCCAAGGUGGAGCUGUACACCACUAUAUCGUCUAAAUAAAUGACUACAAAUUUGUCAAGGUAAUCAUAAAACACCUGAUUCAUCAAUGUACAAAAUGUGGCAGGAGCAUUGGUCAGUCCAAAGGGCAUAACAAAAAAUUCAAAUGCGUCAUACCGUGUUAUACAGGUGGUCUUUGGCUCAUCUCCCUCAACGAUUCUGACCUGAUGGUAUCCAAAUCUCAGGUCCAGUUUGGAGAAGUACUUGGCCUGGCACAAUUGAUCAAACAAGUCCGCUAUAAGCGAGAUAGGAUAUUUGUUUCUUACGGUGACUUUGUUCAGGGCUCUGUAGUCAACACAUAAGUGUAAAUUCCCAUCAUGCUUUUUUUGGAAUAGCACAGGCGCUUCGAAAGGAGCCUUUGAUGGUCUGAUGAACUCGGCUUGUAGAAGCUCAUCUAACUGUUUUCUCAGCUUAGCCAACUCUGACAGGGCCAUGCGAUAAGGAGCUUUAGUAGGGGGUUUUGCUCCUGAGAAGAGCUCAAUUUCGUGGUCCACUGCUCGUCGAUGGGGUAAAACCUUGGGCAACAUCUCUGGCAUCACCCCUUUGAAUUUUUCUAACACUCUCUUCACAUCAUCGGGUAUUGGUUCUACUUCUGACCCUUCUUUGUAGAUCGACAUGGCCACAAAAAAGGGUUCCCUUCUCUUUACCCCUUUCUUGAAUUGCAAAGAUGAAAUCAUUUUCUUCCUACUCUUUGGCAAGAUAUUGGCUGGCACCACACAUGGGUGUUCCCUUAAAAACAACAAGCAGCUAGCAAUGGGGAUAAGGAUUACCUGAGCCAACGUCAUGAAGUCCAAUCCGAGAACAACAUCAAAGUCAUCCAUAGGGGAGACUGUGAAGUCUACCUUCUCUUUUUAUGGCCUCAAUUUGGUUGUCACACCCUUAGAGCUUCCACUGAUCACAAAGGCUGACGAAUUGACUGCCUUCAUUUAUCCACAGUCUUUGUUAACCUGAAGGCCACACCUUUUUGCUUCUUCUGGUGUGAUGAAAGUAUCAGUUACACCUGUGUCCAUCAUGGCCUUGGUGGCCUUCUCGUUGAUCAUUAGGUUCACAUACAUCAAGCCUCUACUUUACUCUUUCCUUAUAGUGUUCAGUUGGGUGUGAAGGGCAUUGAGAAACCUUAUUGAGCCCAUCCUGGCUGGUUCCUCUUCAAUCUCUUCAACGCUCUCCGGUGCUUUUACAGACUCUUAAGAUGAGGUUCUUAAAGCAUUAAGGGCUCCUCUGUACAGACAUUCGACCACCCGAUGUGGCCUUUUACAAAGAAAGUAAGCUAGCGGUUGCCUAGGCCUGAAAGUCACUGCAUUGUUUAUUUUAGGCUGGGUGUUAUCUCGAUCGAAAGACCUUCUAUCUGAUCCCCCACUGAAGGGACGGUCCAAUCUGGUCAUCUUUCCCUCACUUCCAAAGUUGAAGCUACUACUAGCUGAUGAAGGAUUUUUUCGUUUUAAGGAGCCAUCAUUAUAGUCUUGGAGACGUUCAGCUGCAGCCAUGGUCGUGGCCAUGUCUUGCACUUUUUGUCUUUGUAGUUCUGCUCUAGUUUGAGGCUCUCGAGAAAAUAAAACAUCUUAUCCUUCUCAGACAUGUCUCGAAUAUCCAACAUCAGGGUAAAAAAGCUCCUUACAAACUCUCGCAUUGUCUCUGUUUGCACCAAUUCUCGAAGUCUCCUUCGAGUCAUAUACUCCACAUUCUCAGGGAAAAACUGGUUUUUCAAUUUCUACUUCAGGUCCGUCCAAGUUUUGAUCGGGCACUUGUCAUUGACAAACUUGGAACGCUACCAAAGCUUGGCAUCUCCUGCGAGGUACAUCGAUGCCAUUGUUAUCUUAUCUUCCUCUGAAUCCAUGUGCACAGCCCGAAAGUAUUGCUCCAUGUCAAACAAGAAAUUUUCAAGUUCUUUGGCAUCCCUUGCCCCUUCAUAACAUCAAGGCUCUGGCAUCUUAGGCCUUCUCCCCCUAUCCGUCGAGCUCGAACUUGACCUGGCCAUAGCCAGUUGUAAGAUGCUCACCUGUGUUCUGAGCUCUUCAAACUUCUUUUGGAGAAUAUUCAAGGCAUCUCUAGCAUCUUCACUCACGUUGUAGAGAGUAUCGGAUAACUUUUACUGGGUUGUCUCGAUCUUUAGUCACCAUGUGCAUUUUCAUUGCGGCCACCGUGGCCUCAAGUUCUUCAAUUCUCUGUUGAUGAUCAGGUCCACCACUUGUGGCCAUCUCAUCCAUUUUCUAGCACUUCUCAACCGUGCUUUGAUACCACGUGUCACGGACUAAGCUUUCUCUCAACAAGCACUAGGUCGUGCGGCACUUGAAUGGAUGCUUCCACCCAAGUCAGCCUUCAAUAGAUCGAUAUCUGAACAAAUAACCAUAAACCAUGGUUAGUCCCAAGCAUUCACAAUAAGACACAAUAUAUCGAGGUCAAUCUCAAGCAUACACACACAACAAGACACAUCCACAUCGAGAAAGAAAGAAAUGCAUCGAGGCAACAAUCGGGCAUUCAAUCGAGGUGAAUUUUAUUAUAAACGAGAAUCAUACAUCGGGAUCUCUCACCAUCACCAGGGCCAGGGGGCAGCCCUUGGUUGGUGGCCUAAGCUCGCAUAGCACCUGGUGAGACAGCCCAACACUACGCUGUCGGCUCACCCCCUAAAGAGCCUUAGAGAUUUUAAAGCUAUGCUACCAGUAACCAUUACAAUGUUUGAAAUAGAGACACUUUUUCUAGCACAAGAGAUCUAUCCGGCCAUGGCCCUAUACAUGGGUGGCUCAUGGCAACCUAAGUCCCGGUAAUGGCCCUAUACAAGGUUGGCUCAUGACAACUAGCUUACACAUGCUUAAUGUCAUUAUCAGGUCUUGGUGUGUCUUGGUCCUGUCAUGACUAAUCUUAAGCUAAGCAGCGGUCGAGAUCAAACUGACAAAAAAGUGAUUAUAAGAGAUACGGACGUGCAUUUGAAGAAUUGGAAUAGGUUACUAAUAUGUUGUACCGGAAGUGGGAGCCCUAAAUCGUAAGAUAUAUGGGUAAGUUUGGGAUAAUGGUCAAGCACCCUCAAGCAAUUAGUCGGACAGGUGCCAUAAGUGGAAGCAGUGUGCGGGCAUUUUAAGCACAGGAAUAUGUUGGGGAUAUUGUGCGUGAAUAGUCUGAGUCCUAAACCCCAAGAUACGCAGGUAAGUGUGAGGUAGUGUGUCGGUGCCUUAGGACCAGCUAGCCAGUCAGGUGCUAUCGAUCGAAGCCAUGUGCGGGCACUUUCGAGUGGGUUGGUGGAGCAACGGGUAGAAUCAAGGAAUAAUGAUGACCAAGAGGAAGGUUAUGGGGCCCUGAAUUAAUCGAAGAAAGGUCCUGAGAUGCUUGGAGAGAAAAGUGUUCUCAUUUCGGACAAUCUUACGGUUAUUGGUAGGAGAUUAAAAAAAUCUCUUACGCUCUUUAUAGGGGGAUGACUGGUGUCAGCUCUUCACCACCCCUUUGGCUAGCGAGCAGGCAGGGGCCUAGCUAGUUUGAAGUGAGUUACUCUUAGGCACUAGUGGUGUCUAGGUGGGCGGGCAUCGUAGGGUCACGAGCAUGACAUGAUGUUUUCUCAGGUCAUGGUAAACCCGGGGGUAGUUGGGGUCGACGAACCUCGUAUCGUACCUUUGCGUUGAGCCAUGAGGUUACAUGGUAGAGUUCGCUAUGCCCAUCGAUUUUUUUUCAUUGAGCCAGAAGGAUCAUGAGAUGGUGUUUACGUAGGAGGGACGCCAUCGAACCUGAAGGAUGUGCGGGCUAGUAGGCAGGCACGCUGCUAGACCUUUGUGGCCAAUCGAUAGAGGUGUGCUAUAACUAAGGCAGUCCACCUAAGUCCCCCUUGCGGGACUAGCAUGAUGUUGGGUGUCAAUCAUACAUGUGGGUAGCCUACACUGUAGCUAAGAGCCUAAGCCCUAAGAACUGAGUCUCGUGGGAUGAGAUGAGCCUAGAGGCUUCGAGCUGACUGCUGACCACUUAAGUGUGGCACUUACGUAAACUUGAUACGAGAGUUUACGUACGAUACGAACGGGCAUGGUGUUGGGUUCUCACCAUGUCCAAAAGUAAUAAUAUCAUGAGAAUCGAGGCUGCAUGCCUCACGGGUAUUUGAGGGUAGGUGCUCGAGACCUUAAGCCUUGCGGGCAGAGAUGGGUGCUCGAGGCUACUUUGAGAAUUGUGAGCUGAUGAGUGAUGGGAGUUGGGUUCUUCCUUAUAGAGUUCAGAAUGAGUAACCCUACGGGGUCAAAGCCAAAGAAAAAACUCUUGUGUAUACGACUUGAAGGAUUAAAAUUGAGCCGUCCAAUGAAAAAAUAGACUUACGGAAGGCUGACCUUGACUAUGAGUAGUCUUGGUGCUGUAUGGACAUGUGGUUUCAGAGUAAAGAACAUGUGGAUCGUGACAUGUGGUAUCAGAGCUUAGGUUUAGCUCAAGUGGCAAGAUUAACAUGACCCCAUGUAUGGGCCUAAUGGUGGGAAAUUGAAGUGGUACUAAGCUCAAAAGAGCUUUCAAGAUGCGAAUGCAGUUUUGUGGCUAUGGGGGCUCGAAAAAGAGCCAAUGAUGCGUAUUGUGGGAAAUUUUAGCCUAUGUAAAAAACUCUCGAGUAGACUAUUGGAUGCCAAGCAAAAGGGCACUGAAGUCUAGCCUCACCUAGAAAAAGGUGUUGGCAUGUUUUAGGGCAUGUGAUGCCUUUACAAUGGAAGAAAUCGUGGUGAGACCAAAAUGCGAAAAGGGGCUUACACCAUGAAAUGGUGUUUUGUAAGGCCAGUGGGGUCAAGUGAGUUUUGUCCUGAAGGAUACGAGACAUACGUAUCAAGACUAAUUACUAAUGUAUGCACUUGUUAUAUGGUGUAGGUUCCCCAGCAAGGGUGCAAGCUGAAAUAUUCAAGUCCAAGAAUGGAGCCAUUACACAGAGGAGUGUGAAUUGGCUGAGGAUGAAGCCAUGAGUUGUGAUGGUUGGUGGACCAUGAGUUGCGUUGGUCGGUGGACCAUGAGUUCUCGUGAUUAGAGGAUCACGGGAGUGUGUGAGUAAGGGAAUCAAGUUUUAUGUUUGCCAAGAAGGAAGGCCUCACAUGUUGUGGUGGUUAGUGGACCACAAUAGAGUGUAAUCUAGUGGAACAAGCAAAUGGGAAUUGGCCAGUUGACAAGGCCUUCAGAAAUGUAGGUCAAUAGACCUUGAGAAUCGAGUGGGUGGUUGAAUCCCCGAGUCAAACAAGUCAGUGGAUGAGGUGAUUGGUUAGAUCAGUGGUAUAGAGUGAACUUUGAGAUGCCCUAUGAGCUAUGCUAGAGUCAAGGCAGACGAGCUGUAGAACCAUCAAGGAGACAUGGUUGCGUAUAGUGUUAAACCAAGCUUCGAGUAAAAGUGAGGGAGACGUGAUUCCCUAUGGGACUGAGUCAAGACAGAGAAGCCUGAACAGAUGGAACAUAGUGUUCGAGCUAGGAGUAGAGAUCGAGAUAGCGCGUCUUAAGGUGCCACCUCGAAGGUGGUUGGCCAGAGGGCCACACCUAGAGAGGUGACCUUAGAGGGCUAAGAGGACCCAAGUUAUGAGAUAACCGAAGUGUCUAAAUGCCACCAUGCUAGGGUCUAUCGUGUGUGGUGCCGUAUGAGUGCGGUUGGCCUAAACACCACGUCCAAAGGGGCGCAUCGAAGAGUCGAUGUAGUAGGCAUGCAGUUGGUGUGAGGGGUCACGUCCAGUGGGACGUACCAAUGAGUGGUAAAGCAGGUGGUCAUUCAUUCUACUAAAGGUCAUUAAACAAUAAGGGUGCCUCAAGGUCGCAACGGGAUGUGAUCAAAGGAAGUAGUGUUAUGGCACAUAUACAGCAACCAAGAUAGGGUGAAACAGUUCGAGUAGGAACAGAGCGGAGGUGCAUUGGUGCUGGGAUGUGACCAAUCUACAUCAACAAUGGACAAGUACUGUGGGUCAUGCCCCAUGUGACGGGACCUCGACCCAAUCCUUGAGGGCACAAGUGAGAGACAUAUGAGUAAAUGUCAACUGUGUGCAACAAGAGAGUUGAGUGUGAUCUUGGCGUCGAUGAGGGCAUCGACAUGGUAAGUGGGGGAGAGUGUCAUGGUCAGACCUUGGUGUGCCUUGGUCCUACCUUGACUGACCCUGAGCUGAGCAGCGAUCGAGAUCAAGCUAGCAAAAAAAUGGUUCUAAAAGAUGCGGGCAUGCAUUUGGAGCAUUGAAACAGGUUACUAAUAUGUUGUGCGGGCAGUGGGAGCCCUAGAUCGCAAGAUAUGUGGGUAAGUUCGAAACAGUGGUCAAGCACCCUCAAGCCAAGUAGCUCAGCGGGUGCCAUCAAUGGAAGUAAUGUGCGGGCAUUCUGAGCAUGAGAAUAUGUUAGGGAUAUUGUAAGUGGAUAGUUUGAGUCCUAAACCCCAAGAUACGCAGGUAAGUGUGAGGCAGUGUGCCGGUGCUCUAGGACUAGCUAGCCAGUCAGGUGCUAUCGGUCGAAGCCAUGUGCAGACACCUUCGAGUGGGUUGGUGGAGCAACGAGUAGAAUAAAGGAAUAAUGGUGACCAAGAGGAAGGUUAUGAGACCCUGAGUUAGCCGGAGAAAGGCCUUGAGAUGGCUAGAGAGAAAAGUAUCCCCAUUUCGGAUAAUCUUACGGUUACUGGUAAGAGACUGAAAAAAUCUCUUACGCUCUUUAUAGGGAGAUGAUUGGUAUCAGGUUCCCACCACCCCUUUGGCUAAUAGGCAGGCAGGAGCCUGGCUAGUUUGAAAUAAGCUACUCCUAGGCACUAGUGGUAUCUAAGUGAGCAGGCAUCGUAGGGUCACGAGCGUGACACAAUGUUUCCUUAGGUCAUGGUAAACUCGGGGGUGAUUAGAGCCGACAGGCCUCAUAUCGCUCCUUUGCAUUGAGCCAUGGGGUUACAUGGUAGAGUUCGUUAUGCCCCUCGAUUUCCCUUCAUUGAGCCAGAAGGAUCAUGAGAUGGUGUUUGUGUUGGAGAGACGCCAUCGAGCUUGAGGGAUGUGCGGGCUAGCAGGCAGGCAUGCUGCUAAACCUUUAUGGCCAAUCGGUAGAGGUGUAUUGUAGCUGAGGCAGUCCACCCAAGUCCCCCUUACGAGACUAGCAUGAUGUUAGGUGUCAAUCAUGCGUACGGACGACCUACACUGAAGCUAAGGGCCUAAGCCCUAAGAACUGAGUCCCGUGGGAUGAGAUGAGCCUAGAGGCUUCGAGCUGGCUGCUGACCAGCUUAAGUGUAACGCUUGCGUAAACUUGAUACGAGAGUUUGCGUACGAUAUAGGCGAGCAUGGUGUUGGGUUCUUACCAUAUCAGGAAGAAUCGAGGCUGCGUACUCCAUGGGUAUUCGAGGGUCGGUGCUCGAGACCUUAAGCCCUGCGGGCAGAGAUGGGUGCUCGAGAUUACUUUGAAAAUCAUGGGCUAAUGAAUGAUGGGAAUUAGAUUCCUCCCUAUAGAGUUCGAAAUGAGUAAUCUUACAAUAUCAAAACUAAAAAAAAGAAUCAUAUGUAUACGACUUGAAAGAUUAAAAUUGAACCGUUCAAUAGAAAAAUGGAUUCACGAAAGGUUGAUCUCGAUUAUGAGUAAUUUUGAUGCUGUAUGAAUGUGUGGUUUCAGAAUAAAGCAGGCUCGGACCACGACACUUAACGUAAGACGGACUCCUACCUCCAAAAAAAGAAAUUACCAAUUAAAGUAAAUGUAAAGGCUCGCUUGCUUAAAAAUGUUACAGCCCUUCAAUAAAAUAUUAUGUAUGUAAGAAAAAGAGUAAACAUCGUAUAUGAGUAGGAGAAGUCCGGGCUUACCUUACCAUAUAACGAUACCUACCCUAUAUAAGAUAAGCCCUGUCAAGGGAAUAAAUCAAUUCACCGGGUGACCCUACAGAGAGAAGGACUGAAACUAGAUCGCUUCUCAAUCUUUCUCGUUUGAAGGCCAGAGAUACAUAUUAAACAGGCUCGAAGAAAGAACAUCCUAUUUGACUAAAUGGGAAAAGCAUUUUAAAGAUAAAUUGACUGCUACCCUGAAGAGAACUCUUUUGGCUUGACUUCCAUAUAUUGACUCCUCGUAUGCUUCCAAGGGAACCCAUGCUCUUAACUAGGGGCAAGCAUGUUCUAAAUACUAAAUAGAAGAUAACUCAAUCCCUUUCUGAAACCAUUCCCACGGUCCAGGGGAAAAAAUUAGCCGUCCACCUGGUCAAACCCUUAAGAAGAGAACUCCAAUGACAACUCAAACCAGAAGGACUAUAACUAAAUAUUAGAUUUUGGGUUCUAAGCAAAACUACAAUAAGCAAUAAAACUCGAUCCAAAGCAGAAUGGAACUCAAAGCAAAGCGAAAGCGAAGGAAAAAGAAGCACUCGCUUUGUGGCUUACUCUUUUGACUAGAAAGAAAUGGCUAAGAGAGACCUUAAAAUGCCACUGUCUGGAAAAGGAGAUGGACGAUGAUUAGUUAAGAGGAAAAGCUUAGGAGAACACUAGAGCGGAAGCGGAGGCUAAAAGAAGAAAAGAGGGCCGAGUAGCUCGACUUCAAGGCAAGGAGAGGCACUUUCUGGCCAGUAGAGAGGAAAUUCCUCGACUUUAUCACAUCUUAUCAAUUCAAUUUAAACUAAAUAGUACUUUACUUGACUGCAGGCGCAAGCUAAUGAUAGAGGAGCUUGAAAUAAUAAUUCGUUCAUAGCUUGAAUUGAAAUUAGGACCUUAGGGUGAGAAAGGAAUAGCUGCUUUCUAGAUAUAGAUAGAGAGUCGGAUUUUUAUUGACCCAAGAUAAAACUUUUUAUUUAAUAAAGUUAAAAAAAAUGUUUUCAAAUUAACUUGCUAAAAAUCAUCCUGCCUUGCCUUUCUCUCUAUUUUAUUCCCGUAUCCAAGCCAAACUUGAACUGCAUUUGUUCCGCAUAUGAAAAAAGCCUCCCUAUCUCCAUAUGCAUGGAGUAACUUGAGUAUUUUCUCUUCUUAUCAAUUCUUUCAUAGCAUUCAAACCUUGGAAAUGUAACAAAAGUCAGAUGCAGAACACACGCAAGAAAAGAGACCAAGCAAGAGAGACAGGAAAACUAGAGUAACUUGCUCGUUAUAGCCAGCAAGAUGAUAGGCAUUCCUUUAGGAGUAGCUGGGACUUUCAAUAGAGAAGACAGUCUCAGCAGUAAAGUGCUAACACCGGUAACGUAGCUAGGGGAGUUGCAGGACUCAUUUCAAAGGCUAGAAGUCCUAAACUAGAAAGGAGAUUGCUUUGGUGUGAAGUCAGCUGUACUAGAUGCAGUUGCCCGGCAUCCAAUGCAUCACUAAUUCCAACUAGAACGGAAUGGGAUGACUGAGAAUACCAAAGGGACUCUUUCAUGUACCUGUCUGGUACGGCUUAUUCCCUUAUGGAUAGGGAAAGAGCUGAGACUGAAAAAAUGAAUUCGUGGACGAGAGGUUGGACUACAAAUGAGAGAUUGGAGAAUAGAUUCCUUUCACCGAUGCUUCGAUCAGUUCUUUACCGGGACUUGACACAAGACAGACGGGCGGUGAAAACUGGAAUUAGAUCUUGGGAAAGAUCGACUCAAAUAGAUGCUCGUCCCUUUCCGACUCACUCCAGCUGGAAUGAGUACCAUACCAAAUCCCCAUUAAGCUUGUCGAUUUAUGUGAGAAUGGCUAUACGACUUUGGUAUAUUUUUAUACAUAUGUGUUAUAGAGUAUAGUCGGGCCCUGGGCUCUUUAUCCCAUAUAUAGGGAAGAGAUCUUGCGAUAGCCCGCUUUAUGUCAUCGAGAUAUUGAAUCUCGAUUCCUCGAGGCCUUUUUAAUUCUUCUGUCCGUUGGUGGAUAUCCUGGACAUACUGGUGGCAUCGUUCGAGGUCCCGUUCCGGCCGCCUAUAGUCUUUUGACGGUUCUAGGUCUCGAAACCUAUGAGCGUCUGUCAAAAAUCUUCCCCUUUCUAAAAAGCUUACUCUGUUUCAUCCCCUUUCCACUGUCUAGUUUCGAUUUGCCUUCGCUCUUAGCUUGCCACUUUGGGCCAGGUACUACUCAAGGCAAACGUACUAGACAAGCAAAGAAAGAUAGUCAUAUAAAUGAGCUACCACGUGCAUGCUUUCCUUGAUAGGCUUCCUUCCUUAAUAUUAAUAAAUGGCACUGCGCUCUUCGAACCUAAAUUUGAACUAUAAGAGACCUCUACUCUCCAAUCUCUAUCGAAAGCAUUAGUGGUUGUACUCCACUAAUGAGCUACGCGUAGCUGCAGUACGAUCCAUUUGUCUUCCCAUCGUGUAAUGAAAGCGUGCCCCAUGGUUCUCCCAUUUUUGGCACAAGAUCCCUCGGGUAUUUUAUUUUCACUCACUUCUACUUUAAACUUGAACACUUUCUUUAAGCGAUAUUGCCACAGACUUCCAUUUCUUCUGAUUAGAAUACUUUCAUUCUCUUGAUCGAAUGGCGGGUGAAGAGCGACCCACGUCUUCCUCGUCAUACAGCACAGAAGUCUUACUUCCAACUCACAUGCAGCUUCUUAUUGACAAAUUGCAACGUGAGUUUGCCAUGACUGAUCCUAGUUUUCUCAAUCACAUCGAGAGAAUAAGCCAAGGCCCCUCUACCGGAUUACGCUUUCCAAUAGCCAGGAUUUUCAAUUAGAAAAACAAUAAUGUUUUGGCCUUGGUCCAUUGGUACGUUACUCUCCAUACUUAACAUAUGUUGCUUGCCUCUCACCAUCUCUUCGGAAUGGCACUGAAUUCGUACUCCCCAGGCUCCGCACUCAGGAGCCCCCUUAAUCGAGUAUAAUAGCGGCCGUUCACGUCAGGAAGAAAAUAAACAGGGGGGAGGGUCUCCACAAGUAGGUCUUGUCUCCGCCAGGCGGGGAAACCUAUCUGGAAUUUUCUAGGUAGGCGCUGAACUCGUUGACCAUCGACCGUCGUUCAAAACUAUUAGACCUAGUCCCAUGCGUAAGUUUGUGACAUCAAUCUUAUUCGCAUCAUAAUCCGUGAAUGAGUUUACGAAUGAAGGCAACUUCCGAGUAUAAUAUGGUAUCCAGAACAGAUGACAGACUGCCAAUCAAAGAUGGUUAUGCCUUGACUACUGACUACCGUUCUUCGUCUAGCCGUCACUGCUCACUCCAUGAGAUAAUCCUCCAUUUUUUUGUCGUCGCCCUCCUUUUUUAACCUCCUGGAAAUAACGACUAGAAAAAUUCAAGACCUAAAAAGAGAAGGUAAGAGGGAAGGGCAGUGGAUCGGUCAAGGUGGGCUAGGUCUUUGUUGACAUCGGACCACUAUAACUUUGGACAACCUUUUCAUCCCCAUUGCUGAUCACACUCUAAAGUGUGCGCUUUAGUUUGAUUCGUCCCUUACUCCACAGCUGCUAUUAUUCAGCACGGUGCAGCGUACAAAAACACCACCUAACCUAUAGUUGACCAUACUCGUUAAGGCAAACGAUGCAAUAGUUUGCUAGGAAACUGUGCGGAGCGGUCUCUCUGCAUCAGGCGCUACGAGAUUUCUGUCUGCGACCGACCGAGACUCUUUCUCAAGUCAAAAUUUUUACUUAGCUCUCUACAUUUCGUGAUCACCGUGCCGAUGGCUUCGAUCCUAUCUCUACGCUACAGCUCAUGCUUACAUAGAGAGAUAAUUAUGCUCCUAAUGUUUCGGGGGGUAUCCCGACAAUUUCAACCGGCCGGCCAUGAAGGGACGUCACGACUAUGCUUUCUGGUAAACACAUAAGGCUAUUUUUUUCAGCCAUCUGCUUUAUGCAUGAUCAAACCUUCGGAGCUCUUUUAGUCCGCCCGACACGCCUCGAUCUAUACAUGGAACACACGCAGCAAGAUACUUCCCGGUUCUAUAAUGGUUACAAUUAUCUACGUUUUCAGUGUGCCUAUGAUGUAGCACCAGGCGAAUUGUUAGUUAAUGUGUAUCAUCUUACGAGAAUAGAGUAUGGUGUAGAUCACCCAGAAUAGGUAUGCAAAUAAGUCUUUGCCAAAGGGAAGAAUCGAAACCUAGAAUCCCGUCUGUUUUUUGGAUUUUGAAAAGUGCAGAUUUUCAAGAACGAAAAUUUCUUAUGGAUUUCAUCCACGCCUGAAACCUAUCUUGAUACUUGAAAGUUGGAUCGGUUGGCCUCCCCUACGCAAGGAGAAUCUAUUGUCCUCAAUUUUUAUGAAAUAAAGGAUGCUCAUUGAAUGAAUCUUAACUUAUACGAUUUCAGAUAUUCAAUAAGAUUAUUAUGUUCUGUUUUCGAUGAAACAAAGUUACUAAACUCUCAUUCCAAUUUUUUUUCUGAAAUAAAAAAGGGCUUCAUAUAUAUUCCUAAAUCUGGAAGAUAACAUAUCUAUUUGGGACGAGCAGAGCCGAUAGAAUGAAUCGAAAGAGUUCCAAGCUUACCUGAUUGAUAGGCCUUUGUGCCGCGCACAUCACUUAGAUGGGCCCCGGAAAACAACGUAGGAAAGAGCGAAAUUUGUGUGAAAAUAGGAAAUUAAGAAAUUCAAAGGCUAAUCUUUCAUUAGAUUUGUAUUGGAUCUGAAAUGAAUCCUGUCUAUUCCUAUCCUAAAACCCCUCAACGACUAGACUUCUGGGUCUUUCAGUCAACUCAAUUGGGAUAUGUACGGAGUAUGCUAAUUAUUUUUGAGCGAGAGGAGCAUUGUUUUAAGGGAGGGAAAGCGUGGUUUUAUAUUAGACAGAAGUGGCUGAACCGCUGUCUCCUUCUCAUGUACAAAUCUGCCCGUAGCAUAGACUUGAUCGAUCACCACAUUUCUAUCCUCCUUUGCAAUCAUAAAACUUUGAGGGCUUACUUUGUAGGGCUUUUCAAGGAGAGAGCACAACCUUGCCCGGUCUUCACACUCGUCAAUUUCUUAAUGAAUGAAUCGUAUGGAUUGGAUUGAUACGUCUGCCUUACCAAUUCGGCGGAUGCUCGGAUUUUUUCAUUCGAAUAGAAAAAGGCCCUCGAUUCCCUUAUGUAUGUAGGGCGAAGGUGCUGUAAUGGACGCUGGUGGUUGGUACAAUAGUAUAGUAGAACGCGCCUCUUUUGCCGGAUCCCACACACCACUUAGAUUGCAGUACAGCCUGCUUCUCACAUUUCUCUUGAUCAGCUACUUAUUUUAUUCCCCUCAUCCCAUUAAGAAAGAACUAUCCGUUGAUAUCUUAGCCUAAAGGCCUAUAUUUAGAUCAAGACAACGAUUUUACUAAUACCAAAAAAAUAAGGGCUCACUUGCAGCUACUCAAAAAAAGAUAUGCUCGAAUGCUUUUGAGUUUUUCAUUUCUAUACCGAGUUGUAUGCAUGUGAAAAGGAUGAACAACCUAAUAAAUAGCAAUAGUUUAUUACGUGAAUAGAGGGGCACCACACACAUUAGUGGCCAAAAGGGGAAGAAGCACACUUCUCUCUUUAUUUUACCCAUAAGCAAAGGCAUGUGCUUCUCAUUGUCCAGGCUUAUGACUCACCUCAUGCUCCCCGACUCUAAGGGAGAGAAUGAAUGCACUACUUCUCAGUGCACUUGCAGGGGUUGCUCAUGCACUCCUUACAAACGGAUACUAUUUAGUGCAAGACAUAGCUUGCCCUUCUCUCGUCGGAUUGGGAGUGGCAUGCGAGUGCUAAGCCAACAAAAUUAGAUUCCAGGAACCUUUCUUUGUGACCUUUAGAAAAACCCCUCCCCCUUACUAGAUCAAAUAGGGCUUAUUACUUAAUAACCGAGAGAUAAAUGCAACUACGGGAUAAAAGCUGGGUAGGGUAGAGCCUUUUUUUAGUACCCGAAACCCAAAAACUCUUUUCCAGAGAUUGAAAUAAAUGCAUGAGCUAUGGGCCGCAUCCAUCGACUUUUAUACAAAUUGAAAUUCGGAAGUUAAGAAAGCAUUAUUCAAGGUUUUUUAACUGUAUAGCAGAUUGACCCGGCUUACCAUUAUAUUAAAAAAUAAAUGAAACUGAAGUUCUACCCCGCCUUCUCUAAUAAAGCCUUAACCUUCGGUGAAUAGUAAUGAGUCUUCACCGGUUCGGUGGCAUCUUUGUAAGGAUCUUCCUUAUGAAUCUGGUCUUAUCUCCAGAGGGCCUGCUCAGUCGACUGGUAGAACAAGGUCCCACUCCUUCUGGCCAACUAGGAUGGGACAAACAACGUCUUCAGGUCUUGCACAACCGAUACCUCUACCUCCAUUUUUUGCCGUGGAUUUUUUUAGCCCAUCAGGAGUGCGCAUCGUCUGGACGGGGAAUAAUUCAAUUUCUAGAAGUUCCCUCUCGUAUGUCACCUUAGGGCCUUUGGACGACUAAGUCAGCUCGGCUUCUCCUUCUGAAUCAGAUUCACUUUCGACGUAGAGCACACUUGACCCUGCGUCACUUGAUGUAUCAUCGAGGCAUAAAAACCUCUUCUGAUUCUGCGUUGCUUGCUGCAUCGAGAAUAGCUUCCCCUUCUGAACCUUCGUCAUUCUUUGAAGAGGGAAUUGCUGAUGAUUCCGGCCGGCUCUGUAGUUUCGAGGCUGGCUUAGAUCUUUCUGCCGUUUUGGGGAACAUCUUGGCCUUAACUUCUGCUUUGGUUGGUUCCCUUUGAGGGGUCACAGGGGCAGAAGGCUGACCGACGAACCAGGGUCUAACAGGAUGCGAUUGACCUUGUGAUUGUAAAUCUCCUCAAUCAGGGACGAUUGUGCUCAGUUGUUUUCACCAUGAGGUCGUCGUUAGUGAAGGUGACAGCAGCCGAAUACUGGGAAUACAAGGCUCCUUCAUGUUCACCUCAGCGAAGUGGCUUUGAUAUUUGUCAGAAUCCAGCAGAGCAGCGCCUGGACAAAGGCAGUCCUGAUAUCGGAUGACAGCAUCAGGGCAUCAUACACGCUGAGGAGGGCUUGAAUCUUCUUCAGGUUUUAUUUUAGAGGUUAGAGCAGCAGCAUGUACACUUUUGAGAUAGCAUUUGGUCUUAGGAUUGGUAUUGACCAAGUGAUCAACCAAGUGAUCAGGGCUCAAGAGUGCAACGUGCUAGACCUAAGACUUCAACAGGAGUGAUUUUUUAUAAUUUUUAAGAAUUAGAAAAGGUAUUUUUUUUUUAUAAAAAACGCCUUUAAUAAGUUGGUUGGAUAAUUUUAAAGGCUUAUAAUUAAAGAUAUCUUUUUUGUAAAAAAAUACCUUCAAUAAUCUUUAAUAAAAUUUUCAGGUGAUUAUUGAAGGCGUUGUUCCAUAAAAAUGCCUUUAAUAAUUAAUUUUAUAUUCAUUUCCUUGCCUUGAACAUAAGAAUUUGCAGAGGGCUGGUACACAGAACGAUUAAAAGCUACGUUAUUCAACCAAACAAACCAAACCCUUAAACACAUUUUUAGCAGACCAUUGGUUUCUUUCUCCCAUUCGUCACCAUCGACCUUAAACAAAUCACCAUUGCGAACCUCUAUUUUAACCGGUAAUUUUUUUUUUUUUAGUUUACUAUAUUAUUUACAAUAUUCAAUAGAGAAUUUUUGUUUUUUGGUUCCUUAAUAUUGACAUAUGCGUUUAUAUAUUUUCAUUAACAUCAUCGUCAGCAUAGUCAUCCAAAAUUCUAUUCAUAUUGCAAGUAUGCUAUUUUUAUGUAGUACACAUUAAAUAUUGUGGUUUGCUGAACCUUGUUGACUGAUAUUAUAUUGUCGAAUGAUAUUGUAUGAUAUUGGGGGUCUGAAUCAUAUUUCAUGUUGAAUGGUUUGCUGAAUCUUGAUAUUUGAUAUUGUUUUGCUCAAUGGGUCUGAAUGAAAUUGAGAGGCUGAAUAGUAUGCUGAAUGGUAUUUCUAAGAGGUUUGCUGAAGGGUGUGUAUUAGCAUAUUGUUGAAUGGUGUGCUAAAUGUUAUUUCUGUACAUAGUAUGGUAUUGGUUAUAUUAAAUUAAGUACAAUGAUCAAUUUAGAGGCUUAUAUUAUGUAAUUCGUAUAAUUAUGAUCAAUAUUGUAGGUAUUAUGGACUCCGAACAACAUCAUUCUCCUUUUAAUGAACAUGUAGAAGAAAGAAGUGUAGGCCAAAAAAGAAAAGGAAGGGGCCCAAAUAAACAAAUCAAAAUGACUGACACAAAAAUUCAUUUUGACUUUAAUCAAAGUGGGUAGCUUGUGUCAGAAGGAGCUGCUAAGAUGGCUAUUCAUAUUAAAGCCAUCGUCCAUCGAAGGAUUUCAAUUACGUACAUCGAUUGGCGACGAGUUCCUGAUGAUCUAAAGGAUGAGAUAUGACAGUCCGUUGUGGUAUGUUUAUUCAACAUUUUGUAAAAUUUGUUAAAUUAUCAUUUAAUUGAAAUUCAAUGUGUUGAUACUAAUUGUGUUAACUUAUUUAAGAACAGUUCAACGUCCCCAUUAAGUGUAAAGAGAUUGUGUUGUAAUAUGCUGAAAAAGCUUUCAGAGACUUUAAAAGCAGAUUGACAACCAAAUAUAUUUUAUUAUUGGCUGGUGAAGGUGAUGUUUUGGCUGUUCCACCUGCAACAUAUGCAAAUGUCAUAAGUGUUGAAAAUUGGAUAAAAUUUUGUUUAAUAUCGACUUUCAGAAGAUUUCUCGGUAUGCAAACCCAUUACCAAAAUAGUCCAAAUUUAUAAGUCUUUAUUCAAUAUAACCUUUAAUCUUCAUAUGUGAUUGACGUAAUUUCUUGAUUUUAUAGAAAAUUAAAGAAGAACAUCGAAACAUUCGGGCCAAACAACAGUAUCACCAUCAAACAGCAAAAAAAAGAUAUGCAAAUAUAAAGUAUGAGCUUGUAUGCAUUCACACAUUUGUUUUAUACUCAUUAAUGAAUAUUUAUGAAUAUUCAUUUCAUACAUUUGAUUCUUUUAUUACGAUAAUUUAAUAGAAAUCAGUAAGCUCAAACACAAAAGUUUCCAGAUGGGAUGUCUGGAAACAAGGACAUAAAUGGAAGGAUGAAUCCUUUGCAGAUGAAGCAACUGAGAAAAUGGUAAAAAAGAUUAUAUGUAUAAUUAUUUUUUUGAUAUAAUGUAUGAUUGACAUUGUGGUUGUAUAAAUGAGUGUAUACUAGCUUGUGUAGAUUUGUUCUAACAGCCCAACUUAUUAUUGUCUUUUAGGAUGAUUAUGCUGCCAAAGUAAAAUCUAGCGAACUAACAACCUAGUAUGGUGAAGAUUCUUUAUCUUUAGCAUUAGGAACUAAAGAAAGGCCUGGUCGGGUUCGUGGGAUUGGUAAAUUUGUCUUGUCAUCAACGUAUUUUGGUAAACAACCAAAAACCCCAUGAAUGAGAAAUACACAAUAUGAAGCACUAAUUGAGCAACAACAAUAAUAAAUUAAUGACCAGAAGCAACACCUUAAUGAUCAACAGCAAAGACUCGCUGCUUUGGAGUUUAUGUUGUAGCAAUGCAACAGGUUAUGCCAAUAGCUCGGCCUGAUAGCAUCGUCCCCGUACGAAAAGCUUCCGUUGCUAGUAAGGAAGUGAUCCCAUCAUCUGCUACCACCAAAGAAGUAUGAUAUUAUUUAUAAUUUGAAUAUUAAUUUGUUUAUUAUAUUGAUAGAUUUGAUUUUAAUACUUAUAUUUCAUUAAAUAUUGUAGGAUGAUGUUCAGACUCAAAGUAUGACCCUUGCCCAGGCUUCCAUGGAUAAGUUAACAAAAUAUUCACUAGAGCAUUUAUCUGAUGAAAACUUCAUAUCCAUUGAGUCUGAGGAAGACUUAUUUGAUAAAUAAUCAUUUUCUUUCAUUAGUGUGGAAGAGGUGAAAGAAUUUUGUGAAAUGGAUGAAUUAUCAGCUGCUGAAAUCGUUACUUAUAUGAGGUUAGCUUAUAAAUACAAAUAUGCACAUUCAAUAUGUAGUAAGUUAGUAUUAGGGUGUAAUACUAACCAGCAGUGUUGAUUGUUAUCGUGUAGCUUCCUAUAUAGAGAGCUGAAGGGGAGACAGUUGACGAAUAAAUUUAGAUUCAUUGACCCCAACUUCAUUAGUGAGCAGAGUGGCACAGUCGUGUAUCAUGCUAAUCAUGUGAUCCUAUGCAUGAAAAUACCAACUGAUUAUUAUUUGCUCUCGUAUAAUGCGCAGUAAGCUAUAUUCCAACUUUAAUUACUCCAACCUACUCCAUUCUAUGAUCUGAUGUGUAUUCUGAGUAUAUCAUUAUUAUUAUUUUGCAAUCGUCAUUGGGUGCUUAUUGUGAUUGAAACCAAAUCCUUAACGUCAUACCUUCUUAAUUCAGUUAAUCCAAUGGUGAUGCCUAACCCCGAUAUUCAAACUUUUAUAAAAAGGUAUUACAGUACUUUAUUAUAUUAUAUAUGUUUUGUUUCUUCAUAAGUAAUUUUAUUUAUGUUCCCACUAAUUUUUUUUCUUUUCAAUUUAGGGUAAUAUAUGCACUUAAUAAAAAGAUAAAGAAACCGAAAUGGGUGUCAUUACCGGUAAAUAUGAAAUAUAUUCUCUUAAUGUUGAGUUUGUGUAGAUAAAUAUUUUCUAAACCGACUCAAUUUAAUUUUUAGGUACCUCAUCAAUCCGAUAAUACUAAAUGUGGAUAUUAUGUCCUUCAUUUUAUGCGAGAGAUAGUAUUACAUGAUUUUAUGACCACACCAUAAAGGUUAGUAUAAAUUUCAUAAACUCGUUAUAUAUUCAAAAAAAUAAAAUGGUACAUAAUGUUCUCAUUUCUUAACAUUUACUUUGAUAUAUUUUUUUAGUGGAAAGGUAAAGAAAGCUUUACGGAAGAGGAGCUAGAUGAAGUCCGUAAAGAAUGGAUGAUUAUGUAUUGUCAUUUAUCAAUGUUGAUAAACCUUUAGGUUAGAUAUUGUUGGUUGAAUGUAAAUAUAUAUGAAACAAAUUGUUAUAAUAUUUUUAACAUGCCAUGUUGAAUGGAAACUUUAAGUUUGUACAUUGGGGGUAUUGGUUUAAUAUUAUUGUUAUACUUAAUAUGAAUACACUAUGUGUACUUAAUAAAUUACUAAGUACGAUUAUUUCAUAAAAGUAUAUUAAUAUGACAACGUUAUCAGUUUUAAUUUUGGAUGUGUGGUUAAUUUAUUGAAAUACAACAAUAUUCAUUAUGUAAAUUCCAAAAUGUAAUUCAUAAUAUUUGAUAUAUAAACCAAAUGUUUUCUGGGCAUAAAUAUACAACUAACAGCAAACAUUUUUUUGGGCAUAAACCUACAACUGACUUCACAUAUAAAAUAUUAAAUAUGUUUUUUUGAUGCGAUUAAUGAAGGCUUUUUUAGUAAGAAAACGCCUUCAAUCACCCAUAAUAGAAAACAUUGAAGGCAUUUUUUUUAUCAAAAUCACUUUCAAUAAUCCCCCCAGGAAAUUAUUGUGUGGAAUAUUAAAGGCAUUUUUGACAAAAAAUACCUUCAAUAAUACCAACUAAAAAUUAAUCGAAUGAAUUAUGAAGGGCGUUUUCCUAUGGGUAAUGCCUUCAAUAAUCUCUAACAAAAUGUUUAUGAAGGCAUUUUUGGAUAUAGCCGCCUUCAAUAAUCAGACCAUUAAAAUUUAUCGUUGGGAAUAUUAAAGGCGUUUUGAGCCAAAAACGCCUUCAAGCAUCCCAUCCAAGUUUUGUCUAUGAAAUAUUGAAGCCAUUUUUUACAAAAUUGCCUUUAAAAAUCACUAAAAAAAUUUACUAAUUAGAUUAUAGAAGGUGAGUUCGGCGAGUUCGGCCAAAAAUGCCUUCAAGAAUCGACUCCAUAUUUUUCCUAUGUAUUAUUAAAGGCGUUUCUCCAUAAAAAACGCCUUCAAUAUUCUAAAAUUUUUUUAAAGCAAUUGGUGAAGGCGUUUUUGCCAAGAAAAUGCCUAGAAUAAUCAAUAACAAAUAAUCUGUGCAAAAAACCCAAAAAAGGCUAAAGGAUGGAUCAAACCAACAAUUUUAUGAUAAACAUUCGUACGAUCCAAACAAUUUGAUAAGCUUAAUAUUGAAUGUAUUUUUGAACAAAAUAAAUUCAAUAAGCCUAUGAAAUUUUUUUGUCUAAAUAUUAAAGGCGUUUCUUGUAGACAGUGCUUUUAUUAAUCUCAUAUAAUUUUUUAUGACGUGAUUAUUGAAAGCUUUGUUUGCCAAAAAUACACCUUAACUAUUCACUGAAAUUUUUAAUAAAAAAUAUUCAAGGCAUUUUAGUCAAGAAACGCCUCUAAUAUCAAGUCUUGGGUGACGUUCAUAAGUAACAACGACGCUAUUUGAAUAUUUAAUGAUGUUUGGUAAUAAAUGCCUUAAGUUUUAUAAAAAUACGGAAGUUAGUGGCAUUUAUAAGUGAAAGCCGCUACAAAACUGCCACUAAUAUGCCAUUUUGCUGUAGUGUAUGAAUUUUUCAUACCUUGCACGCUGAACCUGCUAUGCUAACUCCGUUAAGAGAAAACGAAAGCUACAAAGAUCCUUAACAGCCCCGUCAUUGAGAUAACAUAUCUUCAAUAGGUCUAUGGCUUCUUUCAUAUUCACGUGUGCAAGAAGACCUAAUUUCUCUAAACUCGCAUGAUUUUUCUUUAUGAAUUCCAAUACAUUAUUAUUUAUCAACAAUCCUUGUGACUGAAGUCUAUUCAAGAUUUGGCACAUUUCCUUGUACAUAGGAUCAUGUAAGUGAAUAUUGAAAUUGUGUAUGUCACGGGAUGAUAUAACUCUAAAGGAAGAUUGAACUUUAAACUGAUUAUAUAAAUCAUUGGAAGGAUUGAAAAAGUAACCUCCUCUAAUAUCCGAAAACAUUCUUGGCAUCAAACAUUUAGAUUUCCAAUCUAACGGCUUGCAAACCAUAGGAAGAUUCAGUUUAACUGGGAGAAGGCAACAGUUAAAAUUACAUAUUACGAAUGAGUUUAAUGGGUAAUAUCCUUUUCCUUUUCUUUUCACAAUUGGUUUUAUCUCCUCUGUUGUGCAGGUAUCAAUUACGAAACAAUUUCUUUCUAGCAUGAACUCAAGCAAUUUGGUUCCUAUUUCAUAUUGUUGAACACGACUUUUCUUACUACUUUUCGCUUGACUACUAUCACUUACCGCUUGACUACUAUCACUUUCAGACAAAUUGUUGAUAAUCACUGAUUGUAUUCGAAACUGUUUUAUCUAGCCUGUCCAACAAUGUGGAUACCCUUACAACCGAGGAUUCUUGAAGACUGUUGUACAACAAUCCUAGCACAUAUAUGAUGAUAGCCUCCAGCGUAUAAUGACCUAAAUGACUAAUAUAACGAUUAUAAACAUCUGUUGAUAGGCAACUCUUUAAAUGAUCUUUAGCUGUGAUCUGAGCAUUAUCUAUCAAUAAGUUUAAUAACUGAGGAGUGCUUUUAAAGAUUCUAUUUUCAUCGAAGUUCAUAGUUAGUUCUUCAAUCAUGUUCUGUAAAUCCUUUAACUCACUAGAGGAGAACUCUAUAAAACCAUCAUUAUUAAUGGAUUGAUUCUUCUUAGAUUCAUUCAAUAACAUUAUAACACGAUCCUGAUAGCUAUAACAAUCUGAAUUCAAUUUACAUGAAACUUUUAUCUCCCUGUAGAAAUGAAGCCAAAAUUCAUUAAUGAUACGUUCUUUAUCGGUUGAAUAAGCUCUUCUGACAUUGAUAUCAUCUCUCCUCUCUUGGCUUUGUCUCAUUGUCUAUCUUGUAAUCGUUCAAUUCCGUGCUUCAAUUGAAGCAAGCUCCGUCCUCCGAAUCUUUUCUCUUCUCCCCUGUGAGUCAAGAAGGAAAGAUAGAUUGUCUUCGGACUUAUCUGAAAGACUGUAGUUCGAACUCGGAUUCGUUUCUUUUUUAAUCUAUUCUUUUUCGAAUUAUAUCAAGAUUGAAGUUCGAAAGAACUCUUUAUCGUUCAUAGUCUCUUCUCUUUCUUGUCUUACGAUAUUCUUAUUCAACUUUCAUACUUUAAUCGAUUCACUAAGCCAGAUCGCUAUUCCUGACUUGAGAGUCCUAUUUUCUUUCACAUUUUCUUAUAAGUAAGGAAGCAAUCAAAGGGAAGCGCGUUACUAGGAGAUAAAGAUCGCAUUCCCAACAUAGGAAAAUCUUACCCGCCUAUCGACCCUUACAAGAGAGCUUCGCCUUUCCUGAUCCUGAUAUUGGGGAGUUUCCAGUAGAGCAGAAAGGCUUAGCUCAAAGACUUGAAAGAGCUUGUUAGAGGAAAUUGAUCAAAGUCAAGGGUCGACCAUGGGGGGGAGAGUGAUACAGAGAAGGCUACUGCUACUGCGACAGAUGGUUGACUAAUGCUCCUACCGUUACAGAUAGAAAUUUGGGUGAUUGCCUGCCCAUGCUAGAACCAUGCUACCUUCCUUUACCUUCCUAUAAGCUGGCUAACUAAGGCCUACGGACCGAUUACCGGUAUACGAAUAUUGUUGGGCAGGAGACAGAAGGCAGAAGACCUCUGGUCGGGAAGGGAACUAAGCAAGAGAGAGUUGACCGUUGACAGGGCAAGACAAGACUGGCAGCUCUAGAUGGAAUAAAAGUCGGGAACCUUAUUCGUGGACAGACCAAGCAAGGGAUACUUCAAUCGAUUGCAGAUGCGAGAGUUGCAAGAGAUUCCAGGAGGACAGGAAGAGAGUAAUGAAUUGGUAGACUCUGACUUUCGUGAAGACAGAUCUGUUGGUCAAGUGAAAUGUUUUUUCUUUCAUAGUUAGAAGUAUCUUAGAAACUAGUGCUCCACCUAAAGGCCUAGGCCUAGGGGUGGUAGUAGCUAACAGAAGUAUGCCUUCGGGCCCCUCUCUGUCUUGGUAAGAUAAGAAAAGACCGAUAACUGAAAUCGAUUCAUGAUGGCGACUCCUUCCUACUUCUUGUGCCUUAACUCUCGCUUAAGGAUAUGCAUGAAUAAAGGCGUGUUGUCUUUCCUUUUUGCUCUUGCACCUCCCCUUUAGCACAAGUACUAAGUAAGCAAGCUACCUCCUGCUGCACCAUUCCUGUUUGCUUUCUUGCUUCCAGAUUCACAAAAAAAAAAAAAAAAAAUCUUUCCAAUAAGGAAAGCGAUCUUGGACAGAGGACUUGAAUCCGUACCGUAUAGUAAAAAAAAGACAAGAAAGCACAUAACUGACCAUCUUUAAAGAUGAAGGCAUCGGUCUUUUCUGACGAGAAUGGGUUGUGAAUAGCAUAGCAUGGAUGAACCUAUCUUCAGGAAUGAAAGCUAUGUAGUACGAAUCACAUUCGAUUGGUAGAUUCCUCUGCCCUGAAUGAGGUUUUUUCCUUCCGGCUGAGAGGAAAAGUGCUCUUCACUUCAAGCCGCUUUCAAAAGAAACAGAGGUUCAUGAGCGUGAGGGCAUCGUGAGAGGAGUCAUAGGUAGACCUGAUUGAGAGUCUUGAACCCUGAUUUCUUCAUAAGAUAAAGGACCAAGAGAGUCUUUUCAGAUAUGGGAUUUGUCACGCUUUCUAGUAUGCAUUACCUGAAAGGAACUUGGUCUAACUGGGACAAUCUACCUUUGGGUGUGGAUCCGUAGAUUAACCAUUUCACCUUCGAGUUGCUCUCCAGACUCAAUGAGGUCUAUCAGAUGGGAUUGAAUCUCACUGAUAGUAGAAUUGAGGAGAGAAAGAGAAGUAGAACUCAAAGCAACAGAACUCGUCAACACGGACCUGAAAACGACAGAGUCUCAAGGUGUUCAGUCCAGGGGGGAGAGAAACUUGAACCCGGUAGAACUUCUCAUUCGCUAGUUCCCUCGUAGCUUCCUUCUCUUCAUUCUCCGGUCUUCAAGCCAAAGAAGCUUCACCGGGAGGUACUCGUAAUAGAGAUGCAUAGUAUUAAGAAGAUCAGAUCAUAGUCUAGGAUAAAGUAAAGACAAAGACUAAGUAAUAAAAAAAAAUACAAUAAAAAAAAGAGUGUCAACAAUAGGUAUUGUAUUUUGAUUUGUCCCCUUUGUCCCCUCGGAUCGGAGCGCACCAUGGGAUGCUUUGUGAACAGCCCCCUCUGCAGGUCCCGCUGCUGUUAUAUGAGCUACCCCUCUGUUCAAUACCGAUACCUGUCAGAUUCCAUAGCUGAAGAAUCUCUUGGGGAGGCCUUAUCCCCGAGAUUUGGGGGAGUCUUUGAGUCGGCGCUUCCAUAACAUAAAGCAGAGUAGAUAGCACACAUAAUGGUUUGCCAGGAGCAAAGCUCAGAGCUCAGCUAACGGAGUCAGGUCCGGCCCUUGACUUGAUAAUACUUAUUCACAUUGUCUUGCUGAUUGACUGAAGCGGGAAGAACUCCCUGAUGACCGACCAAGGGACUUAGCCGAACCGGGUCCUAUCCUUGUUGUUCGUCAACCUUGCCUUCUCAAUGUUCGGAUGAACAUGCAUUCUUUUCGAUCUUCUACUCAGAUAGACUUCACACUAAGCCAAUUUGUUUGAUUUUCACGAAUAAAGAAGGGGAUAAAGAACGACAUCUGUAAACUCGGAUAGAGCCUUGUGGCAUAGAACGCGGCUACUUUCUUUUCUUAUGAAAUUGAUAGUUGGAGGCAAAUGUGAAUGACUUUUUGUUUUUCGUAAAACAAUUGUUAUUAAUAAUUUGUAUAUUUAAAUAAUUAUUAAUAAUUUUUUAUUGAAAUAAUUAUUAAUAUUAAAUAAACUAAUUUAUUAUAUAUAAUUCAAAUUCUUAAUUGAAUUAUAAUUAAUAAUAUAUCUGUUAAAAAUAUAUUAUUAAUAUAUUUAAUAUUUUCUAUUAUAUAAGCAAAUUAUAAAUUAUAUAAGCAAUUAUAAUUUAUCUAGUAAUUAAAUUUUUAAUUAUAUAAGUAAAUAGUAAUGUAUAUUAAUAUAUAACAAUAAUAAAUAAAUUAUUAAUGUAUAAUAAUUUCAUUACUAAUAUUUAUUUAAAUUUAAUAAAUAAAUAACAAUUAUUAUUAAUUAAAUAGUCAUAUUUAAUUAAUAAUAUAAUUAAUAAUUGUUACUAUUUUAUAUAAAUUAUAAUUAGUUAUAAUAUUAUAAUACAUAUAAUAUAAUAGUAUAUAAUUAAGUAAUAUUAAUAAUAAUUAAUUAUAAGUACUAUAAUAAUUAGUAAAAAUCUUAAAUUGUUAUAUAUCAUUAUUGUUAAACUAAUUAUAUUAAUUAAACUAUUUAUAUAAUACAUUAUUUUAUAAUUAACAACUAUACUUAUUAAUUGUAUAACGAUUAAUAUAAUUAAUUUAAUAAACAAUUAGUUUUAAAUCUAAUCAUAUAAAAUAAUAUUAUAUUAUUAAACAAAAUUCAAAUUUAUUAACAAAUUAUUAAUUUAGUACGAUUUGAAAUAAAUAAAUGUUCAAAUUGUUAUAACUAAUUGAACUAGUAUGGUAAAUAGAUUUAUUUAUUAAAUCUCUUAUUAAUUUUUGAAAUAUUAAUAAAUUAAUAUUAUUUUAUUUCGAACAAACUUAUAUGAACAAAAACAUUUUUUUUACGACAAAACAAAAUGUCAUAACAAUUUGAAAUAGAUAAUUAUUCAUAUAACCUUAACUAUUUGAAUUGGUUCAGUAAACAAAUUUAUUUUUUAAAUCUAUCAGUUAUUAAAUUUCAUAAUAUUACUAGAUUAGUAUUAUUUUAUUUCAAAUAAGCUUGAAUGAAGAUAAAUAAUUGUAUUAUGACAAAACAAAAGAUCAAUUGGAAAUAUAUAAUUGUUCAAAUAGUCAUAACUAUUUGAACUGAUUCAAUAAACAGAUUUAUUUUUUAAAUCUUCUACUUAUUAAUUUUUCAAAUAUUAAUAAAUUAGUAUUAUUUUAUUAUGAAUAUUCUUGUAUGAUGAAAAACAAUUGUUUUACAACAAAACAAAAGUUCAUAAUGAUUUGAAAUAGAUAAUUAUUUAAAUGGAAUUAUUAUCUUAUAUAUACUUAAUUAAUCUAAUAAAUUAAUAGUGAAUAAUUUAUUAUAUAAAUUUAUAAAUCUCUUACUUGUUUAGUAUUAAUUAUAAGUAAGUUUUGAAUAUAUUGAAGAUAUAUUCAUUAUAUAAACAUAUUUAUUAUUAAUAUGACUAAAUAAAGGAAUUAUUAAUAAUUUAUUAAAUAAAUUUAUGAAAAAACAAAUAUUAUUAAUUUAUUAUAUUUAAUAUAAAAAAUAUAUUAUUUAUUCAAAUAAUAUAUUUAAUUAUUAUUAUAUAUAAUAAUUAUAAUCAUUAAUUUUAUUAAUUAUAAGUAAUACUAUUUUAUAAUAAUAUUAUUUGAAUGAUAUCUUAUACAUUAUAUUUAAUAAUAUAAAUAGUUAAUAAUUAAUUAUAUUAAUAAUAAUAAUUAUCUAUUUUAAUUAUCAAUAAUUUAUCAUAAAAGAUCAAAUAUACAUUUUAAAAUAUUUAUGAUUAUUUUUAAUAAUUAUUUAACAAAAUUCAUAAAUUAUAUUAUUAUUUCAUAGCUUAUUUAUUAAUAAAUAUCAAUAAUUAAAUAAUAAAAAUUAAAUAUUUUAAUUUAAAAUUUUUAAUUUUUAAUUUUUAACAUUCAAAAAAUUAAUAAACAAAAGUUAUGAAAAAAUAAAUCUGUUUACCAAUCAAAUUCAAAUAGUUAUGAUUAUUUGAACAAUUAUUUAUUUAAAAUCAUUAUUACCUUUUGUUUUGCCAAAAAACAAUUGUUUUAGUUCAUAAAAGCUUAUCGAAAAUAAAAUAAUACUAAUUUCUUAAUAUUUCAAAAAUUAAUAAGCAAGAGUUUAAAAAAAUUAAUUUGUUUACUGAACAAAUUCAAAUAGUUAUAACGAUUUGAACAAUUAUCUAUUUAAAAUCAUUAUGACCUUUUGUUUUGUCAUAAAACUAUUGUUUCAGUUCAUAUAAACUUAUUCGAAAUAAAAUAAUAGUAAUUUAUUAAUAUGUCAAAAACUAAUAAGUGAUUUAAAAAAUGAUUAUGUUUGCCAAAUUAGUUCAAAUAAUUAUGGUUUUUUCAACAAUUAUCUAUUUGAAAUCAAUAUUACCUUUUGUUUGGUCAUAUAACAAUUGUUUUUUAUCAUACAAGCUUCAGAAUAAAAUAAUACUAAUUUAUUAAUAUUUCAAAAGUUAAUAAGUAAGAAAUUUUAAAAAUAAACUUUUUUUGUUCUGUCAUAAAACAAUUAUUCAUGUUCAUACAAGCUUAUUCUAAAUAUAAUAAUACUCUGAAAAUUAAUAACUAAGAGAUUUAAAAAAUAAAUUUGUUUAUUGAACCAAUUUAAAUAGUUAAGAUUAUAUGAAUAAUUAUCUAUUUUAAAUCGUUAUGACCUUUUGUUUUGUCAUAAAAUAAUUUUUUCAAUUCAUACUAGUUGAUUCAAAAUAAAAUAAAAUGAAUUUAUUAAUAUUUCAAAAAUUAAUAAGAGAUUUAACAAAUAAUUAUGUUUAACUAACCAGUUCAAAUAAUUAUGAUUAUUUGAACAAUUAUUUAUUUCAAAUAAUUAUGACAUUUUGUUUUGUCAUAAAACAAAUGUUUUUAUCCAUAUAAGUUUGUUCGGAAUAAAUUAAUACUACUCUAUUAAUAUUUUAAAAAUUAAUAAUAGAUCUAAAAAAUAAAUCUUUUUAGAUAUCUAUUAAUUAAUAAAAAUCAAUAUUAAGAUAAUUAAUAAUAAAUUAUAAGUAUUUAUAAUAAUAAUUUAAUUAAAUAUUUAUAUUUUAAUUAAUUCAAAUAAUAUUAUAUUUUUAUAAAUUAAAUUUAAUAUUAUAAGUCCAAUUUUAAUUAUUUUAUUAUAAAUAUAUAAUAUAACCACUAUGGAUAUAAUUAUUAUAAUUAUUUGAACUGAUUUGAUAAACAAUUUAUGUUUUAAAUCUCUAACUUAUCAAUUUUUAUAAUAUUAAUAAAGUAAUAUUAUUUUUUUAGAUAAGCUUUUAUGAACUAAAAUAAUUGUUUUAUGAUAAAAUAUAAAGUCACAAUGAUUUUAAACAGAUAAUUGUUCAAAUAGUCAAAAAUAUUUGAACUUGUUUGGUAAAUAGAUUUUUUUUUCUAAUUUCUUACUUAAUAAUUUUCUAAAUGUUAAUAAAUUAGUAUUAUUUUAUUUUGAAUAAGCAUGUAUGAGUUGAAGCAAUUAUUUUAUGACUAAACAAAAGGUCAAAAUGAUUUGAAAUAGAUAAUUAUUCUAAUAGUCUUAACUAUUUGAACUGAUUUAGUAAACACAUUUAUUUUUUAAAUCUUUACUUAUUAAUUUUAGAAUAUUAUUAAUUUAGCAAUAUUUUACUCUAAAUAAGCUUGUUGAACAAAAAUUAAAUGUUUUAGGACAAAACAAAAAUCAUAACAAUUGGAGAUAGAUAAUUGUUCAAAUAGUCAUAACUAUUUGAACUGAUUCGGUAAAAAGAUUUAGUUUUUAAAUCUCUUAUUAAUUUUCAAAAUAGUAAUAAAAUAAUAUUAUUUUAUUAUUAUUAGUUAUUUAGAAGUUAUUCAUAAUACUUGGACUCAUACUCUGUGAAUUUCUUGUUUAGGUAAUAAAUAACUUUCUCUUUCUUGUCGGAUUCAUCUUAUAAUUUAAAUAAAUUUGUAUUUCUAAUAUAAUAUUUAUUUAAUUAUAUAAUUAUAUAAUAUAAUUAAUAAAUACUAAGUAUAUUUUUCAAUAUAUAAUAAAUUAGAUUAAUUAUAUAUAAUAUUAUAAUAAAAUUAAUAUAGUUUUGUUAAUAAUUAUUGUUAAUAUUUAUUUAAUUAUUAUUUCAAAUAAUUUAAAUAUAGUUUCUGUUAAUAUUUGAUAUAUAUUAUUAAAUUAAUAUAAUUAAUAUUAUCAAAUAAUAAUAUUAUUUAUUAAAAUUAUUAAUAUUUAAAUUAAUAAUAUAAUUUAUUUAUAUUACUAGAUUUAUUGUUGGAUUAUACAAUUAAAUUACUAUAUCAUAUAAAUAUAUUAGCAACAAAUAAAAUAUAAUUAAUAUUAAUAAACUAAUAAAAUAUUAUUUUAUAAAGUAGUACUAUCGAUUAGUACUUCUUAAAUAGUUUAUUGUUAUCGAAAUUACAGAACUAGUUAAGCUAAUAAUGUGAAAUAUUUAUGUUAAUAGAUAUAAUAAUAUAUUAGUAUUAAUAAUUAAUAAUUAUUUAAAAAUUUAAUAUAUUUAAUAUUAAUAUAAUUAAUAUUAUAUUUUUUAAGAUAAUAAUUUUAAAUAAUCAAUUAAAUAUCUUAUAUUUAAUUAUUAAUAACCUUUAAUUAUAAUUAAUUUACUUAAAGUAUUAUUUAAUUAUUAAAUAUAAUUAAUUUAAUUUAAUUUAAUAUUCUAUUAAAUAUUUAACAAUAAAAUUUUCUUAUUAUUAUUAUGCUAUUAAUUAAUUAUCUUAAUUAAUAAUAUUAUAUUGUUAUAUUAUAUUUUUUAUAAUAAAUAAUUAUAAUUAGUAAAUAACUAUAUAAAAAUUAUUUUAUAUAUAAUAGUAUAAUAACUUGAUAAUAUUAUAACUAUUAUAAUAUUAUUAUUUGAUAAUAUUAACUAUAAUAGUUGUAUUUAUUAAUAACUAAUAAUUAUUAUAAAUAUCUUAUAAAUUUUUAGUAAGUAUUAUUAAUAAUUUAUAAUAUUUGAUUUAUAGUAUAAUAUAAUAUUAUAUAAUUUAUAGUUUAAUAUAAAUUAUAAGUAACAAUUUAUAGUAUGACUAGAAUAAUAUAAUAUAUUAUGAUAAUAAUUAAUUAUUAUUAAUUAAUAUUUUAUAUUUAAUUUAUAAUUUAUAUUAUAAAUUAUUAAAUAUAAUAUAAUAUAAUAUGAUUUAUUAAUAAUAUAAUUAAAAUAUUUAAUUAAUAAUUUAUAAUUAUAAUUAGUUUUAUGAAUAACUUUUUAGUUGAUAUUACUAGUUAUACAUAUAUUACAAAAUAUUAUAAUAAACAAUUAGAAUACUAUAGUUAUAAUAAUUAUUUUAUAAACUAUAAAUAACUAUUAAUUAUUGUUAUAAUUAAAAAUAAAUAAGAACUUAUUAUAGUAUUAUACUAAUUUAUAUAUUUAUUAUAAUUAUUAAAUAAUUAUAAUAAUUAUAAUUAUAUUAAGAUAUUAAUAGUUAAGGUUAUAAUAUUAAAUUUAUAAGUUUAUACUUAUAAUAUAACUAAUAUUAAUAGUUAUAAUAUAAAAAUGACUAUAAUAAUAAUUAAUAUUUGAAUAAUUUAUAAAUUAUAUUAUAAUUAUAUAAUAUUAUAAUAGUUUAUUAUAAUAGCUUAUUUUGAAUAAAAUAAUACUAUUAAUACUUAUUAAUAUAUAAUAUAUUGAAUAAUAAUAUUAUUUAUUAUUUAUAGUUUAAAUUAAUAUAAAUUAACUAUAUUAUUAAUUAGUUUAAAUAUAAUUGUAUUAUUUUAUAAUUUAUAAAUUAUAUAAUAUAUUAUAUAUUAUAUAAGUUAAUAAUAUUUAAAUAUUAUUAUAUGUUAAAAUUAAUAAUAACUAAUAUUAUUAAUAAAAUAGAUUAUUAAUUUAAUCUUAUAAUAAUAUAUAUAUUAUUAAUAUAAUUUAUAAGUUAUUAUUAAAUUUAGUAAAGUAUUUAUAUAUUUGACUAUAUAUUAUAAAUAAUAAUAUUAGAUUUAUUUAAAAAUAUUAAUUUAAAACAAAUUUAAAUUAACAUAGUAACAAUAUCUAUAAAUUAUACUAAUUUAAAAAUGCUUAUAAAUUAAAUAAUAAAUAUUAUGUAAUAAUAUGAUAUAUAGUUCUUAGGAAUUUCUUACUUCUGCUUCAAAGUAAGGUACAUAACAUUAUUUGUAUUUUCAUGCAUAGAAUUUAAUCUAUAUUAUGAAAUUCAUUGCUCUUUUGAAUGAUAUAAAAAUAUCAACUAUUUCCUAUAAUUGACAUGUUAAUUGUAUUAUAACAAUGAAUAUUAUAACAUUUUCAUAUUUUAUUACUGACACAACAAAAAGAAAUAGCUUCAUUAAUUCAAUGAAGCAUCCUAAGACACUAGCAACUUUUAUAUUAGCUGCAUUAAGCAAAAUAUGAUUAUUAUUUUUCAUAGUUGGUGUUAUAAAUAGAUAGUCAUAAUUAUUUCAACUUGAUCAAUAAGAAAAUUCAUUUUUUUAAUUCUAUUACUCUUUAAUUUUUGGAAUAUUAUUUUAAAAUAUUAAUAAUAUUAAAUUUAUAUAUAUGAUUAAUUAUUAUUUAAAUUAUAUUUGAAUUAAUAUACUAUUAAUAUUACUACUUAAUAUUAAGUCUUGAUAAUAUAUUGAAUUAUAUAUUAUUAUUAAUUAUACUAUUGUUCGAAUAGUAUAUUAUAAAUUACAAAUUAUAAAUAAUAUCAAUUUAUUAAUAUUAGAAAUUAUUCAAAUAUAAUCAUAAAUUAUAAUAAUAUAAUAAUAUUAUUACUAUAAUAUGAGAUUAUAUAAUUUAUUAUUAUAUAUAACUUAAUAAAUAUAAUGAUAUUAAUAAUUAACAAUUAUUUUAUAAAAUUAAUUAUAAUUAAUAUUUGAUAUAGUUUAUAAACUAUUUUAAAAUAAAUUGUAUAACAAUUAAUUAAUUUAUUGUAUAAUAAUAUAAUAAUUAACAAUUGUAUAGUUAAUACAAUAAUAAUAAAUUAAUAAAAAAAUAUAUAAUUUUUAUUAUAAUUAAAUUUAUAACUUAUAUAUAAUAAUCUGUUAAUAUAAUUAUAACUUAUUAAUUAUUAACAUAAUAUAAACCAAUUUUGUUUUAAUAACAUAAAAUAAUAAUUAAAGAUAAUUAAUUCAAAUUUAUAGUUAUAAUUAUCGAUUAUAACUAAUCUAAUAAUUUAUAAACUAUUCAAAUAAUGUAUAUUUUAGUAUAACUAGUAGUAUUAACUAAUAAGUUAUUCAUAAAACUAAUUAUAAUUAUAACUAAUUAUUAAUUAAAUAUUUUAAUUAUAUUAUUAAUAAAUCAUAAUAUAUUAUAUUAUAUUUAAUAAUUUAUAAUAUAAAUUAUAAAUAAAUUAUAAAUUAUUAAUUAAUAAUAAUUAAUUAUUAUCAUAAUAUAUUAUAUUAUUCUAGUCAUACUAUAAAUUGUUACUUAUAAUUUAUAUUAUACUAUAAAUCAAAUAUUAUAAAUUAUUAAUAAUAUUUACUAAAAAUUUAUAAGAUAUUUGUAAUAAUUAUUAGUUAUUAAUAAAUAGAACUAUUAUAGUUAAUAUUAUUAGAUAAUAAUAAAAAAUUAUUUUAUUUUUUAAUAAUAAUUGUAUAUUUGUAUUAUUAAAUAUUAUAUAAAUAUUAGUAAUAAUUGUUAUUAAAUUAAAUAAGUAUUUAAUUAUAUAAAUAUAAUUAUUAAUUUAAUUAAUUAAUAAUUAAUUAAUUAUAUAAGAUAAAUUUUAAUUAUAUAAAUAUUAAUAAUUAGCUAUAAGUUAUUAGUAUAUUAUUUAUAAUAACAAAAUAAUAUUUUAAAUUUAUCUUAUCUUUGCAGAUAAUAACUAAUUACUACUUUAGUUAAUAUAACUAAAUUAUUAAUUAUUAUAUAAUUGUGUUUAUUAAAUAACCUUUUAUAUAAGUUUCAAAUUAAUAAUUUUAUAAAUAUAAUAUUAAUUUUAAAAUAGAUUUUAAUAAUUAAUUAUAAAUAAAUAAUAUUGCAAAAAUUAAAGAGUAACAGAAUUAAAAAAAAUGAAUUUUCUUAUCGAUCAAGUUGAAAUAGUUAUGACUAUCUAAACAAUUAUUUAUUUCAAAACAUUAUGACAUUUUGUUUUGUUAUAAGACAAUUGGUUCUGUUCAUGCAAGCAUAAGUUGAAUAAAAUAAUAUAAAUUUAUUAAUAUUCCAAAAAUUAAUAAGUAUAAUUUUAGAAAAUAAAGCUAUUUUCUGAACACAUUAAAAUAGUUAUGAUUAUUUGAACAAUUAUCUAUUUCAAAUCAUUAUGACCAUUCAUUUUGCCAUAAACCAAUUGUUUUUGUUCAAACAAGUUUAUUUGGAAUAAAAUAAUUCCAAUUAAUUAAUAUUCCAAAAUUAAUAAGUAAAAGAUUUAAAAAAUAAAUUUGUUUAUCGAGUGAGUUCAAAUAGUUUUGAUUGUUUGAACAAUUAUUUAUUUCAAAUUAUUAUGAUCUUUUGUUUUGUUAUAAAACAAUUAUUUCUAUUCAUACAAGUUUAUUUUGAAUAAAAUAAUACUAAUAUAUUAACAUUUUAAAAAUUAAUUAGUUUACCAAACCAGUUCAAAUAGUCAUGUCCAUUUGAACUAUUAUCUAUUUCAAAUUGUUAUGACAUUUUAUUUUGUCAUAAAACAAUUGGUUCUAUUCAUGCAAGCAUAUUUUAAAUAAAAUAAUAUAAUUUAUUAAUAUUCCAAAAAUUAAUAAGUAAAAUUUUAGAAAAUAAAGCUAUUUUGUUAAAUUAAUAAUUUAUAUUAAUAUACAAAUUAGUACGAGGAAACUAAUCGUAUUUUUUUAUAAUGUUUAUUUAUAAAUAUUUUAUUGUAGUUUUUUCCCUUUUUUAUAUUCAAUAUAUUCAAAUAGUUAUAAUUAUUUGAAUUGGUUCAACUAAUAAUUAAAUAAUUGUUAUUUAUAAUAUAUAAUUUAGUAAUAAUUAUAAACUUAGAUUUAGUAAAUUAAUUAUAUUUAAUUAUAUUAUAAUUAUAUGAAAUUAUAAUUAUUAAAUAUUAAUAAAUUAGUUAAUUAAUCUAUUAAUUGUUAAAUUUAGUUCUAUAAUAUUUGAGAUUAAGAAUUAAAACUUGUUAAUUAUGAAUAUUAUAUAAGUCUAAUUAAUAAUAAAUAUGUUUAUUAGUUUAAAACUAAUUAUAUAGUUAGUUUUAAAUAUAAUAUAUUUUAAUUAUAAUUAAAAUAAUAUAUAUUAUUACUAUAAUUGUUUUAAUUCUAUAAUACUAUAUUUAAUAUAUUAAUUACUUAAUUAAUUAGUUUUUAAUUUGUAACAGAAGGCCACUAGUUCUAAUCCAAUAAUUGUUAGUAUUGGAUUAAUAAUAUAAAUUGUAUGUUAAUUUUCAAAUAUUAUAGUUAAUUGACUUAUAACAAUAUAUUUAUAAUAUUAUAAAAAUAAAUAUUAUUAGUAUAAAUUUAACAUAAUAAUACUUUAGUUAUUUAUAUAUUAUAUAAUAACAUAAUAUAUUAUAAUAUAAUAACUAGAACUUAUUAUAUUAUAAUUUAAUACUAUAUUUAAUUAUAUAUAAUAAUUAUCAUAUAAUAUAAAUAAUAUUAUAAAUAGUUAAGAUAUUUAUUUAUUAAUAUCUUAUUAAUUAAAAUAAGAUAUUUUAUAUAUAAUAAAAUUUAGUUAUUUAUAUUAUGCUUAUAUUCAAUGAUUAAUAUAUUAUAUAAUGUACAUUAUUUAUAUAUAAUAAUCUUUAUUAUCAAUAAUAAAUAUUUUAAUAAGAUUAAAAUAUUAAUAUGAUAUAAUUAAUAGUUUAUUAAAUAAUUAUAAAGACUUGAAAUAAUAAUUAAUUUAUAAUUGAUAUUAUUUAUAUUAUAUAUUUAAAUUUAUAAAUAUUUAACAAAUAAUAUUUGUUAAGUAUAAUUAAUUUUAACUGAUUUAUUUUUAAAUCUCUUAUUAAUUUUGGAAAUAUUGAUAAAAUAGUAUUAUUUUAUUUUGCAUAAGCUUUUAUAUUGAAAUAUUCUUAUUAUUAAAUAAUAAUUAAUAAGUUUACAUAUAUUAAAAGGAAUUAAUAUAUAUUUAAUUGUUUACUAUAAUAUUAAAAUUAUAAUUAGAAUAAUUAUCUAUUUCAAAUUGUUCUUUUGUUUUGUGAUAAAACAAUUAUUUCUAUUCAUACAAGUUUAUUCAAAAUAAAAUAAUACUAAUUUAUUAAUAUUCUAAAAAUUAAUAGGUGGGAGAUUUAAAAAAUAAAUCUAUUUACCAAAUUAAUUAAAUUAAAUAUUUAUAUUAAUAUUUAAAUAUUAAUAUAAAUUAAUAUUAAUAUUUUAAUUUAAAUUAAUUUAUAAUAAAUUAUAUAUUUAUUUAAUAUAUUAUACAAAUUAAGUUAACAGAUAACUAUUUGAAUUAUAUUAAUAAAUAUAUAAAUUAAUAUAAUUAUAACCUUAAUAUAGAGAUUAUAAUAUUAAUAAUUUAUUAUCUAAUAAAUUAUUAUUAGUUAUCAAUUAAAUAUCAUAAUUAAAGAAUUAAGAUAAUUAAUUAAUAGCAUAAUAAUAAUAAGAAAAUUUUAUUAUUAAAUAUUUAAUAGAAUACUUAAUUUAAUUUAAUUAAUUAUAUUUAAUAAUUUGUCAUAAAACAAUUGUUUCUGUUCAUAUAGAAUUAUUCAAAAUAAAAUAAUUUGAUUUAUUAAUAUUUUAAAAAUUAAUAAGAGAUUUUAAAACUAAAUCUAUUUACUAAACCAGUUCAAAUAGUUAUGACUAUUUGAACAAUUAUCUAUCUCAAAUCAUAAUGAUCUUUAUUUUGUCAUACAACAAUUGUUUCCUUUCAUACAAGCUUAUUCGAAUUAAAAUGAUACUAAUUUAAUAAUAUUUCAAAAAUUAAUAAGAGAUUUAAAAAACAAAUAUGUUAGCCGAACUAGUUCAAAUAGUUAAGACAAUCAAAAUAAUUAUCUAUUUCAAAUCAUUCUAUCCUUUUGUUUAGUCAUAAAACAAUUAUUUCAGUUCAUACAAGCUUAUUUGGAAUAAAAUUAGUAUUUUAAACUUAAUUUAACCGUUAAUGAAAUAUAGAUAAUUAUAUUAGUUAAUUCAUUCAUACUGACAUAAUAGUUUUAUGAAUAAUAAUCAUAUAUAAUCUAUUAAAUAAUAAUUAAAUAAUUUAUUAAAUUUAAUAGCUUAUAAAUUAAUAAUAUAUUAUUUAUUAAUUUAACAUAAAAUUAAAAUUUUUUAAUUUAAUUGUAAUUAUAAAUAUAUUAUAUGAAAUAGUUAUUAUUAUAAUGAUUACAAUAUAUUUUAUUGUUAUCAGAUAAAUUUAUAAAAUAUUAUUAAAUAUUCAAAAUAUUAGUCACAUUUAAAUUAAUUAAAGGGUGUUAUUAUAAUAUAUAAUAUAUAAUUAAUUAAUAUUUUAAUUAUUGACUAAUAUUAUAGGAUAAAUAUUACAAAUAUUUAUUAACAUUAUUAUUAAUAUUAAUAUUUAUUUAACAAACAAUAAUAUUAGUCAUAAUGAUAAACAAUUGUUUAUUAUAUUAAUAUUAAUAUCUAUUGAAUAAUAUAUAUUAUUUAUAUAUAUAGAUAUUUAACUUAUAAAAUUAUUAUUACAAAUUUAUUUUAAAAUUAUUUAAAUAAUAAAAUAAUUAUAUUAAUAAGCAAUUGUUAAAAUUUAUAUUAAUUAAUUAUAAUAUAUCAUUGAAUUAAUGAAGUUAAAUAUUAAUUAUUAAGUAAAUAUGAUUUGUCAUGUAAAUAAUAUUUAUAUAAUAUAUAAAGUUAAAGUAUAUAUAUACAUAAUUUAUCAUAAUAUGAAACAAUAUUAUAUUAAUAAAUACGAUAUUAUUGUAUUUAAUUAAUAUAAUUUUUUAUGGCAAAACAAUUAAUUUAAUUAUAUUUAGUUUUAAUUAUUCACACAUUUAAUUUAUUUAUUAAAUAUAAUUAACUAAGGUGUAUAAUUAAUUUAAAAAUUAAUUAUUAAUAUAACAUUUAAUUAUCUAAUAAUAUUAUUAACAUAAUUAUAUUAUAAUUAUAAAGUAAUUAUAAUUAUAAUUACUACAAAUAUUUAAUAAUUAAAGUAUUAUAUUAAGUAUACUAUAAUUAUUAUAAGUAAUUCUAUUAUUGAUGAACCUGUUUAAUCUAAAUUGCUUAUUCGAAAUAAUUAUCAUUUUAAUUAUAUUAAAUUUAUUUAAUAAAUUAUUAAUAAUUCUUUUAUUUAGUCAUAUUAAUAAUAAAUAUGUUUAUAUAAUGAAUAUAUCUUUAAUAUAUUCAAAACUUAAUUAUAAUUAAUACUAAAUAAGUAAGAGAUUUAUAAAUUUAUACAAUAAAUUAUUAACUAUUAAUUUAUUUAUAAUAUAAUUAAUAUAUUUUAUAAGAUUAAUUAAGUAUAUUAGUAUUUAUAUAAUAACUAAUACUUAUAAUUUACAAAUUUUAUAUAUAAAUUUAAUAUAAUUAAUAGUUAAUUAAUUAUAAAAUUAAUUAUAUUAUAUUAAUGUUAUAAACUAAUUAUUUAUAUAUUAUUAUUAAACUAAUAUCUAAUUAACUAUUAAUAAUAUUAUUAAUAUUAAUAUGUGAAUUAAAUUAAUAUAAUUAUUAAUAAUCAAAUAAUUUAUUUAGUAAUAUAUCAUAUUAUAAUUUAAUUAUUAAAUAACUAAUAUUUAAAUAUGACAAAUAGUUUAUUAUUUUUAUUUUAACNNNNNNNNNNNNNNNNNNNNNNNNNNNNNNNNNNNNNNNNNNNNNNNNNNNNNNNNNNNNNNNNNNNNNNNNNNNNNNNNNNNNNNNNNNNNNNNNNNNNNNNNNNNNNNNNNNNNNNNNNNNNNNNNNNNNNNNNNNNNNNNNNNNNNNNNNNNNNNNNNNNNNNNNNNNNNNNNNNNNNNNNNNNNNNNNNNNNNNNNNNNNNNNNNNNNNNNNNNNNNNNNNNNNNNNNNNNNNNNNNNNNNNNNNNNNNNNNNNNNNNNNNNNNNNNNNNNNNNNNNNNNNNNNNNNNNNNNNNNNNNNNNNNNNNNNNNNNNNNNNNNNNNNNNNNNNNNNNNNNNNNNNNNNNNNNNNNNNNNNNNNNNNNNNNNNNNNNNNNNNNNNNNNNNNNNNNNNNNNNNNNNNNNNNNNNNNNNNNNNNNNNNNNNNNNNNNNNNNNNNNNNNNNNNNNNNNNNNNNNNNNNNNNNNNNNNNNNNNNNNNNNNNNNNNNNNNNNNNNNNNNNNNNNNNNNNNNNNNNNNNNNNNNNNNNNNNNNNNNNNNNNNNNNNNNNNNNNNNNNNNNNNNNNNNNNNNNNNNNNNNNNNNNNNNNNNNNNNNNNNNNNNNNNNNNNNNNNNNNNNNNNNNNNNNNNNNNNNNNNNNNNNNNNNNNNNNNNNNNNNNNNNNNNNNNNNNNNNNNNNNNNNNNNNNNNNNNNNNNNNNNNNNNNNNNNNNNNNNNNNNNNNNNNNNNNNNNNNNNNNNNNNNNNNNNNNNNNNNNNNNNNNNNNNNNNNNNNNNNNNNNNNNNNNNNNNNNNNNNNNNNNNNNNNNNNNNNNNNNNNNNNNNNNNNNNNNNNNNNNNNNNNNNNNNNNNNNNNNNNNNNNNNNNNNNNNNNNNNNNNNNNNNNNNNNNNNNNNNNNNNNNNNNNNNNNNNNNNNNNNNNNNNNNNNNNNNNNNNNNNNNNNNNNNNNNNNNNNNNNNNNNNNNNNNNNNNNNNNNNNNNNNNNNNNNNNNNNNNNNAAUAAGCUAUUAUAAUAAACUAUUAUAAUAUUAUAUAAUUAUAAUAUUAAUUUAUAAAUUAUUCAAAUAUUAAUUAUUAUAGUCAUUUUUAUAUUAUAACUAUUAAUAUUAGUUUAUAUAAGUAUAAACUUAUAAAUUUAAUAUAUAACCUUAACUAUUAAUAUCUUAAUAUAAUUAUAAUUAUUUAAUAAUUAUAAUAAAUAUAUAAAUUAGUAUAAUACUAUAAUAAGAUCUUAUUUAUUUUUAAUUAUAACAAUAAUUAAUAGUUAUUUAUAGUUUAUAAAAUAAUUAUUAUAACUAUAGUAUUCUAAUUGUUUAUUAUAAUAUUUUGUAAUAUAUGUAUAACUAGUAAUAUCAACUAAAAAGUUAUUCAUAAAACUAAUUAUAAUUAUAAAUAAUUAUUAAGUAAAUAUUUUAAUUAUAUUAUUAAUAAAUCAUAUUAUAUUAUAUUAUAUUAUAUUUAAUAAUUUAUAAUAUAAAUUAUAAAUUAAAUAUAAAAUAUUAAUUAAUAAUAAUUAAUUAUAUCAUAAUAUAUUAUAUUAUUCUAGUCAUACUAUAAAUUGUUACUUAUAAUUUAUAUUAAACUAUAAAUUAUAUAAUAUUAUAUUAUGCUAUAAAUCAAAUAUUAUAAAUUAUUAAUAAUACUUACUAAAAAUUUAUAAGAUAUUUAUAAUAAUUAUUAGUUAUUAAUAAAUACAACUAUUAUAGUUAAUAUUAUCAAAUAAUAAUAUUAUAAUAGUUAUAAUAUUAUCAAGUUAUUAUACUAUUAUAUAUAAAAUAAUUUUUAUAUAGUUAUUUGUUAAUUAUAAUUAUUUAUUAUAAAAAAUAUAAUGUAAAAAUAUAAUAUUAUUAAUUAAGAUAAUUAAUUAAUAGCAUAAUAAUAAUAAGAAAAUUUUAUUAUUAAAUAUUUAAUAGAAUAUUAAAUUAAAUUAAAUUAAUUAUAUUUAAUAAUUAAAUAAUACUUUAAGUAAAUUAAUUAUAAUUAAAGGUUAUUAAUAAUUAAAUAUAAGAUAUUUAAUUGAUUAUUUAAAAUUAUUAUAUUAAAAAAUAUAAUAUUAAUUAUAUUAAUAUUAAAUAUAUUAAAUUUUUAAAUAAUUAUUAAUUAUUAAUACUAAUAUAUUAUUAUAUCUAUUAAUAUAAAUAUCUCACAUUAUUAGCUUAACUAGUUUUGUAAUUUCGAUAACAAUAAACUAUUUAAGAAGUACUAAUCGAUAGUACUACUUUAUAAAAUAAUAUUUUAUUAAUUUAUUAAUAUUAAUUAUAUUUUAUUUGUUGCUAAUAUAUUUAUAUUAUAUAGUAAUUUAAUUGUAUAAUCCAACAAUAAAUCUAGUAAUAUAAAUAAAUUAUAUUAUUAAUUUAAAUAUUAAUAAUUUUAAUAAUUAAUAUUAUUAUUUGAUAAUAUUAAUUAUAUUAAUUUAAUAAUAUAUAUAAAAUAUUAAUAGAAACUAUAUUUAAAUUAUUUGAAAUAAUAAUUAAAUAAAUAUUAACAAUAAUUAUUAACAAAACUAUAUUAAUUUUAUUAUAAUAUUAUAUAUAAUUAAUCUAAUUUAUUAUAUAUUGAAAAAUAUACUUAGUAUUUAUUAAUUAUAUUAUAUAAUUAUAUAAUUAAAUUAAAUAUAUAUUAGAAAUAACAAAUUUAGUUUAAAUAACAAGAUUGAAUCCUGACAGAAAGAGAAAGUUAUUUAUUACCUAAGCCAAGAAAUUCAUAGAGUAUGCAGUCCAAGUAUUAUAAAUAACUUCUAAAUAACUAAUAGUAAUAAAUAAUACUGAUUUUAUUACUAUUUUGAAAAUUAUAAGAGAUUUAAAAACUAAAUCUUUUUUACCAAACCAGUUCAAAUAGUUAUGGACUAUUUUGAACAAUUAUCUAUCUCCAAUUGUUAUGAUUUUUGUUUUGUCCUAAAACAUUUAAUUUUUGUUCAACAAGCUAUUUAGAGUAAAAUAUUGCUAAUUAAUAAUAUUCUAAAAUUAAUAAGUAAAGAUUUUAAAAAUAAAUGUGUUUACGAAUCAGUUCAAAUAGUUAAGACUAUUAGAAUAAUUAUCUAUUUCAAAUCAUUUUAACCUUUUGUUUAGUCAUAAAAUAAUUGCUUCAACUCAUACAUGCUUAUUCAAAAUAAAAUAAUACUAAUUUAUUAACAUUUAGAAAAUUAUUAAGUAAGAAAUUAGAAAAAAAAUCUAUUUACCAAACAAGUUCAAAUAUUUUUGACUAUUUGAACAAUUAUCUUUUUAAAAUCAUUGUGACUUUAUAUUUUAUCAUAAAACAAUUAUUUCAAUUCAUAAAAGCUUAUCUAAAAUAAAAUAAUAUUUACUUUAUUAAUAUUAUAAAAAUUGAUAAGUUAGAGAUUUAAAACAUAAAUUUGUUUAUCAAAUCAGUUCAAAUAAUUAUAAUAAUUAUAUCCAUAGUGAUUAUAUUAUAUAUUUAUAAUAAAAUAAUUAAAAUUGGACUUAUAAUAUUAAAUUUAAUUUAUAACAAAUAUUAAUAUUAUUUGAAUUAAUUAAAAUAUAAAUAUUUAAUUAAAUUAUAUAUAAAUACUUAUAAUUUAUUAUUAAUUAUCUUAAUAUUGAUUUUUAUUAAUUAAUAGAUAUCUAAAAAGAUUUAUUUUUUAGAUCUAUUAUUAAUUUUUAAAAUAUUAAUAGAGUAGCAUUAAUUUAUUCCGAACAAACUUAUAUGGAUAAAAACAUUUGUUUUAUGACAAAACAAAAGGUCAUAAUUAUUUGAAAUAAAUAAUUGUUCAAAUAAUCAUAAUUAUUUGAACUGGUUAGUUAAACAUAAUUAUUUGUUAAAUCUCUUAUUAAUUUUUGAAAUAUUAAUAAAUUCAUUUUAUUUUAUUUUGAAUCAGCUAGUAUGAAUUGAAAAACUUGUUUUAUGACAAAACAAAAGGUCAUAAUGAUUUAAAAUAGAUAAUUAUUCAUAUAGUCUUAAACUAUUUAAACUAGUUCAAUAAACAAAUUUAUUUUUUUAAAUCUCUUAGUUAUUAAUUUUCAGAGUAUUAUUAUAUUUAGAAUAAGCUUGUAUGAACAUGUAUAAUUGUUUAUGACAGAACAAAAAAUGUUUAUUUUUAAAAUUUCUUACUUAUUUAACUUUUGAAAGAUUAAUUAAAUUAGAUUAAUUUUAUUCUUGAAGCUUGUAUGAUUAAAAAACAAUUGUUAUAUGACCAAACAAAAGGUAAUAUUGAUUUCAAAUAGGAUAAUUAUUGAAAAAACCAUUAAUUAUUUGAACUAAUUGGCAAGCAGGGAAUCAUUUUUUAAAUCACUUAAUUAAUUUUUGACAAUUAAUAAAUUAUAUUAUUUUUAUUUCGAAUAAGUUUAUAUGAACGUGAAACAAUGUUUUAUGACAAAACAAAUGUUCAUAAUGAUUUUAAAUAGAUAAUUGUUCAAAUCGUCAUUAACUAUUUGAAUUUGUUCAGUAAACAAAUUAAUUUUUAAACUCUUACUUAUAAUUUUUGAAUAUUAAGAAUUAGUAUUAUUUUAUUUUGGAUAAGCUUUUAUGAACUAAAACAAUUGUUUUUGGCAACAAAAAGUAAUAAUGAUUUUAAAUAAAUAAUUGUUCAAAUAGUCAUAACUACUUGAACUUGAUUGGUAAAUAGAUUUAUUUUUUCAUAUCUUUUGUUUAUUAAUUUUUUGAAUGUUAAUAAUUAAAAAUUUUAAAUUAAAAUAUUUAAUUUUUAUUAUUUAAUUAUCGAUAUUUAUUAAUAAAUAAGCUAUGAAAUAAUAAUAUAAUUUAUGGAUUUUGUUAAAUAAUUAUUAAAAAUAAUCAUAAAUAUUUUAAAAUGUAUAUUUGAUCUUUUAUGAUAAAUUAUUGAUAAUUAAAAUAGAUAAUUAUUAUUAUUAAUAUAAUUAAUUAUUAACUAUUAUAUUAUUAAAUAUAAUGUAUAAGAUAUCAUUCAAAUAAUAUUAUUAUAAAAUAGUAUUACUUAUAAUUAAUAAAAUUAAUGAUUAUAAUUAUUAUAUAUAAUAAUAAUUAAAUAUAUUAUUUGAAUAAAUAAUAUAUUUUUUAUAUUAAAUAUAAUAAAUUAAUAAUAUUUAUUUUUUCAUAAAUUUAUUUAAUAAAUUAUUAAUAAUUCCUUUAUUUAGUCAUAUUAAUAAUAAAUAUGUUUAUAUAAUGAAUAUAUCUUCAAUAUAUUCAAAACUUAAUUAUAAUUAAUACUAAACAAGUAAGAGAUUUAUAAAUUUAUAUAAUAAAUUAUUCACUAUUAAUUUAUUAGAUUAAUUAAGUAUAUAUAAGAUAAUAAUUCCAUUUAAACAAUUAUCUAUUUCAAAUUAUUAUGAACUUUUGUUUUGUCAUAAAACAAUUGUUUUUCAUCAUACAAGAAUAUUCAUAAUAAAAUAAUACUAAUUUAUUAAUAUUUGAAAAAUUAAUAAGUAGGAGAUUUAAAAAAUAAAACUGUUUAUUGAAUUAGUUCAAAUAGUUAUUACUAUUUGAACAAUUAUAUAUUUCCAAUUGAUCUUUUGUUUUGUCAUAAUACAAUUAUUUAUCUUCAUUCAAGCUUAUUUGAAAUAAAAUAAUACUAAUUUAGUAAUAUUAUGAAAUUUAAUAACUGAUAAAUUUAAAAAAUAAAUUUGUUUACUGAACCAAUUCAAAUAGUUAAGGCUAUAUGAAUAAUUAUCUAUUUCAAAUUGUUAUGAUAUUUUGUUUUGUUGUAAAACAAAUGUUUUUGUUCAUAUAAGUUUGUUCAAAAUAAAAUAAUAUUAAUUUAUUAAUAUUUCAAAAAUUAAUAAGAAAUUUAAUAAAUAAAUAUAUUUACCAUACUAGUUCAAUUAGUUAUAACAAUUUGAACAUUUAUUUAUUUCAAAUCGUACUAAAUUAAUAAUUUGUUAAUAAAUUUGAAUUUUGUUUAAUAAUAUAAUAUUAUUUUAUAUGAUUAGAUUUAAAACUAAUUGUUUAUUAAAUUAAUUAUAUUAAUCGUUAUACAAUUAAUAAGUAUAGUUGUUAAUUAUAAAAUAAUGUAUUAUAUAAAUAGUUUAAUUAAUAUAAUUAGUUUAAUAAUAAUGAUAUAUAACAAUUUAAGAUUAUUACUAAUUAUUAUAGUACUUAUAAUUAAUUAUUCUUAAUAUUACUUAAUUAUAUACUAUUAUAUUAUAUGUAUUAUAAUAUUAUAACUAAUUAUAAUUUAUAUAAAAUAGUAACAAUUAUUAAUUAAAUAUUUAAUUAUUAAUUAAAAUAAAUAUGACUAUUUAAUUAAUAAUAAUUGUUAUUUAUUUAUUAAAUUUAAAUAAAUAUUAGUAAUUAAAUUAUUAUACAUUAAUAAUUUAUUUAUUAUUGUUAUAUAUUAAUAUACAUUACUAUUUACUUAUAUAAUUAAAAAUUUAAUUACUAGAUAAAUUAUAAUUGUUUAUAUAAUUUAUAAUUUGCUUAUAUAAUAGAAAAUAUUAAAUAUAUUAAUAAUAUAUUUUUAAUAGAUAUAUUAUUAAUUAUAAUUCAAUUAAGAAUUUGAAUUAUAUAUAUUAGUUUAUUUAAUAUUAAUAAUUAUUUCAAUAAAAAAUUAUUAAUAAUUAUUUAAAUAUACAAAUUAUUAAUAACAAUUGUUUUACGAUUAACAAAGAGUCAUUCACAUUUGCCUCCAACUAUCAAUUUCAUAAGAAAGGAAAGUAGCCGGGUUCUAUGCCACAAGGCUCUAUCCGAGUUUACAGAUGUCGUUCUUUAUCCCCUUCUUUAUUCGUGAAAAUCAAACAAAUUGGCUUAGUGUGAAGUCUAUCUGAGUAGAAGAUCGAAAAGAAUGCAUGUUCAUCCGAACAUUGAGAAGGCAGGGUUGACGAAUAACAAGGAUAAGGAUAGGACCCGGUUCGGCUAAGUCCCUUGGUCAGUCAUCAGGGAGUUCUUCCCCCUUCAGUCAAUCAGCAAGACAAUGUGAAUAGAUAUUCGAAAGUCAAGGGCCGGACCUGACUCCGUUAGCUGAGCUCUGAGCUUUGCUCCUGGCAAACCAUUACGCAUGCUAUCUUCUCAGCUUUAUGUUAUGGAAGCGCCGACUCAAAGACUCCCCGCCAAUCUCUGGGAUAAGGUCUCCCCAAGAGAUUCUUCAGCUAUGGAAUCUGACAGGUAUCGGUAUUGAACAGAGGGGGUAGCUCAUAUAACAGCAGCGGGACCUGCAGAGGGGGCUGUUCACAAAGCAUCCCAUGGUGCGCUCCGAUCCGAGGGGAAAAAUCAAAAUACAAUACCUAUUGUUGACACUUUUUUUUAUUGUAUUUUUUUUUAUUACUUAGUCUUUGUCUUUACUUUAUCCUAGACUAUGAUCUGAUCUUCUUAAUACUAUGCAUCUCUAUUACGAGUACCUCCCGGUGAAGCUUCUUUGGCUUGAAGACCGGAGAAUGAAGAGAAGGACUACGAGGGAACUAGCGAAUGAGAAGUUCUACCGGGUUCAAGUUUCUCUCCCCCCUGGACUGAACACCUUGAGACUCUGUCGUUUUCAGGUCCGUGUUGACGAGUUCUGUUGCUUUGAGUUCUACUUCUCUUUCUCUCCUCAAUUCUACUAUCAGUGAGAUUCAAUCCCAUCUGAUAGACCUCAUUGAGUCUGGAGAGCAACUCGAAGGUGAAAUGGUUAAUCUACGGAUCCAGACCCAAAGGUAGAUUGUCCCAGUUAGACCAAGUUCCUUUCAGGUAACGCAUACUAGAAAGCGUGACAAAUCCCAUAUCUGGAAAGACUCUCUUGGUCCUUUAUCUUAUGAAGAAAUCAGGGGUCAAGACUCUCAAUCAGGUCUACCUAUGACUCCUCUCACGUUACCGUCACGCUCAUGAACCUCUGUUUCUUUUGAAAGCGGCUUGAAGUGAAGAGCACUUUUCCUCUCAGCCGGAAGGAAAAAACCUCAUUCAGGGCAGAGGAAUCUACCAAUCGAAUGUGAUUCGUACUACAUAGCUUUCAUUCCUGAAGAUAGGUUCAUCCAUGCUAUGCUAUUCACAAACCAUUCUCGUCAGAAAAGACCGACGCCUUCAUCUUUAAAGAUGGUCAGUUAUGUGCUUUCUUCUCUUUUUUUUACUAUACGGUACGGAUUCAAGUCCUCUGUCCAAGAUCGCUUCCCUUAAUGGAAAGACCUUUUUUUUUUUUUUUUUGUGAAUCUGGAAGCAAGAAAGCAAACAGGAAUGGUGCAGCAGGAGGUAGCUUGCUUACUUAGUACUUGUGCUAAAGGGGAGGUGCAAGAGCAAAAAGGAAAGACAACACGCCUUUAUUCAUGCAUAUCCUUAAGCGAGAGUUAAGGCACAAGAAGUAGGAAGGAGUCGCCAUCAUGAAUCGAUUUCAGUUAUCGGUCUUUUCUUAUCUUACCAAGACAGAGAGGGGCCCGAAGGCAUACUUCUGUUAGCUACUACCACCCUAGGCCUUACUUCACGAAAGUCAGAGUCUACCAAUUCAUUACUCUCUUCCUGUCCUCCUGGAAUCUCUUGCAACUCUCGCAUCUGCAAUCGAUUGAAGUAUCCCUUGCUUGGUCUGUCCACGAAUACGGUUCCCGACUUUUAUUCCAUCUAGAGCUGCCAGUCUUGUCUUGCCCUGUCAACGGUCAACUCUCUCUUGCUUAGUUCCCUUCCCGACGAGAGGUCUUCUGCCUUCUGUCUCCUGCCCAACAAUAUUCGUAUACCGGUUAUCGGUCCGUAGGCCUUAGUUAGCCAGCUUAUAGGAAGGUAAAGGAAGGUAGCAUGGUUCUAGCAUGGGCAGGCAAUCACCCAAAUUUAUCUGUAACGGUAGGAGCAUUAGUCAACCAUCUGUCGCAGUAGCAGUAGCCUUCUCUGUAUCACUCUCCCCCUAUGGUCGACCCUUGACUUUGAUCAAUUUCCUCUAACAAGCUCUUUCAAGUCUUUGAGCUAAGCCUUUCUGCUCUACUGGAAACUCCCCAAUAUCAGGAUCAGGAAAUCGAAGCUCUCUUGUAAGGGUCGAUAGGCGGGUAAGAUUUUCCUACGUUGGGAAUGCUAUCUUUAUCUCCCAGUAACGCGCAUCCCUUUGAUUGCUUCCUUACUCAUAAGAAAAUGUGAAAGAAAAUAGGACUCUCAAGUCAGGAAUAGCGAUCUGGCUUAGUGAAUCGAUUAAAGUAUGAAAGUUGAAUAAGAACAUCGUAAGAGAAGAAAGAGAAGAGACUAUCAACGAUAAAGAGUUCUUUCGAACUUCAAUCUUGAUAUAAUUCGAAAAAGAAUAGAUUCAAAAAGAAACGAAUCCGAGUUCGAACUACAGUCUUUCAGAUAAGUCCGAAGACAAUCUAUCUUUCCUUCUUGACUCACAGGGGAGAAGAGAAAAGAUUCGGAGGACGGAGCUUGCUUCAAUUGAAGCACGGAAUUGAAUGAUAACAAGAUAGACAAUGAGACAAAGCCAAGAGAGGAGAGAUGAUAUCAAUGUCAGAAGAGCUUAUUCAACCGAUAAAGAACGUAUCAUUAAUGAAUUUUGGCUUCAUUUCUACAGGGAGAUAAAAGUUUCAUGUAAAUUGAAUUCAGAUUGUUAUAGCUAUCAGGAUCGUGUUAUAAUGUUAUUGAAUGAAUCUAAGAAGAAUCAAUCCAUUAAUAAUGAUAGUUUUAUAGAGUUCUCCUCUAGUGAGUUAAAGGAUUUACAGAAUAUGAUUGAAGAACUAACUAUGAACUUCGAUGAAAAUAGUAUCUUUAAAAGCACUCCUCAGUUAUUAAACUUAUUGAUAGAUAAUGCUCAGAUCACAGCUAAAGAUCAUUUAAAGAGUUGCCUAUCAACAGAUGUUUAUAAUCGUUAUAUUAGUCAUUUAGGUCACUAUACGCUGGAGGCUAUCAUCAUAUAUGUGCUAGGAUUGUUGUACAACAGUGUUCAAGAAUCCUCGGUUGUAAGGGUAUCCACAUUGUUGGACAGGCUAGAUAAAACAGUUUCGAAUACAAUCAGUGAUUAUCAACAAUUUGUCUGAAAGUGAUAGUAGUCAAGCGAAAAGUAGUAAGAAAGGUCGUGUUCAACAAUAUGAAAUAGGAACCAAAUUGCUUGAGUUCAUGCUAGAAAGAAAUUGUUUCGUAAUUGAUACCUGCACAACAGAGGAGAUAAAACCAAUUGUGAAAAGAAAAGGAAAAGGAUAUUACCCAUUAAACUCAUUCGUAAUAUGUAAAUUUCAACUGUUGCCUUCUCCCAGUUAAACUGAAUCUUCCUAUGGUUUGCAAGCCGUUAGAUUGGAAAUCUAAAUGUUUGAUGCCAAGAAUGUUUUCGGAUAUUAGAGGAGGUUACUUUUUCAAUCCUUCCAAUGAUUUAUAUAAUCAGUUUAAAGUUCAAUCUUCCUUUAGAGUUAUAUCAUCCCGUGACAUACACAAUUUCAAUAUUCACUUACAUGAUCCUAUGUACAAGGAAAUGUGCCAAAUCUUGAAUAGACUUCAGUCACAAGGAUUGUUGAUAAAUAAUAAUGUAUUGGAAUUCAUAAAGAAAAAUCAUGCGAGUUUAGAGAAAUUAGGUCUUCUUGCACACGUGAAUAUGAAAGAAGCCAUAGAUAUAUUGAAGAUAUGUUAUCUCAAUGACGGGGCUGUUAAGGAUCUUUGUAGCUUUCGUUUUCCCUUAACGGAGUUAGCAUAGCAGGUUCAGCGUGCAAGGUAUGAAGAAUUUAUACACUACAGCAAAAUGGCAUAUUAGCGACAGUUUUGUAGUGAUUUUUUACUUAUAAAUGCCUUUAGCUUCCGUAUUUUUAUAAAACUUAAAGCAUUUAUUAUCCAAACAUCACUAAAUAUUCAAAUAGCGUCAUUGUUACUUAUGAACGCCACCCAAGACUUGAUAUUAGAAGCGUUUCUUGACUAAAAUGCCUUGAAUAUUUUUUAUUAAAAAUUUCAGUGAAUAGUUAAGACGUAUUUUUGGCAAACAACGCCUUCAAUAAUCACGUCAUAAAAAAUUAUAUGAGAUUAAUAAAAGCACUGUCUACAAGAAACACCUUUAAUAUUUAGACAAAAAAAUUUCAUAAGCUUAUUAAAUUUAUUUUGUUCAAAAAUACAUUCAAUAUUAAGCUUAUCAAAUUGUUUGGAUCGUACGAAUGUUUAUCAUAAAAAUUGUUGGUUUGAUCCAUCCUUUAGCCUUUUUUUGGGUUUUUGCACAAAUUAUUUGUUAUUGAUUAUUCUAGGCAUUUUCUUGACAAAAACGCUUUCACCGAUUGCUUUAAAAAAAUUUUAGAAUAUUGAAGGCGUUUUUUUAUGGAAAGACGCCCUUAAUAAUCCAUAGGAAAAAUAUGGAGUCGAUUCUUGAAGGUAUUUUUGGUCGAACUCGUCUUCUAUAAUCCAAUUAAUAAAUUUUUUUGGUGAUUUUUAAAGGCGAUUUUGUAAAAAAUGACUUUAAUAUUUCAUAGACAAAACUUGGAUGAGAUGCUUGAAGGCGUUUUUGGCUCAAAAAGCCUUUAAUAUUCCUAACGAUAAAUUUUAAUGGUCUGAUUAUUGAAGGCGGCUAUAUCAAAAAAUGCCUUCAUAAACAUUUUGUUAGGGAUUAUUAAAGGCAUUACCCAUAGGAAAACGCCAUUCAUAAUUCAUUUGAUUAAUUUUUUAGUUGGUAUUAUUGAAGGUAUUUUUUGCCAAAAAUACCUUUAAUAUUUCACACAAUAAUUUUCUAGGGGGAUUAUUGAAAUUGAUUUUAGUAAAAAAAUGCUUUUAAUGUUUUCUGUUAUGGGUGAUUGAAGGUGUUUUUUUGCUAAAAAAACAUUCAUUAAUCGCAUCAAAAAAACAUAUUAAAUAUUGUAUAUGUGAAAUCAGUUGUAAGUUUAUGCCCAGAAAAACGUUUACUGUCAGUUGUAUAUUUAUGCCCAGAAAACAUUUGGUUUGUAUAUCAGAUACUUUGAAUUACAUUUUAGAAUUUACAUAGUGAAUAUUGUUGUAUUUCAAUAAAUUAACCACACAUCCAAAAUUAAAACUGAUAACGUUGUCAUAUUAAUAUACUUUUUUGAAAUAAUCGUACUUAGUAAUUUAUUAAGUACACAUAAUGUAUUCAUAUUAAGUAUAACAAUAAUAUUAAACCAAUACCCCCAAUGUACAAACUUAAAGUUUUCAUUCAACAUGACAUGUUAAAAACAUUAUAACAAUUUGUUUCAUAUAUAUUUACAUUCAACCAACAAUGUCUAACCUGAAGGUUUAUCAACAUUGAUAAAUGACAAUACAUAAUCACACCAUUCUUUACAGACUUCAUCUAGCUCCUCUUCCGUAAAGCUUUCUUUACCUUUCCACUAAAAAAAUAUAUCAAAGUAAAUGUUAAGAAAUGAGAACAUUGUGUACCAUUUUAUUUUUUUGAAUAUAUAACGAGUUUAUGAAAUUAAUACUAACCUUGAAUAGUGUGAUCAUAAAAUCAUGUAACACUAUCUCCCACAUAAAACAAAGGACAUAAUAUCCAUGCCUUCUUAUUAAAUGCAUAUAUUACCCUAAAUUGAAAAGAAAAAAAAUUAGUGGGAACAUAAAUAAAAUUACUUAUGAAGAAACAAAACAUAGAUAAUAUAAUAAAGUACUGUAAUACCUCUUUAUAAAAGUUUGAAUAUCGAGGUUAAGCAUCACCAUUGGAUUAACUGAAUUAAGAAGGUAUGGCGUUAAGGAUUUGGUGUCAAUCAUAGCACCCAAUGACGAUUGCAAAAUAAUAACAAUGAUAUACUCAGAAUACACAUCAGAUCAUAGAAUGGAGCAGGUUGGAGUAAUUAAGGUUGGAAUAUAGAUUACUGCGCAUUAUACGAGAGCAAAUAAUAAUCAAUUGGUCUUUUCAUGCAUAGGAUCACAUGAUUAGCAUGAUAUACGACUGUGCCACUCUGCUCACUAAUGAAGUUGAGGUCAAUGAAUCUAAAUUUAUUCGUCAACUGUCUCCCCUUCAGCUCUCUAUAUAGGAAGCUACACGAUAACAAUCAACAUUGCUGGUUAGUAUUACACCCUAAUACUAACUUACUAUAUAUUGAAUGUGCAUAUUUGUAUUUAUAAACUAACCUCAUAUAAGUAACGAUUUCAGCAACUGAUAAUUCAUCCAUUUCACAAAAUUCUUUCACCUCUUCCACACCAAUGAAAGAAAAUGAUUAUUUAUCAAAUAAGUCUUCCUCAGACUCAAUGAAUAUGAAGUUUUCGUCAAAUAAAUGCUCCAAUGAAUAUUUUGUUAACUUAUCCAUGAAAGCCUGAGCAAGGAUCAUACUUUGAGUCUGAACAUCAUUCUAUAAUAUUUAAUGAAAUAUAAGUAUUAAAAUCAAAUCAAAAAAUAACUCCACAAGCAAGGAACCGCUACUUUCCAAGCAUAUUAGCGAAAAGGCUCAUACGGAGGCAAGGGGGCCAAAAGCUUUAUUUGUUAGCUUCCCGAAAAGAGAUAAGAUGCGUCUUCAAAUCAAAGGGAGAGGAAGUAGGUUCUUGGCUGUCCUUUGGCCUGUUCCCCGAUCAGCUUUCAUAGACAACUAGUGACCGCGGGUGAGGGGCAUGAAGGGAAAGGUAUAAUCCGUCUUGCUUUCCCGAAACGCUAUCACCGAUACUCUACUUGCUUUCCAGUCUCACCCAAAAGUCCCUGAAAGGCCACUAAUUAGUAAGUCUCUAUAUUAUUUUUUAUUAUUAUACUAUAUUAAUAUUAAUGUAAGGUAUGUAGUUUUUUAAAAGAAUUACGAGAUUUGAAUUCAGGUUAAAAAGUGCGAGACACAGAAUAAAGAGUUUAUAAGGGAUUUAUAGAAAAUGAAAUGUGGAAUGGAUAAAGAGAAGAGGUUGAAUAUGAUGUCAACAAAGGGCCAAAAAGACAAAGAACUACCAGCGGCUCAACCGAAUUUCCCCGAUAGCCUACCAGUGAGAACUACUAGGCGGGAAGGGAUCUAGUCGAAUUAAAAAAAGUAUACAGUUUUCGAACCCAUGCAUGCUACAAGAAAGCUUGUAUUUCCGUCUGGUCCAAUAGAUGUAACUGGCACCUUUAAGGUCGAGUCUAAAGCCAUCUCUAAUGCCAGACGCUUCCUCUUUUGUGCUACUCCUCAUCUUGAAAUCAAGGCUGAACACAUGGAAUUCCAUGCUUUACUUCCUCAUUCUAAGUCCAGGGCUUACAAAGGAACGUCAGCCAUCAAAAGGCGUGGAAGCCCUGGUUCAGUUGGCAAUACUUUCAAACUACGCAUCCACUCACACUAGGAUCUCAAAGUGAAGAAAGCUGCUUGUUCUCUCUUUCGUGGUCAAAGUUCGGAGCUGCCGAAAUCUUGCCUCCAGUUCUGUUCAUAGGGAGGAUCUUUGUGUGCUGGUAUCAACCGAGAAAGAAAAUAUGGAGCUUGACCCUCUUUGAUUGAAUGCAAGGAUCCUAGGAGCUAGAAACCGCAUUUCAGUGAGCUCUUCAGCCAAUGUUCUACAAGCUGCUAAAGCUGCCGCACUUUUUCCUUCUCGAGGGAGGUGCUUCCUUGAUUACCCUGGAUUUAUUCUUCUCAAUUUCAAAAAAUACAACAAUAAAUGUUAUGCACUAAAAACUUCAGGAAGUUUCCUGCUAUUACGCCAAAUACGGGUUUCUUUUCAAUCCGCGCUCUCGCACUCAAACACUGUCUUGAGAUCAGACAAAAGACAGGGAAAGACUUAAAACAUCAUCAAUAUACACCACCUCCACGAUGUUUACAAUAAAAAAAGUAAUGGAAGAUGAGGUUCAUUGCUCACAGCUAUGUAACUCUAGCCUUAUUCAUACCGAGGGGAAUCACCUGCCAGCAGAAUGUCUGUCUGUCCAACAGCACCGGGACAACGGAACGCAAUUUUUGCCUCGUCCUCUCUUGAGAUUCAAAAAUGGUUAUACCCCACGUCCAUGAAUGACAGAAUUUAUUGCCCAGCUGCUCUGUCAACUAAAAGAUCCGCGAUUGCCAUUGGGUUAUUGUCUUUUGGUGGGGCAACAUUGAGACUCCGGAAAUGCUUUCUCUUCCGCCAGCCCUUGCUCUGGGCUUUUUGUUGGGGCAAAAAAAUACGAUAGAUAAGGAUCUAAUGCAAAGUUUUCUUCAUGCUUAUUCCAACGGGCGAUAAGGGACGGAACCAAUGCUGUGUAGAAAGAUGCAAUGAGGAACCUCUUCCCGGUCGAAAGCCGUGCAAAGACGUAAGAGGAUAUUGCAGCUUCCUCGUAACGGUAGAAAGAGGAAAGGCUAAGCGAAAAAAGGUUAACUUAGUGAGUUAUGGCCACUAGUCAUUUGGAUUUUUCCUUACUCAUGUAAGUAUUCUCAUUGGGCAUUUAACUAGCCUAUAUUUCCGCUUUCGCUUUCGCAUUUAAUCGUCUCCCUCCUUACCUUAGUCCGACCUAGCCUCUAUUGAUUGAGAAGGUUGAAGACUCCUUUUAUGCAAUUAUGAACUCCUUACCGUGAUAAUGAAGUUGUUGAUCUCGAAGAGGAACCCCUGUUCUCAGUUACUCAUCAAAUGGCACUCAUUCCAUAUCUUCGAUCAUUGACAAUGUUCAAAGAAAGGGUGGGACACUGAGGGGAAAUGGUGCUUUAUUGAGUUAGAGUUAUGAGUGGGCUAUAAGAAAGCUGUGAAAGUCAGCCACCACUAAAAAAUUUCAGAAGGAAGGGUAUACUUCACUGUAGUCUCACUAUAAAGUACUCUUGUUUUAUGCCCUUUUCUCUCUUUCUGCGCCGAAAGUAAGAAAUUGAGAAAUCCGCACUAACGAAAAAGCUGAAAAAAGCAAUGGCAGCAGCUAGAGUAGACUUGCUUCUCUCUUAUUCUAUUUUAUAUCACCCCUACUGCGGGAAGUAAGCGCUUAGUGCUACUACUAGAGUAGAGUCGUCUUAUGCUCUAUUCUUCGUUUUUAUAGAGUCCCUUACUGUAGUACAUGAGUUUUAUUCUAUCUCCUUAGCCUCUCUGAAAGAAAAGAAAGGAAAGUAAGAGUACUGCUCUCGCUCGAGCCAGCAAGCUGAUAAAGUACUGUGUGCGCUAACCUUGGUGAAAGUGUAACGUGACUAUCUGCCCCCAACUUUCUAUCUGUGGUUAGGAAAUUCUCUGUCCGUAUAAGUAGACUCAUUCCAUUUGCUACUCGAAAGCACUAAAGUCCACAUUGGAUGAAAAAAAACCUGUUUUUAAGGCAAAAGAAAGAAAGCAAUAGAAGAGAGGAGCAGCACCCUAAUUCCUAUGUUAUAACGUUCGUGACCCAUAGCCAAUGAAAUCCAAACUAGGAUCAUAAGAAAAGUCUACUGACUGACUGGUUGAUAACCAACAAUGAAAGGAUUAGGCCAGGACUCAUACGAUUCGAGUAGAAUGAAAGGCAAGGAUGAUAAGCUUUUCUCGCGUACUGGCUUUCUUCGCCGAGCAGGAAAGAGAAAAUCCAUUUCCUAUUAAGAGAAGCGAAGUCUAGUUCCCAACUCCCCCGCUUCUAGAUAAAGACAGACAAAAAACAUAAGGAAAGGAUUCAAUAAGCCAUUUUCGUUUUCUUUUUAGCUAGUGAGCUGGUUUUGGAUAAGGGAAAGUUUCAAUUGAUCAAUUUACAGGCUACCAGGGAAAUAGGUUUAGCAAAUAGAUGUGUCUUCACCUGAUGAAAUAGGACAGAAAACUGCUUUCACCAACACCGCUUCAAGAUCUCAUGGAUUGAAUUGUAUUCAAACGAAAGUAUUCUAUAUAGAAUACUAUAGCUUUCAUUAAACUACUAAAGAGCUUCUUCCUAAUGAUAAGAAGAAUCAUAAGAUAGACUGCCUGUAUUACCGCUUUCUUUUCUCUUACAGAAUAACUAAGCAUUAGCUUACACGGACUCCUCUAUACAAAACAAAAGGGAAUGGCUGAAAUAAAAACUCCGCUGGCAUUGGUGUAAUUGAAAUACCCGCUGGAAAGCUUAAAAAAAACCUCUCUUUUGAGUGCUGUUAAUACUGAAGUUAACGAACUCCCCACACUCAAGAGCAAAGAAAGACCCAUUUUUUCAUUUUUUAGCUUCCUCCUUCUUCGGUUGCCAAUGAACAAUGCAUCUCCGGAGCAAUGACCACGAAGCACACAUUCGGCGCAAAUAACUUAUCCUUCCUCAAGGCUUGCUAGUUUCCUGGCUCUUUCGAACCAGAUAUUUUCAAACCUGGCGAUGAGGUUAUAUUAUUAAGCAUUAGUAGCAAAUGAAGGCGAAGGCGAAGGAACCUCAGGAAGUGGACACAGGGUAACCAGAAAUGCUGAAGAGAUUAAAGCUGCAAUGAUGCCUUGGAUUCUUUUUUUGCUUCUAAGUGACAUGCCACAUGAGCUUUCUCAUCUCGUUGUAGAGCUGUCAGUUGUACCGGGACUUUGUGAAGAUGACAGAAGGCUUGUACAACUGCUCCCAAGGCUCAUGCUCUGCUCCAAGGAUAUUGCAGCAAACUUAAACCACCGGAGUUGGACCAGCUACUCAAUAUAGCUGGAGAGAAAGCAGCAGCAGCUAAAGAAGUCACAGAGGCAGCAACAAAAGCUGAAUCUCGCCUAGCUGGUCUUUGAGAGCAAUUGGCCAAACUCCAAACCCACUCUCCCACUUCAAUUCAAUCACUGAUUUCAGAUAGUUGUAUGUGAGUUGACUUUUUCCCUUCCACUUGGUAGAAAACAAUAUAAAAUAUGGGGAUUCCCAUCGACUAGAUAGGCUCUUUAACAGAGAGGUCGGGCUAAAAGACAGAGGCGGCCUGGUUCCUUGGUAGUAUGCUCCGGGGGGCGGGGGAUUGAUAGCUUGACCCGAGUUGAUUAGUCACAGCGACCCGUGGAGAGGAGGUGUCGAGUCCAUGCAGACUAUCAAUUAGUCUAGUCAUUUCAUAGAGGAUUUUUAGAGAAAAGAGCGAGUGAUCACCCGUGAGGAAACGAGCAUUGUAAAAAUCCUCAUUAUAAGAAGUUGAAAAAACGUUUUCACUCGGCCUUUUCCAUGAAGCAAUGAAGGAGAUUAGCAUUUUAUGUCCUGCACGCACACUCUAUCUCAAUGAAGGAGUUGCUCGACGGCAUUCAUCUGUCUUUUCGAAAGCCUUAGCCUUAGCGUCGCGCCCUAGCCCUACUCAGAACAUGAGGAGGGAAGUAGACCUUUUUUGUUAGUCAAAGUAAGGUCUUUUUUGAAUCACUGGCAUUUGAAUGAAUAGGAUUAUAACUUUCGGUGCCUUCAUUCCGCACUUGGUCCCUCUCGUAUUCCACCCGAGGGUUCCAGAGAUUGAUUCUAUACAUGAGAUUCCUGAAUACAGUAAACUCCCCAUGUACCAAUGUCCCCACUCCGGUAUCCCCAAAGUCCGAACUCUUUAAGCAUUCGUAUACGUAAGCGCUUUCUUUCGAGUGAAGUCGUUAAACGUAACAAGUCCAAGGGCUGGAGGAAGUGAAAACUGGCUCAACCUUUUUAACUUAAGCUUAAGGAGAGGAGGAUUAAUAAAGAAAGAUCUGAUUUGGCCACGGAACCAGCUUUGGGGGGAAUAGGGGGAGGCACUUCCUUAGGACAAGGACAACAUAAAGCUGUGCAGUAGGGAAUAAGGCAAUAGCUACAAGAAGAAAGAAGUCGGAAAGAGUACACCUAAAACAAGAGCUAACUAAGCGGUAGGCACCUGAAGACAGAAGAGCACCUGAAUAAAGAGCCAACCAUCUUACGAUCGCCCUGUAGUUUUCUUCGCUGGAGCGCAGGUUUUGAACCCCUAUCUUACUAAUCUAAUAAAGGGGAUUGUUGAUGCUAUGAAGCAUCUUAGAGUAUUCCAUUCCGUUUUUCAGCUGGAUCCGGGCCUACUAAUUACUAAUACCUGAAACAACUGUAUUUAGUAGAGAGAGGGGCUUUUUGCGAAAGGCUAUCAAUGUAUAUAGAUGAGUGUGCGUGCAGGGUGUAGGUGUACCACUUACGAGAAAGAACCCCAGGUCAGUAAAGCAGUUAACCAAACACAAGUAAACAAGUAAGUAGUUCGUCAGUCCUUCCUCCGACGCCUCCCGUUCAUUCUUUUUCAUUUCUUCAUGUUUGUUGUGUUGUUCCGUUCAUAGGUUCCAAGCCAGCCCUUCUUUAGAAGUCCCUCCUCCCUCUCCUUAAGUUAAGAAAAACAAGAAUGCUGCUUGGAUUGAACGAACAUUGUAAGAACCUUUAUAACUGACACCUUUGAUCCCCUCAGCAUUAAAAAGCAUAAUGCCACCCACGUUUUUUUUCUUUUGAACACGCCUGAAAACCCCGGGGAAGGGAUGAAAGGCGCCAUCUUUUUCUAUAACACCCUUUCUUUUCUCUAGUCUCUAGGCCUUAGUCUUCUACCUUCUAGUUUUCACUAUUCUCAUUUAGCUCCUGAUGUAUUGACCGAGUUUUAAGCUCCAAGCUUGAAAGCCUAUUAGUCUUCAACGCAAAGCAAACUCCUAAAACAGAUGUCGUUGAUCUGGAAUUCCUUUAUUUUAAAAAUAAUCAACUUCGCAAAGAGUAGACGAGGAUAGCACUUAAGCCAACGAAUACGAUUGAUCGGUCUGUUCUGCUAGCCGGUUAGCCCGAAGCCUAUUCCAAUAAGAACCGGCAGCAAUGGCUAUUGGAAACCAAACUGACCUCGCUCCAUUACUUGAUUUGUCCACGGCCUUCUGUCAUGAGCCAAUCUUGUAUAAGGCCAUGAUUAGGGCUUAGACUUUAAUGAGCCACCCAUGUAUAGGGUCAUGACCGGAUAAAUCUCUUGUGCUUGGAAAAGUGUCUCCAUUUCAAACAUUGUAAUGGUUAGUGGUAGCAUAACUCUAAAAUCUUUAAGACUCUUUAGGGGGGUGAGCGGGCAGCAUACUGUUGGGCUGUCUCAUUGGUCGCGAUACGGGCCUAAGCCAUCCACCAAAGGCUGUCCUCCUAGCCCUGGCGAUGGUGGGAAGUCCCGAUGUACUAUCCUUGAUUAUAAUAAAAUUCACCUCCGAUUCGAAUGUCCCGAAUGUUGCCUUGAUGUGUUUUUCUUUUUGUCGAUGUGAAUGUGCCUUCUUGUGUGUGUUUAAAAUUGAUCUCAAUAUGAAUGUGUCUUAUUGCGUACGCUUGGGACUAAUUGUGGCUUAUGGUUAUUUGUUCAGAUAUCGAACUAUUGAGGGCUGACUUGGGUGAGAGCGUCCAUUCAAGUGCUGUACGGUCUAUUGCUUGUUGAGAGAAAGCCUAGUCCGUGACACGUGAUAUCAGAGCUAGGUUGAAAAGUGCUAGAAAAUGAAAGAGAUGGCCACAAAUGGUGGACCCAAUUAUCAAUAGAGACUUAAGGAACUUGAGGUCGCGGUGGCCGUAGUGAAAACUCACAUGGUGACUAAAGAUCGAUUGAGGGAGAUCGAGACAACUCAGCGAGAGUUGUCCGAUACUCUCCAUAAUGUGAGCGAGGAGGCUAGAGAUGCCUUGAAUGUUCUUCAAAAGGAGUUUGAGGAGCUUAGAGCACAAAUGAGCAUCAUACAAAUGACUGUGGCUAGAUCGAGUUCGAGCUCGACGGAAAGGGGAAAAAGGGCCAAGGUGCCAGAGCCUCGAUGCUAUGAGGGGGUAAGAGAUGCCAAUGAGCUUGAAGACUUUUUGUUUGACAUGGAGCAGUACUUUUGAGUUGUACACACGGAUUCAGAGAAAGAUAAGGUAGCAAUGGUGUCGAUGUACCUCAUAGGGGAUGCCAAGCUAUGGUGGCGCUCCAAGUUUAUCAAUGACAAGUGUCUAAUUAAGACUUGGACGGACCUGAAACAAAAAUUGAAAAAUCAAUUCUUCCCUGAGAAUGUGGAGUAUAUGACCCGAAGGAAACUUCGAGAAUUGGUGCAAACAGGAACAAUGCAAAAGUUUGUGAAGAGUUUUUCUACCCUGAUGCUAGAUAUUCGAGACAUGUCCAAAAAGGACAAGAUGUUUUAUUUUCUUAAGGGCCUCAAGCCUUGGGCCAGGACAGAACUACAAAGAUAAAAAGUGCAAGAUGUGGCCACGGUCAUGGCUGUAGCUAAAUGUCUCCAUGAUUAUAAUGAUGGCUCCUCAAAACGAAAAAAUCCUCCAUCAGUUGGCAGUAACUUCAACUUUGAGAGUGGGAGAAAGAUGACUAGCUUGGACUGACCUUUCAGUGAAGGAUCAAACAGGAGGUCUUUUGGUCGAGAUAGCACCCAACCCAAGAUAAACAAUGCAGUGAUUUUCAAGCCUAGGGAACCACUAGCUUGCUUUCUAUGUAAGGGGUCGCAUCGGGUGGCUGAAUGCCCAACAGAGGAGCCCUUAAUGCCUUAAGUGCCUUAUCUCAAGAGUCCAUAAAAGCACCAGAGAUCGUUGAAGAAGUUGAAAAAGAGCCAACCAGGAUGGGUUCAAUAAAAUUCUUCAAUGCCUUUCAUACCCAGCUGAAUACAAUAAAGAAAGAGUAGGAUAGAAGCCUGAUGUAUGUGAACUUAAUGAUCAAUGAGAAGGCCACCAGGGCUGUGGUAGACACGGGUGCAAUCGAUACCUUCAUCACACCAGAAGAAGCAAAAAUGUGUAGUCUUCAAGUUAGUAAGGACUGUGGAUGAAUGAAAGCAGCCAAUUUACCAGCCUUUAAGAUCAGAAGAAGCUCCAAGAGUGUGAUGACCAAAUUGAGGCCAUGAAAAGGGAAGGUAAACUUUACAGUUUCCUCAUGGAUGACUUUGAUGUCAUCUUCAGAUUGGACUUCAUAACGUUGGCUCAGGUGAUCCCUAUCUCCGUCGCUAGUUGCCUGUUGUUCUUAGGGGAACAUCCAUGUGUGGUGUUGGCCACUAUCUUGCCAAAGAAUGAGAAGAAAAUGAUCUCAGCUUUACAGUUCAAGAAAGGGGUAAAGAGAGAAGAACCCUAAUUUAUGGCUAUAUCGAUUUACAAAGAAGGGUUGUGAGUGGAAUCGAUACCCGAUGACGUGGAAAAAAUGUUGAAAGAAUUAGAAAAGGUGAUGCCAGGGAUGUUGCCUAAGGUUUUAUCUCCUCGAAGAGCCGUGGACCAUGAAAUUGAGCUCUUCCUAGGAGUUAAACCCCCUGCUUGAGCCUCUUAUCGCAUGGCCCCGCCAGAGUUGGCCAAAUUAAGGAAACAGUUAGAUGAGCUUCUACAGGUCGGGUUCAUUAGACCAUCAAAGGCUCUUUUUGGAGUGCUAGUGCUAUUUUAGAAGAAACAUGAUAAAAGUUUAUGAUUAUGUGUUGACUACAGGGCCCUGAACAAAGUCACCGUAAAAAACAAAUAUCAUAUCCCUCUUAUAGUAGAUUUGUUUGAUCAACUAAAUCGGGUCAAGUAGUUUUCUAAAUUGGACUUGAAAUUUGGCUACCAUCAGGUCAGAAUCGCUAAGGGAGAUGAGCCAAAGAUCACUUGUGUAACAUGGUAUAGCACAUUUGAAUUUCUUGUUAUGCUCUUUAGACUGAUCAAUGCUCUUGUCACAUUUUGUACAUUGAUGAAUCAGGUGUUCCAUGACUAUCUAAACAAAUUUGUAGUCAUCUAUUUAGAUGACAUAGUGGUAUAUAGCUCUACUCUGGAAGAAUAUCAAGAACUCUUAUGCCAGGUGCUUUAAAGAUUACAAAACCACCAGUUAUAUGUGAAAAGGGAGAAAUGUACAUUUGCUCAGACCCAAAUCCACUUUCUCGGUCACAUUGUCGAACAUGGCCACAUUCGUAUAGACAUGAAAAAGGUUAGGACCAUCAAGGAGUGGACAACACCAAAGAAUGUUAGUGAACUUCGCUCAUUUUUGGGACUAGCUAACUAUUAUAGAAGGUUUGUAGAAGGGUACUCUUGCAAGACCAUGGCCCUUACAGAGCUAUUAAAAAAGGAGCAUAAAUGGUAUUGGACAAGUGAGUGCCAAAAGACCUUUGAGGGAUUUAAAGAUGCUAUUAUGAAAGAUUUUAUCUUAGCUCUCCCUGAUAUUGAAAAGCCUUUCGAAGUUCAGACGGAUGCAUUUGAUUUUCUUAUUUGGGGAGUGCUUUUACAACAAUGUCACCCAAUAGCAUUUGAAAGUAGGAAGCUAAGUGAAGCUGAGAGAAAAUAUAUAGCCCAAAAAAAAGAGCUCUUGGCUGUAGUUCACUGCCUGAGGGCUUGGCGACAUUAUUUGUUGGGUUCACACUUUGUCGUGAAGACAGACAAUGCGGUCGUUAGCCAUUUCUUCACCCAACCAAGGCUUACAGCGAAACAAGCUAAUGGUAAGAAUUUUUAGUAGAGUUCGACUUUUAUUUUGAGCAUACCGCUGGAAAGACCAAUCAAGUGGCCAAUGCAUUGAGCAGAUGAAUAAAGUUAGCAGCCCUUAGAAGAAUUACCCCAAUGGCGGCUAGCAGAGUCACGACAAAUAUUCGUAAGUUAAUUGAAGAUCAUUUAGGGAAGGACCUGCAGGCCAGUGCCAUCCUGAAGCUAGUUGAAGAAGGGAAGUCUAAGUACUUCUAGUAAGAAAAUGAGGUCUUAUAGACCAAGGGGCCCUGAUUGUUUAUGCCAAGAGUAGGAGGUCUGAGACAAAUGCUAAUGAGGGAAUGUCAUGACACACCAUGAGCUGAACAUUCGAGCUGGUAACGCACUUUGGCUUUAUUGAAACAGGGAUACUAUUGGCCUCAAAUGCGAUAAGACAUGAUGGACUAUACAAAGACUUGCCUCAUUUGCCAACAAGACAAAGUUGAAAAGAAAAAACUUACAGGCAUGCUUGAACCACUACCGAUGCCUACUAGACCGUGGGAAAGCGUUUAUCUCGAUUUCAUUUCAGGCUUUCCCAAGGUUAGUGAUCUUGGAGCUAUUUUGGUGGUGAUUAAUCGUUUCUCUAAGUACGCUACAUUCAUCCCUACUCACAAGUAUUAUACUACGAAAGACACAGCUCGAUUACUAUUUAAACAUGUGGUCAAAUACUGAGACCUCUCUCAAAACAUUGUAAGCGAUAGAGAUCCGAGAUUCACGGAAUCCUUUUGGAGAGAACUUUUCAAGAUAUUGGGGUCUCAACUUAACAUCUCCUCAAGCUACCACCCUCAAACCGAUGGUCAAACGAAACGGUUCAAUAGAUUACUAGAGGAAUACUUAAGGCACUUUGUUCAAGCUAAUUAGAAGAACUGGCAUUCGUUAUUGGAUGUUGCUCAGCUUUGCUUUAAUUCCAACAAAAGCUCUUCCACUAACAAGAGCCCGUUUAAGUUGGUCACCGGACAAUUAUCAAAGUUACCCCAUACUUUCUUAGAGCAAUAUAGAGGGAAGAAUCCGAGAGCCUUCAACCUCGACAAGGAGUGGAAACAAAACACUAAGAUGGCACAAGCUUACCUGGAGAAAGCAUCGAAGCGAAUAAAGAAAUAGGUAGACAAAGGUCAUAAGGCGCAACAAUUUCAAGUUGGUGAUUUGGUUCUUGUUCGACUAGUCCCUGAACAAAUCAGGUUCUUGAGAAAGAGAGAUUGCAGAUUAGUGCACAAAUAUGAGGGUCCAGUGAAGAUCCUUUCUAAGAUGGAGAAUGCUUCAUACAAAAUUGACCCACCAAAAUGGAUGAAGGUGCACUCAGUAUUUCAUGUGAGCAACCUGAAACCUUUUCAUACAGAUCUUAUAGAUGCUAGCCGAAAGGAGCCAACCAAUGCCACCAUCACCAUGAAGCCACCCUCAGAGUGUCGAGUCGAAGAGAUCUUAAUCGACAGGGAAACCAAGGUAUCUCGAAGACUAGUUCAUGAAUACUUAAUGAAGUGAGAGAGAUUAGGACUAGAAAAAACUAGUUGGGAAAAGAAACACGACCUCUGAAGAUUCAAGAGGAAAAUUGAAGAAUUUCAAGCUAACAAGUCGACGAGGACAUCGAUUAGAAUAUGUGAGGUAGGAUGCCAUGAGCCAACUUUGUAUAGGGCCAUGAUCGGGGCUUAGGUUGUCAUGAGCCACCCAUGUAUAGGGUCAUGAUCGGGUAGAUCUCUUGUGCUAGGAAAAGUGUCCCCAUUUUAAAUAUUAUAAUGGUUAGUGGUAGCAUAACUCUAAAAUCUCUAAGGCUCUUUAGGGGAGUGAGCGGGUAACGUACUAUUGGGCUGUCUCACUUAUCGCAAUACGGGUUUAGGCCAUCCGUCAAGGGCUAUCCUCUGGCCCUGGCGAUGGUGGGAAGUCCCGAUAUACUAUCCUCGAUUAUAAUAAAAUUUACCUCCGAUUCGAAUGUUUCGAAUGUUACCUUGAUGUGUUUUUUUUUUGUCGAUAUGAAUGUGCCUUCUUGUGUGUGUUUGAGAUUGAUCUCGAUAUAAAUGUGUUAUUGCGUACGCUUGGGACUAACUGUGACUUAUGAUUAUUUAUUCAAAUAUCGAACUAUUGAGGGCUGAUUUGGGUGGGAGAGUCCAUUCAAAUGUCGCACGAUCUAUUGCUUGUUGAGAGAAAGCCUAGUCCGUGACACCUUCCCAUUUGGCUAGAGGCUUACUUAAAAUGUGAAGGUGUCGAUGCAGCAGGUUUUGACUUGGAUCUUCGAGCAAUCUAUACGCUAUGCAUGCCUUUUGCUUUUAAUGCUAAACUCUAAAUUGAGGCUAUUAAAGAUCUACUUUUCCCGGGUAAAGGAAAGAAUAUGCUUAACACAUGUACCUUGGACUUUGCUUUCUAGAUUGAUCUUUAGCUAAAACAUCCUUUCUCUUGUUCCUAAAAGCGAAUUGGUGUCUUUUGAUUAGCUGUCACAUUUGGUCAAAUGACACAUUUAGAAGGUGUGAAAUUGGCCAAUGUGAAGUAGAAUAGGUAAUUCGAAAUUCAAUAUCAUAAGAGAAGAAGUUGACAUUCGAAAGAAGUAGAAGUUUCAUAAAAUUUUCUUUCUUCAUUAUCGCUUGAUAGUUGAUCGAGAAAGCUCCGCCCAAUAGAGCCUAACCAAGAGUGGACCGAAAUGGUCCCGUGAAGUCGAUCCCCGGAGCCCUAAAAGACUUUAAAAACCUUGAAGAUAGAUAGAACAAUUAUGAACAAUUUCAACGAUUCUAUUCAAAAUUUAGUAGAUUGGUCAAUUUCCUUGAAUCAAUAAAAACUAUCAAUUCUUUCAACUAGAUUAGAAGGGAAAACACAAACUCUUUGAUCUAUAAUCGGAAAGGGGGACUUCCACCAACAAUAGUGAAGGUCGCCCCUAUUAAGUAAGUUCAAAGUUCAAAGAAUGGCUUAAGAAGUGGCACAAGACAGAUUGAAAGCAAAGAGAGUGGGAAAGCUAACCCGUUCAUUGAAUCAGACCUUCGUCUUCAGGCUUCUACGCGAGGAACAUGCUUUUUGACAUCCAGUUUAAGCUAUGCCAAGAGAUUACACUACUUUGAUAAGGUCGGUUCCCUUGGUCAUUCUUCAGGAGAAGUCCCGAAACUGUCAAUUGAUAGGAUCAUUGCUAACCCAUUGGCUUCACGAGAUCGGAUAGCGCAUAAGAGGGCAUUUUCUGAAUGAGAAGAUUCUCUUUCUACACUCUAGACAUAUCCUGCCCCUUCUUUACUUGCCCGCCUCAGAAUAUUCCUUCCGGUGGGACGAAGUCGCAUUGAUUGAAUCGGCUCUGGCCGUCGCCGAAAAAGUGAGGCUUUACUUGACGAGUAGACCUUAGUUACCCGCUUAUUGCUUAUUAAGACCUGCAAGAAGCUGAGUUUCUUUGCUUUCACAGUAGUUGGAAAAAGUCAAAGCAGCAGACCAGUAGUCCCAUUAUCCACCUUUAGAGACAUUUUUGAAGAAGGUUCCGUUUAACACAUCUUGGCCGAGCAGGAAAUAAGUGCUUUGUCGGUUGAAGGUGCUCUCUUCUCUACUCCGUCACAUAGGAUACACUCUCAUAGUAUUCUCUGCAUCUUCUGUCUCGUCUCUUGGCUUUCUGGGAGAUAGUUGAAACCAACCAAACGGGACCAAAAGUAAAGCUAUCUCCCGCUCUAAAAGUAAAAGAGAGACUCCUUUAUUUUUUUAUCGUAAGUCAACUUUUAUUCAGUUUGACUUUGUUUGCCUUUCGGGGUUAUCAGUUGUUGAAUCAAAACUUUCGUCGUCUUGGCCCACACCCCGUUCGUUGGUGAAGUAAGCUAUCUUACGAAAACUAGCUUGUUUCUGUUGGGAAACACUACAGCUUUGAUACUAUUUGUUGGAAAAAUCACAGCUCUGAUACCAUUUGUUGGGCUAAAAGCCUCCAAUCCAAUCACACUAGCGAAAGCGAAAUCAAACAAUAAAUCAAACACAUAAGAGACAACAAUUUAACGUGAUUCGGUUCAACUGACCUACAUCCACGGAUGAGAAACAAGAUCUACUAGUUGUAGAGAAUUACAAACAUACAUCAUAUCAUUAACCUCACUCAACAAUCAAUACUCAUAAGACACUCUCAAUCUCCUUUAGUCCUAUGGAGUAUUCUCAACCCAAACAAACACAAACCCAAACCCUUGUGCACCCUUUCAACAUAACCAAACACAUACCCAUAUGCUCCCAUACAUCAUACCUAUGUGGACCCUCUCAAUCUCCUCAAGUCUACUCAUAAACAAACAUACACACCCAUAAGACGUAGAGCCCCAAUACUCCUAUGGGGUGUCUAUCCCACAAAACCCUACAACUCUCUUACAUCUUUUUCUCAUACCUAACCCUGUAUAGACUUCACCUAUUUAUAACCAUACAAACUUGCCCAUUAAGAAUCUCUCUCCUCUUAGAAUUCUUCUCCUGUAAGUCAAACUUGCCUAUUAAGAAUCCCUUUACUUUUAGAAUUCUUCUCUUGCAAGUCAAACUUACCUAUUAAGAAUCCUUUUUCUCUUGGAAUUCUUUUUUUGCAAGUAUUAUUGUCCAUCAAGUAAUAUCUGACAAAUCUCAAACAAAUCUCAAAUAAAUCUCUAACAAAUCUCAAACAAAUCUCUUAUGAGAUUUGAGUCAAUAUUCCCAACAGCUUCUAGUCCCCCGCCUCACUUCUCUUUAUAAGGCCCUUUGUCCCACUUCGGUAGAUAUUAUGUCCGACCAAAACUACUUGUGAGGAGCCGCAAAGUACCACCAUGUAGCUAGGGGGUAUGGGUCUCGGUACCGGUCCUCGGUGUAUAGCUGAUGCGGUGGGGUUAAAGAGGCUACGCUAUUGAGAAAGCUUAAGAUUCAGCAGGGGGGGCUGUAUCGUGGAAGUAAUGGCCUUGAUCUUUCAACUCUUCCAGGUAUGAAACAGGUCAUAAAGCAAGGGCUGCUUCAUCCGCCUUGAAAGAAGUCUUGUCUGAAACAACGGGCCCUUGUUCUACCAACCCAGUUUUUGUUUAAAAAAGAUAUCAUGCCGUUUCUCUGGAACCAACAACGGAUCUAUUUUCUCGAGAUAGCAUUUACCGAAGAAGGUUGUCUCAAAGCCAUAAUCUACCUCCAAAAAAAUUGGCAUAGACAUCUGAAUAAACAAAAGCUUCAGGCUUGACGCAGGCCUAAGCGGACUCAGCUAAAAUGCUAAAUGAAAAGUCAUAACUAACAGAAUAGGAGCACUCAUGAAACCUUGGAUGGUCAUCAGGUAUAAAAAGAAAAAUUCAGAAUUAAUAGAAUUGGAGGGAGUAGAAUUUACUGCUAGUAGAACAAAAGCCAGGAAAGAGGGUUGGAUGGAUAUUCGGGGGACCCAUGGUUUAAGUGUUUAAACUCCGAUCGUAUGUAAGGGUCUUUGCCUAUUCUAUGAAUUCACAUAAAAGGAAGACCUGACUAAGCAAGUUUCUGGGUUAUUUCAGAAGACAAAACCAAAGUCGAGGAAGGAGAAUCAUACGAGUCCUCCUUAAUUCACAAAGCCUAAAGUUGGCGUUAUAAUAUCUAUUUUAUGAAAAAAUAAAUAUAAAGCCGAGAUUGACUCUUUCUUAUCAACGAAAUCAUUAGAACGGUAGGCCCGGUGUCAUGAGCCAACACUUUUGUAUAGGAUCAUGAUCAGGUUUAAGUAGUCAUGUGCCACCCAUAUAUAGGGCCAUGAUCGGGUAGAAGUGCCAAAGCGAAGGAUAGGAUCUUUAGGCUAGGAAAAAUAUCCCCAUUUCAAACAUUAUAACGGUUAGUGAUAGCAUAGCUAUAAAAUCUCAUUUGUUCUUUAAGGGGAGUGAGCAGUUAGCAUACUAUUAGGCUAUCUCAUUGGUUAAAGUACGAACGUAAGCCACCCGUCAAGGGUUGCCCCCUGGCCUCGACGAUGGUGUGAAGUCUCGAUGUACUAUUCUUGAUAAUAAUAAAAUACAUCUUUUAUUCGAAAGUCCCGAGUGUUACCUCGAUGUGUUUUUCUUUCUCGAUAUGAAUAUGUCUUCUUGUGUAUGCUUGAUAUUAACUAUGACUUAUGGUUGCUUGUUCAGAUAUCAAGCUAUUGUUGGUUGACUUAGGUGGAAGCGUCCAUUCAAGUGCCGCACGAUCUAUCGCUUGUUGAGAGAAAGCUUAGCCUAUGACACGUGGUAUCAAAGCACAGUGUGAAGUGCUAAAGAAUUGAGAAAAUGGCCACGAAUGAUGGAUUCAACCAUCAACAGAGAAUUGAAGAGCUUGAAGCUGCGGUGGCCACUUUGAAAGCUCAUGUGCUUACAACCGAUCGUCUGAGGGAGAUUGAGAUGACCUAGUGAGAGUUGUCCGAUACUCUACAUAGCUUGAGUGAAGAGGCUAAAGAUGCCUUGAAUGUCCUCCAAAAAAAGUUUGAGGAGCUUAGGGCCCAAGUAGGCGUCUUAUAGGUAGCGGUGGCUAGGUCGAGUUCUAGCUCGGGGGAAAAAGGAAAAAAGGCCAAAAGGCCAAAUCUCCGAUGCUAUGAGGGGAGCAAGAGAUGCCAAAGAGCUUGAAAACUUUUUGUUUGACAUAGAGCAAGACUUUCGAGCCGUGCGUACGAAAUCAGAGGAAGACAAGGUGGCAAUGGCAUCAAUGUACCUUGCGGGGGAUGCCAAGCUUUGGUGGCGUUCAAAAUUUGUAAAUAAUGAAUGCCCUAUCAAAACUUAGAUGGACCUGAAGCAGGAAUUAAAAAAUCAGUUCUUUUAUGAGAACGUAAAAUAUAUGGUCCGAAAGAAACUUUGAGAGUUGGUGCAAACGAGAACAGUGCAAGAGUUUGUAAGGAGCUUUUUUACCCUAAUGUUGGACAUUAGAUACAUGUUUGAAAAGGAUAAAAUGUUUUAUUUUCUUGAGGGCCUUAAACCUUGGGCCAAGACAGAACUUAAAAGGCAAAAGGUGCAAGAUGUAGCCACGACCAUGGCUGCAGCCGAAUGCCUUCAUGAUUACAAUGAUGGCUCCUCAAAAUGAAAAAAUUCUCCAUUAGAUGGUAGUAACUCCAUCUUUAGGAGUGGGGGAAAGAUGGCCAAAGUGGACUAAACCUUCAGUGGGGGAUAAGAUAAAAGGCCCUUUGGUCGAGACACCACCCAACCCAGAGCAAACCAUGCAACAAGUUUCAGGCCUAGGCAACCGUUAGCUUGUUUCUUAUGCAAGGGGUCGUAUCGAAUGGCUGAGUGCCCUCAUAGAGGGGCCCUUAAUGCCUUGAGAGCCUCGUCUCAAGAUUUCAUAAAAGCACCUUAGAUAGUCGAAUAGAUUGAAAAGGAACCGGCCAGGAUGGGCUCGAUGCGAUUUUUAAAUACCCUCUGUACCCAGCUUAACAUGGUAAAGAAAGAAUCGAGUAGAAGCUUGAUGUAUGAGGACCUAAUACUCAAUGAGAAAACCACAAGGGCUAUAGUUGAUAUGGGUGCAAUCCAUACCUUCAUUACACCUGAGAAAGCAAAAAGGUGUGGUCAAGGUGAAUAAGGACUACGGAUAAAUGAAAGUGGUCAACUCACCAGCCUUCGCAAUCAGUGGAAGCUCCAAGAAUGUGUGACCAAGUUGGGGCCAUGGGAAGGAAAGGUAGACUUCACUGUUUGCCCCAUGAAUGACUUUGAUAUUGUCUUCAGAUUGGACUUCAUGAUGUUGGCUCAAGCGAUACCAAUCCCCGUUGCUAGUUGUCUGUUGUUCUUAGGGGAGCAACCCUGUGUGGUGCUAACCACAAUCUUGUCAAAAAAUAGAAAGAAAAUGAUCUCAACACUAUAAUUCAAGAAAAGGAUAAAGAGAGGGGAGCUCUCUUAUGUGGUGAUGUCGAUCUACAAGGAUAGGAUAGAGUUAGAUCCAAUACUCGAUGGGGUGGAAAGGGAGUUAGAAAAGUUUAAGAAUAUGAUGCCAGAACAAUUGCCUAAGGUUUUACCUCUUCGAAGAUCGGUUAACCAUGAAAUUGAACUUCUCCUAGGGGUCAAACCCCUUGUUAAGGCCCCAUAUCGCAUGGCUCCACCAGAAUUGGCUGAACUAAGGAAACAAUUGGAUGAACUCUUACAGGCUGAGUUCAUUAGGUCAUUAAAAGCACCUUUUAGAGCACCCAUGCUAUUUCAGAAGAAGCAUGAUGGAAGCCUACGAUUAUAUGUCGACUACAAAUUCCUAAACAAGGUCACCAUGAGAAAUAAGUUCUUGAUUUCCCUUAUUGUUGAUUUGUUUGAUCAACUGAGUUGGACCAAAUACUUUUUCAAAUUAGACCUGAGGUCUGGCUAUCAUCAAGUCAGAAUUAUGAAAGGAGAUGAACCGAAAACUACUUGUGUAACCCGGUAUGGCGCAUUUGAAUUUCUUGUUAUGCCUUUUGGACUAACCAAUACUCCCAUCACAUUUUGUAUCUUGAUAAAUCAGGUGUUCCAUGAUUAUCUUGACAAAUUCAUGGUGAUUUUUUGGAUAACAUAGUGGUCUAUAGCUCCAUUUUGGAAGAACAUCAAGAACACUUACGCCUAGUGCUUCAAAGAUUACAAGACCACCAGUUAUAGGUGAAAAGAGAGAAAUGUGCCUUUGUUCAGACCUAAAUCCAUUUUCUAAGUCACAUUGUCGAACAAGGCCACAUUUGAAUGGAUAUGAAAAAGGUUAAAGCCAUCAAGAAGUGGAUAACACCCAAGAAUGUUAGUGAGCUUCGCUCGUUUUUAGGAUUGACCAACUAUUACAAAAAAUUUGUAGAAGGGUACUAUCGUAGAACUACAGCCCUCACAGAACUAUUGAAAAUAAAGCAUAAAUGGUGUUGGACGAGCGAAUGUCAAGAGGUAUUUGAAGGACUGAAGGAAGCCAUUAUGAAAGAUCCUAUCUUGGCCCUCCCUGACAUCGACAACCCUUUAAAGUCCAAAUAGAUGCUUCUGACUUCGCUAUUGGAGGAGUUCUCCUACAAGCGUGACACCCAAUAGUAUUUGAAAGUGGAAAGCUAAGUGAAGUUGAGAGAAAAUAUACGGCCCAAUAGAAAGAACUCCUAGCAGUAAUUCACUGUUUGAGAACUUGACGACAUUAUUUGUUGGGCUCACACUUUGUAGUGAAGAUAGACAAUGCGGUAGUUAGUCACUUUUUCACCCAACCAAGGCUCACAGCGAAGCAAGCUCGAUGGUAAGAAUUUUUAGUUGAGUUUGAUUUUUGCUUUGAGAACACACUGCGGGAACAACCAAUCAAGUGGUUGAUGCAUUGAGCCGACGAGUAGAAUUAGCAACCCUGAGAAAAAUUACCCCAAUGACAGCUAGCAAAGUUACAACAGACAUUCGUAAGUUAAUUGAAAAGAAUUUAAGAAAAGACCCACAGGUCGGUGCCAUUCUAAAGUUAGUUGAAGAAAGAAAGUCGAAGUACUUUUGGCAGGAGAAUAUGGCCUUAUGGACAAAGGACCUUUGAUUGUUUGUGCCAAAAGCAGGAGGUCUGAGACAAAUGCUGAUUAAAAAAGGUCACGACACACCAUGGGCAGGUCACCCAGGUUGGCAAUGUACUUUUACUCUAUUAAAACAAGGCUACUAUUGGCCUCGCAUGCGACAAGAUGUUAUGGACUACAACAAGACGUGUCUUAUUUACCAACAGGAUAAAGUUGAAAAGAAUAAACUAGCAGGCUUGCUCGAACCAUUACCGGUGCCCACCCAAUUGUGAGAAAGCAUCUCUCUUAAUUUCAUAUCGAGUCUUCCCAAAGUGGGUGAUCUUGGGUCUAUCUUGGUGGUUAUUGACCAUUUCUCGAAGUAUGUUACAUUCAUUCACGCCCUUAAGUUUUGUAUUGCGAAAGAUACAGCUCGGCUAAUGUUUAAACAUGUGAUCAACUAUUGGGGCCUUCCCUAAAACAUUGUCAGUGACACAGAUCCAAGAUUCACGGGGUCAUUUUGGAAAGAACUUUUCAAGAUUUUGGGAUCUCAACUUAACAUUUCUUCAAGCUACCACCCCUAGACAGAUGGACAAACUGAACGGUUCAAUGGACUAUUGGAAGAGUACUUAAGGCACUUUGUUCAAGCUAAUCAGAAUAACUAGCCUUCGUUACUAGACAUUACCCAACUCUGUUUCAAUUUCAAUAAGAGCUUUUCCACCAACAAAAGUCCGUUCGAAGUGGUCACGGGACAACUACCAAGACUACCCCAUAGCUCUUUUAAGCAAUAUGGAGGAAAGAAUCCUCGAGCCUUCAACCUCAGUAAAGAAUAGAAAUAGAACACAGGGAUUGUACGAGCCUACAUAGAAAAGACAUCCUAGUGCAUGAAGAAGUGGGCAGACAAAGGUCGGAGAGCACAACAAUUCCAAGUUGGUGAUCUCGUUCUAGUCAGAUUAGUGCCUGAACAAACUAGGUUCCUGAAGAAGCAAGACCGUAGAUUGGUGCGAAAGUAUGAAGGCCUAGUGAAGAUCAUUACCAAGGUGGGAAAUGCUGCCUACAAAAUAAACCCAUCGAAAUGGAUGAAAGUACACCCAGUAUUCCAUGUGAGCAACUUGAAACCUUUUCAUGCAGAUCCAAGAGAUGCAAGUCACAAAGAGUCAACCAGGGUUGCCAUCACCAUGAAGCCACCAUCAGAGCGCCACGUUGAAGAGAUCCUAGCCGACAUAGUAUCCAGAGCAUUAAAAAGAUUAGUUCACAAAUAUUAAGUGAAAUGGGAGGGCUUAGGACCAGAAGAAGCUAGCUGGGAGAUAGAGCACGACCUUCGGGUAUUCAAGAGGAAGAUUGAAGAAUUUCAAGCCAACAAAUCGAUGAAGUCAUCGAUAGAAUAGGUGGGGGAAGAUGUCAUGAGCCAACGCUUUUAUAUAGGGCCAUGACUGGGUUUAGGUAGUCAUGUGCCACCCAUGUAUAGGGCCAUGACCAGGUAGAGGUGCCAAAGGGAAGGAUAAACCCCUUAGGCUAAAAAAAGUGUCUCAAUUUCAAACAUUAUAAUGGUUAGUGGUAGCAUAGCUAUAAAAUCUCAUUUGCUCUUUAGGGGGUUGAGCAGUCAGCAUACUAUUGGGCUGUCUCAUUGGUUAAGAUACAAAAGUAGGCCACUGGUCAAGGGCUACCCCCUGGCCCCAACGAUGGUGUGAAGUCUCAAUGUAUUAUUCCCGAUAAUAAUAAAAUACAUCUUUUAUUCGAAAGUCUCGAGUGUUACCCCGAUGUAUUUUUCUUUCUCUCGAUAUGAAUAUGUCUUCUUGUGUAUGCUUGAGAUUAACUAUGGCUUAUAGUUACUUGUUCAGAUAUCGAGUUAUUGUUGGUUGACUUGGGUGGGAAUGUUCAUUCAAGUGUCGUACGAUCUAUCACUUAUUAAGAGAAAGCUUAGCCCGUGACACCCGACCUGCUGACCCUAAAGACACGAGCUCAACAAUUUAAAUGCGUAGGAGCAUCAACCAUUUGUCGAAUCGAAAGCUUCGCCUACGACGUAACUCAGCGCGGUAAGCUCUAUUUUCCUGGCGCUUGUUUAAGGCGGUACGGUAUCUCAAUACUUUUUUUUCUAACUAAUAAAAUUGAAAAUAACAUCGGCUAGUGAGCAAACGAGCUUCGGAAUUGGAUCAAAGCCAAGAACCGAGGUCUGGAGUGUCCGGAUCAGACUAAGAAAAGAAGAAAGGUAAGGUGUUCGCGAUUUCGAAGAAGUAGCAUGUGCUCCGUUCUAGGCCGGCUCGCUUAGUCUUCAAUACAUCGUCAAUGGCUGCUAACGCCGCGACGAGGGCGCGACGGGUUGCCUUCGGAGCUAAAUAGAAAAAUGAUGUGCGCUAACCUUCCAACGGUCUAUCUGACUUCUGAAAAGAUGCCAUUUCACACCUCUAUGAUUGAUUAUGAAAUCAUCAUUCGGAUUUAGUAAUGUGAUCUUCAACCGGGUCAAUUAAGGCGGCUAGAUCGACCCACUCUAACUACAGCUAAACUUAAUUACAUAAAGUAAAAUAUAGUAAAGCCCCUUGUACCCAUAUAAGUGAAAAACCAUUACAUUGGAAAAUGACAGCUUCGGGAGGAUAGCGAAGCCUGCCUUAGGCUAGCGACGUGUUUCCGGGUAAGAAAAAGCGCGGGCGGGUACCUCCCUGACCCACUGAAUACAACAAAAUAAAGGGGAAGGACGUAACAUAGAAGAAGUAGGCUGAUCCAGAUCCAGAUAAGCAUCCUUUUGCCUUUAAUGUUUGGUAGGAGCAGCUGAGCAUAUGCUAGAAUUAGAAUCACGCGUAAUGAAGCGCUUGUCUUACUUAUCUAAAACAUACAAAAACCCUGCUACAAAUGAGCGGCAUAUGAACGGAACGAGACCCUUCGAAAGACGAGACUCAGAUCGGGGAUCAAAAAGCCCUUUCUUUACGUACUAUUCAUUUUCUGAUUUUGAAGAUUAUUUUUAUUCUGCAGGUGCAGAUUCGGCGUCGGCCUAGGCUUCUUUAUACCUUGGAUUUGGUACUAUAGCCUAUGCUUUAGGAACAGGCUCAGGCCACAUAGCUUAAGGUGGAUCGGAUCCUACAUACUUUUCACCUUUUCACACAGACAGACGAAAAAUUUGAAAACAAAUCAUCAACUUCAACUGCGGAAUGCCCCGGAUCACGGGUAUUCUUAUUGUGGUUAUAGACCCCAUAUUGGCUUGGCUACUGGAAUCAUUUAUUCCCCUCUUUUCUAGCUUCAGAUUUGGCUUAAGCUUCGGAUUCUUAACUUAAGAUUAGGGGGGAACAGGAGCUUUUGGUUUUGAUGCUACAGUGGUGAGUUUACACCCACCGAAGCGAGUGUGACAAACCAAGUUUUGGCUUUAGAAAGUGCUCCAAUGUUUAAAGCGUAAGACGAAUCUGAUAAAAAUAGGUAGAGACAGAACAAGGAGCAGGGCUAGACCACUAUAGGACAAGAUAAAAAGUAGCCUUUUGUCUCCGGGUGGAACCAACGAUUCGUUCUAUUUGACGAAAGAAGGCUUGUGGCUGAAGGUUCAUGGGACCUUACAUUGCUGAAACUGGACGGACGACUGGACCUUAACCUUUGAAGACGAGAAUUCGAAUUAUUAUAGAAGUAAAUAAGGUUUUCGAUCACUUCAAAUGGCAUAUUUAUUCGUUUUUUAAAAGUUCUAAUGAGACUUCUUUGUAUUUGCUUUUUUUCUUAGUUCUGAGCCUGGCUUAUGGCUGCUUCUUUUUUCCAACAAAAGAAAUAGAAAACCCCAACGACAAAGGAACGGGCAUUUUCGGUUAUUAUGCAUCGUGGCCUGUCUUUGCCCUCACUCACCAUUAUGUGGUGUGGUGGUUGGCCAAAUAGGUGUACCCAGAUACUCUAUUAGGUAUGCAGUACUCGGUGAUGAUAUUAUUACAGCUGAUGAGUCUGUAGCUAAAGUCUAUAAGCUAAUUUUAUAAGAUUUUGGGGUCACGAUCUCGACCCAAAAAUCGUUGAUCUUCGUUCAGCCGAGUUUGCUAAGCGAUUCCGAGUGAGAGGGUUUUUUGUGGACCUCAAUUCUAUUUCAAUUGUUAAUCUUGUGAAUAACCAUCACUUCUGCCUUGUAAUCGCCUUACAUUUAAAAAUAUUCAAUCAAUCAAAAGAUAAAAAAGAAAAAAAAAGACCAAGACAAUACGUACCUGAAUCUACACAGUAGGCAAAAAAAAGGCUCGGGACGAAAUCGAAUGAUUACCGCGCUCCGUCUCCGUGGAGCUCAAGACUAGUAGUGAUACCUGAUUGAUCGAUGCGUAGGAAGAUGACCCAUGCCAUUGGUUUUAGCUUCUGAUGCGAAUAGGCAAAUGGAAUCGAUAAACAAUUGCUACAUACGUUAUGUUAUGGAGCUCUGAUACCCCCAGUGUACUUAUUAACUGGUGGGAAUUUUAGUCUAACCGACCAGUGAAGCAGGUAUGGGGUACCUGAAUUCCUUUAUAUAUGAUAUUUCUGUUUAUGUCAGAGGUGCCCAAAGCUAGAAGCAAGAUUUCGAGUCGAAUAUUCAAAGCUUUUAAGGGCUUACCUGCUUUCUGUUCGAGAGUAGGAAUCGACUCUAAGAGCAGAGUCUAAGAGCAGAGUCCAACUAGAAGAGUGAAAACAACUAUAAGAUUAAGAUGGCACUGCAACUAGCCUAGCUUUGACUUUAUUUCAAGUCAGAAUGUUCUCCCGCUCGAAGAAUGUGUUCCUACCAAAAUAGUGGUUGAAGAAAGGACUGCUUUGCCCGCUGUUCCAGUAUUUGCUUGACCCCUAUCUAUCUAGAAUAAAUAGUCAGACCAGACUGGCUAGAAGCUUCCGGAGAAGAGUCACUCUACACUCUAAGAGUAAGCGGAAAGCCGCCCAAAAAUAGAAUAGUCGGAAGAAGCCUCUCGAAUCGGAACGGAAGUAAGCGCAGAGAUGGCACCACCGGUUUAGUUGAAGACUUCGCUUCUUUUUUUUAGGCUGAUUUCAUUUGGAAGCGUUGACAUUUUACUUUCGGGGAGCCGAUUUACUGGCGUACACCCUUUUGGGGAAACUUGAACAGGGCAAGAAAUCGAGAGGAAUUUUUCUUUUUUUUGUAUUUGCCUUCUCCGGCGUUCACUUCUAAAAAGGCAUUUUCUUAUAAAAGAAAGGAGGGGCCCAAUUUAAACUAGAGAUUCUGUCGGUUGAGGCCUGUUGACCAACUUGAAACUCUAUUGACGAUGAGAUUAGGCCUUUUAAGAAGCCUAGAGUAGAAUAGUCAGUGAGAGCUGAAAUUAGUCCUUUUUUUUCUUGUUUGCCUGUGAAUUUUACCGUUCUGGGAUAGCUAUAAGACUUCUAGUAGAAUGUAGAAUGGGAGGCCUAGAGGGGAAUAUAACAUCUUACUUUUUUUGAGACUUUGAUUACGAAUGCACCCCGGGGACACUAUCCUGAAGGGGAUGAUUCGCAAGAGCUUUCUAGUCAGUAUGGAUGUUCCCUUGUCUUUCUUUAUUGUCUUUCUUUGAGGGCCUUAACUAAAACUACUGGGAGAGGAAACUGAGCUCCGAAGCUUCCCUUAAAACCCUUUCUGUUUUAGAAAAGCUUCUUCCUUUUUGUAGCUAGUAUAUUACCUCCAUAAGAGGAAAGGCGGGGGAAACUGGGUUUGAGUUCCUUUCUUUGGGGGCUUUGCCGCCCGUUCCUAGACCUGAAGGGUCAACCUAGCUGGAAGAAUAGUAAUGAAAAUAGUGAAAACCAGAAGAUUAAGGCCCUUAAGCCUAGAGAGAAGCCUAUCUUUUAACGGAAAAGAAAAGAGUUUUUCUACCCUUUCUUUCUAUCUGAAUAGCCAGCUUCGGAUGUCGCUGGUCUUUUCUUGAAAUAGUAAGAUGCCACUGAUCCUUACAUUCUGGAAGGGGUAACCUAGAGGAAGAAGCUCAACUGGAAGGUUUGACCCACGAUUAUAGGAUGAAUACUAUGGAGAAUAGUAAACAGCCUAGCGUAGCGGCCAAGGAGCCUUUACUUUACAAUAAAAGAGUAACCGUAAGCUUGGGUGUCAUUGGUCUGUCUUUAGAUAAAUAUUAAAUGAUUGAAAUAGUCAGCUUCGUAAGCUUGUGAUAUCAGAAGUCAAGCUUGUCUUUCUUUGUUUGCUUUCUUUCUGUAUAUGGCAAAACCUAUAUAGAUUUCCUAUCACUUACUGGAUCUUCUGUCUGUAAGCAUUCCUUGUGUUACUAAUAGUCUAUAAAUUAUCCCGAAGAGGGGUGUUCUAGAAUGCCUAGAGAGAGGAAUCCUAGUUCUAGGCUUAUUCUAUUUUUUCUUCCCAUUCGUAGAGUCAGCCUAGUAAGCUUUUCUUUUUUUUUUCUCCCCUUCGCUUUCAGUAGGAGAUGGGGAUGGCGCAGUUUCUUCCCUCGAGAGAAGGAAACUAGGCUUCAAACAAAACAAAACAAGUAUUCAGGAUGCGGAGAAUCUUGCUUUAUAAGCUUGCCGCUUAGCUUAGUUGGGGGUCUUCAUGUCAAUGUCGAAAAAGAAGCUUCACUUAUCUUUCUAGCAGCCACAGAGACAAAACAAAGAGAAUGAGAUUCGGACUGGACUGGGAAAACUCAUUGUCACCGAAUCCUCUGAUUAUUUGAGUGGAAAGUUGCUGGAGCUUCACGAAAGGAAUCUUAUGUUGUCAGGGCAAAGAGCUUAGCUUAGAAUACAUGGAUACACGGGUACUGGUUCUCGAACGGACUCUGCAGGAUUAGGAAUUGGCUGUGGAAGCACUAUUUAUUAUUCAUUGAACUUAAUAAAUGAUCAGAGUUGUAUAGUGUUGCACUGCUACCACCUGCCCCAUGCAUAAGGGCUUAUCCUAAUCGGGGGCCUGGAACGGCAAUGACUGAACCACGCCUUAUGACGAAAGGGGAGAGAGUCCGAAGGGGAAGGUGAAUGCAGUUAAGGACUCCUCCACUGAAUUAUGGCAUAAGCGGCUUUCCCACAUGAGCGAUAUGUAACUCUUAUGGUUGUAUUCUUUCUCUUUCUGCUACUGUUCGAACGAACCUAGCUUCUUUUUCUCCUUCUGUAGCUUCUCCGUCUUUUCUUUCCAAACUGCCCUACAACAAACCAAGCGAAAUACCUAUUCUGCACCCUGAGCCCUUUCCUACCUUCGUCUCAAGCAAAAAUUAAGACUUCUGGUCCUAGUGAUGUCCAAAACAUGUCUUAGAAAAAGCUUUGAGAAUUCUUGGUACCCAAACACAUGGGAUUGUCUGUCUCUACACCCGGGGAAUAACCAACCGAAAGGAAUUUGUGAAGCACGUCAAGUCUGACGGAAAGUCUACUGCACAUGAUUCGACUCACCAUUAUAUGUCCUUCUUUUUCGCAAUUUCUAAGUUAAGAGUUCGUGUUCAGAAGACAUGGUAAAAGCUCGGGGUUUCAUCCUGCCUAAUCGUUUAUCUGAAGGAAGGCUAACUCGUCUGAUACAAGUCACUCAAAGUCACAUGCUUCAAACAAAUAAUUCGUUCUCUAACCGAUAAGAGCUGACUUUUUUCUUUCAAAUCGCUUGUUUUUAAGACACCCGAGCCCUCUAUCGUCUCGAGUUUAUGUGGUGGCUAUUAGUAGUGAUCUGGGACUAGGCCAAGGAUGGAUGGCGGUAUGAGAUAUACUAGGAAGACAAAUGAACCAAACCGGAUAAUUGGCUGAACCCUUCAAUCCUAUGAUGACAACCUUCGGAGUAGCGCUUGCAUGAACACAAGUUAAGGUAGCAUUCUCAGCUUAUUAAUAUAGUCGCUACUUCUCGAAGAGCAUAUACGGACAGUCUCCUAACUACGUGGAUAUUAACGAUUAAUCUCGCUAUCUUAUCGGUAUAGGACAAAGCUUAAAGUCAAUAAGUCAAUAAUAAGACAUCUUCUUAGUAAGGCCUCGGCUAACUUUUUUUUCUUAACCACCUCAUUCCUCGUACCCUUAAACAAUGGGAGUUAUGCCCUAAUCCCCACGCCCGAUAGCACAUGGGGAGAAUGAUUGGACCUAAACCUUUAAUUUAAAUAGGCUUGCCUCUUUUUCGGACUAGCUCGCAAAACCUAGACUCCUAUGGCUCGCUUGGAAAACGUUCGUACAUUGCUAACCUCUUAUUCUCCUCCUAUCCCCGAGCUCUUCUUGAAUCGAGGAGUUAAAGCUCAGCUAGGACAGUUCCUCUCUCCGAUGGAUAAGCGGGGAAUAGUAUUUGAUACGAUUUCUUAUCAGCCUUUCCUAAUCGGAGAGAGAACCAAUCUGACCGGGGGGGGGGGUUAUUUCUUCGUCCCAUCACUGGCAGUUGUGGUUCAGCCACCAAUAUCGGCGCGAGAGACAGGGAAAAAGAGAAGGUCGGUCCCGUACCCGAACAAAGGCUAGACCGAAGGUCCCGUCCCAUGGGUUAGGUGCUUAGCUGAAGGUGGAAGUCCAAAGCAACAUAAGAUAGAAGGCGAAGCCGAGGCAAGAGCAAGGGUUGAAAGACAAGAGAGAAGAAUUCUAUAUCCCUUAUUUGAUUUGUAGAUUAGAGUAUAUUCUUUAUAUCAAUGGUUGGUCGGUUUAGCCAUUGCUCCACUCAUCACAUCCAUGGCUAGUAGGUGCGAUUCAACCAUCCGUCACUCGUGGCGCAUUCGAGCUAAGAAUCCUCUCCUCGAUCGCUUUCCUUUGACUUGCAAUGAGGAAUAACAUCAAAACACAUUGGCGGCUGGUGCACGAACUCGUUGGUUUGGAUGCCUUAUCGAUGACCUGAGUGAGCAGAUAGGAUAAAUAAAAAUAAAUUGAUUUUCUUUAUUUGCGUCUCUUGAUUCAGUGUCUGCAUACUACGUUUAUGCGCCUGCCUAAGCAUAUUCUUUUCUUUUUCAUGACCCCGUCACACAGCUUAGGGCCCGCUGCUCCUCCUCUAGCGAGAACAGGGAUCGAAAAGGGGGCCGCCCUAGAAAGAUAGCCUCAUGGGUGUUUGGACGUAUGGGUUAGUACAGUUUUGGAAAGCAAACAGUACUCCGAUUGCCUAGUAGAUAAUGGAAAAUAGUACUACUCUACUCUGAUUGAGCUCACUUUAUUUUAUUCUAGUAUAAUAUAGAAUAAUAAGAAUAAGAAUAGGUCUCUGUCGAGCCUUAUUUAGACGCAAGCCUCCCCUAUCUAGUCGACCUAAUUACCGCAUCGCCUUACCUUCUCGAUCGCCAUCGCAAGGUUUCAAAGCUUCUAUGCAAAAAGAGUGUCCGCCACUAUUGGGAACAUCAAUAAGGGCACCUGUCCUUUUGCAUAUAGCACUCCAUCCUCUCCCUUGGGAAAUGCCAUCGAUCAAUUGAAGAAUGAUGCGAGCAGCACAACUCUUUCUUUCCUUUUUUUCUCUGUUGGAUUGGAGAAAGUAUUGGUUUCAGUUUCUUUGGAAGAAUUGAAUUCCUGUAAUAGACAUCGUUGGCCAUCCAUUUUCUCUCAUUCAAGCCAUGCCAGCAAAGGACUGAGGUAGGAGGUAGGAGACGAUAAAGGUAAAGAUAAGGGGUUGGUGUGUAACAGAGCUUUUCUAUCGAAGACUUAGUCUCGGCCAGAGGUUAGUUUGUUUUAUGGGCAUUUUUGUUUCCAUUUUGCUUAUGCGGUUAAGAAAAAGCACUCUUUUUGCUUCUUCGUCAAGCGUUUGAGCAGCUCUUUUUUCAGAAGAAGGAAGUGAUAUAUAUAAUCCGGGCUCUUCACCGUCAUAGUAUUCUUGGUUUAUCAAACCUUCAUCUUUCGCCCCCCCGGUUCGUACUGCUUCGUUUUAGGAGCGAGGUUGAGAGGUUUUUUGCCUCCUUAAAAAGAGGAAGGGAGGAUUGUCAUCUAAUCGUUGUAAUAAAUAAAUGGAUAACUCGAAAGUAACUCGUCAUGAGUCGAUCAGUAUAAAAAAAAAUUCGCAUCCUACUAGAUUCAAGUUCUCGCCUCAGGUGCGAUAGUUCGUAAGGCGGGUCUUACUAAUUCUUACCGAAACCUUAUUUGACUUUUGGGCCAAUCAUCGCCUUAACACUUCUUGUGCAUAUGCUCCGACGGAUAUAACGGAUCUAUCACGUCCUUGCAUGAGACUUUUUGAAUAGCUCCUACCCCAUUUAUUUGUUCAGCUAGUCUGAUCUUAGUGGAUCCCACCAACGGCUUCUUGUAGCCAACACUCUACAUACAUGUCUUUUGGUCAAUUGUUGAAACGAGCUAUGCAUCUUAUUGAUACUGCAUAAACGCUUAAACAGCUUCGACAGGAGCAAUAGCAGAAAGCAGAAACCGAAUUGUGAAGGACCUGUUCAAUGGAUGUGGGCAUUGGAUGUCCUUUAAAGAGGGAAGCAGUUACCAGGCUCUGCCCCGGUUGUUUUAUUUUAACCAAUAUAAUAAUACUUGAAUUGCGUAAAACAAACAUGAUCCUACCUUAGCCAGGUAUUGGAUUUGUGCAUGAAGUCUAUUAGCUUCUUGAAGGAAGACCAGGAUAGCAGACUAUGAAUACAGAGAUAUUUGUAGCUAGAGCUAGCUCUUUCACUAAGACGACCUUUCCCUUCGUUUAAAUCCAAUGGUUCAUUAAGGAUUUAAAAAACCUAACAAUCCAAUGGAAAGAGAAAGUGAACGAAAUUAUCAAAAAAUCCCAUGAGGCUAAGCGGAACAGGGUGGUGGGGGAUCUUUCAAUCCUGCCAUAAAGGGCUUAAUCGGCAUACAAGUGAGACAAUUUACUUCGCUCAGUGGGUUGGGAUCUAUCUCUUUCCUGAAUUUGUUCUUUUUCUGAUGUAUGCCCCACAAGGGGAGAUGUCAAUCUACAGAUAGUUAAGGUGCCAAAGUCGGUAAUCAACGUUCCUUUCUUUCUGGGUCGACCAGGUGGUUGAAUCCUUGUGAUUGAACUCUUGCAUCGUAGGUCUGGGGGUACUUUAUUCUUGUAUCUCUUGUUUAAGAGAGAGCCUUUUUCAAGGAAAAGCUAGUAAAUCAGCCUUAGAUUCUUCUUUCUUCUCCCUCACUGCUGAUUCAAUAGCUGCAGUAUCAAUUAAAUGGUGGAAAUCUCACUUGGAUGCUCACUGUAGCCAAUAAUGCCCAUGCCCAUGCUUAGAUGAUAACUGUGCAAAACCUAUACGGAGGGAACUGAAUUCCUAGUUAGAGUAGUUUCAUUAGGAACGAAACUUUUAAUAUAAGAAGAAGAUUGCGUAGCCAUCAUACGGUCGGGGGAAGACUAUCACUGACUUAGCUUUUUUACACUUACCUUUCUUCUGGUCUCACGAAUUGGAUUUGAAGCUACUUCUUAUUGAAGAUUGGAUCGAGCUGGAAAGCAUUCUGGCAGCUACAAUCUACUACAUAAGGUGGCAGCAAAUAGAAUUGUGGUGGAAGAAGCUAUGCUACCCCUGACUCUCAACCUGGAACAACAACCAUGGCAUUCUCUGCAUCAACUAUGUCAAUGGCUUGACUUCCCCUUCUUGCUAACAUCGGUUAUUCCGAAACAACCUCUGCUCGUACAUUCAAAAUAGUCUUCCUCCAAGAGCGAAAAUAGUUAUUCUUGUUGCCCAUAUUCCUUCAACAACAAUAGAUGCGGAUGAAAUAGCCGCAUUCGCUUAUGCUUAUUCGAUUCGGCCUAGCCUAUAUCUAAGUGAAUUUGUGAUAAAAUCUCUUCCUACUCGGGUCAGGCUUAACCGGAUAAAGGUUGAACUAAUUGCGUAAUAAGCUAGAGGCUUACCUCCACGAUUUACUAAAAGAAAAGGCAAGUAGCAUUGAGAUUUGCUUCGACUCCAAUAUCCUAAACUAGGAAGCGAACUAGAUCCUGAUGCACUACCUUUUGAAGCUGAUCUGGUACCCAAAGGCUCUUUUUUAGAGUCUAGGUAGGUUGAUUCGUAGGACGAGCGCCAAAGACCAAAGCCAGUUCUUUAAGAACUCAACCAGCCAUUGAGAAAGGCUUACCUUCUGUUCAUCUUCUUUCCUUUGGUGAAGCCAAAGCAUCAGACCAAUGAUGAAAAGCACUUGGAACAAAAGGAGAUAGAUGCCGAGAACAUCAUCACUGAGCAUGGGACACAUGAACUCAAGUGGCUUUUUAAGAAGGAACUCAAUUGGAGAGCUACUUUGAAUGAAAGGCGAUGUCAUGAAGAAUCUUUCGGUUCAGAGCAGUGCCCAAAUCUACCAUCUUUGCGUCUUCUCUUCUUCUUCAAUUAGUCUUUCGCUCCUAGGAUGACCCAAGACGACCUAGAUUCUCAUCAAAUCAAUCAAAUUAUUCAAAUGGAUAGAAUAACUUUCCACUAUUUUUUCUUUAAUGAGGAGCACUGGAAGUCAAGCUUUGAAUAUCUAUUAGAUCAAUCCCUUAUUUUGAUGCAUUCAUUGAUCACAGAAGAAGUGGUAUCUAUAAUCUAUAUAUGAAUCUAGGAAUUGUCUUUCUUCAUUAGAGAAAAAUGACUGCAAUUCCCCCUUCAUCCCUCUCUAUCUCCGGCCCUUGCCAUUAGUUAGCUUGCACUUACCUUGCCUUUCCCGCCUUCCUUGCCUUAGGGAAAGCAGUAAGUAGAGCGUGAAGCUGUGGUAAGAAUAUCUAUCUUGGUAACUCUAGAUUCUCUCUUGCAAUUCGCGAUGAGGUGAGAAGGAGGAGUGAGUCCUAAGCCGGGGCAGAAAGCCUUUGAAACUAGUUAAAAUUGAACUAACAAUCAACUAGGCAAUCCAGCUGACAUUGAAAGCAGAUGCCAUAAGGAAAGCGAUUCGGCUUAAGCGAGUGAAGUCACCCGAGAGGAGGAAUGCUGUGAUGACCCUGGCUUCUUAAAUAGCCUUUGGUUCGGCUGUCUCGUAUAGUUUAGAAAGGCUGCUUUUAGCUUGGAAGCCAAGUCUGUAGCAUAUGUAGGAAUGGGUGAAGCUCUUGUUCGAAGAGGAAUGCCUAUAGUUGAAUAAAAGGCAUAGUCUAAGCUUGAAGUAAAGUAGAGAAUCCGCUCUUCUAUUUGAACGAAUCCCUGAUCUACGACCAGCCUGCUGUCUUUGAAAGAUCAGAUUUGAACUCUUCUCGACUCUGAACAAAUGGUUAGCUUAGUCAAUUCACGAAUGCUUUCAGUUGCAGCUCUUGGGCCGCGCAUACAAGCCACUGCUGUUAGCUCGAGUCGUGGUGAAGCUGGUAUUGAAUUCGCCGUUGAAGGAAUAACCGAUGGGACGGUUCUUAUUUUUCUUGUUUCAUCCAAAAGUACCGAUGGUGGUGCUUUA